RNAcentral lists this long non-coding RNA (135717 nucleotides) under Coffea arabica (coffee). RNAcentral's name for it is "long non-coding RNA (CARA_LNC002473)". The stretch from base 28372 to 28478 matches the Rfam family "Plant small nucleolar RNA R71". The record is from RNAcentral. Lineage: Eukaryota; Viridiplantae; Streptophyta; Magnoliopsida; Gentianales; Rubiaceae.
UUUUUUUUUUUUUGGUUUGGUGCCUACAUUGCCUCCUGUCAGCUGCUGUGUCUCACAAUUUUUCGUUUUCUUACAUAGCACUAUCAAGCAACAGCACAAGAUGACAUGAUGAUGAAUAUGGCAGAGUUUUUAGCGGCACGAGAUUCUGCGAAAAAAAAAAAAAAAAGUUGUGGCUGCUGGCUAUGUAUUUAUAUAGAGGUGUAGUACAAUGGGCUACUGCCAGUAUAGAAGUCUUGAAAUGUUCAGAGUUUGUAGUUAUUGUAAAAAUACUCUAUUCAUAGCUAGUAAUUCAGUGGGUGAAUUGAUACGAAAAAAAUAUAAAAACAGUAUGAUGAACAAGUAGAAACUUUGGGAAUGUGUAGGAUACAAUAUCUUGAACUCAUUUGUAAUUUAAACUUCUAAAACUCUUCAGUUUUGCUAGUGCGUGAUCUUCUUUCAUUAUCCCAUUCAAAACCAAACUUCAUAGUUCAACUAGUCAAUAACGAAGACUUUUCCUCCAAGUAAUCUCCUAUUUUUGUCCGCUAAUUGAUUACUACUUUUUUAUAGCAGCUAUUGACAAAAAGAAUUUAUUUAAGGGGGCUGAUAUAUAUCACCAAAAUUUCGUCACCAUUUAUCACCAUAUCUUAAACAUGGGCAAAGCCACAGCUUCCCAUUUCCUAUAUGCGCUUUUGUACUAUUUAAGUUCAUGUUUGAACAAAAUCUGUGACUAAGAUGCAUUUUGUACUAUUUAGCUAAUUACUUUAAACAUUUUGAUCGUGUAUACAAGUUCGGAGAGAUAUUCUGGUCCUGGUACCAUAUCCUUCGUUAGAUAUAAGCUCUCAGGGGAGUAUAUUUAUAAAUAUCAACCAACAGUAUGGUUAUGUUAAACCAAUGAUAUUAUUCUAAAGGGAAAGCGACAAUAUGACUUAGCGACAAAAAUAAAUUCAAAGACAACCCCACGUUCUUGAUUUUAGAAAUGUCAUGUUUGUAUCUGAUUAAAGACUGUUUGAUGUUGAUAGAGGACAAAAUGUGGAAAGGAGAUAAGGAGAUGAAGAAUUGGCAAUGCGGAUGGAAAUGUUGGGGAAGGGUAAAUAUCAACAAAGACUAGGGAGGGUUAGUUCAAUUUAUAACAUAUUUUAAGGUGGCGAAAACUAGUGCUAAAUGGAUUUAUUUAAAAAGAAAUAAUACUUCGACAUCAAGGAAAUAGGAAUUUCAAAAUCUUGGGGCUACCACACCCAUUUCCCAUGGGCUAAAAUUCUUGGCAAUUAUGAGAGCAAUGGCAUUAUGCAAAUGAUGGCCCUAAAAAUUUAUUAUAUUUUUGUUUGUUACUGUCUUAAUGCCUGCAAUUAUUGUUUUAGUUCUUACAUCUAAGUAUAUAUAAUUUAAAUUGGUUCAAUUGUUAAGAACGGAUCAUUUUCUCACAAAAAAUUGUGCAUUUGAAUCUUGUUAUAGAUUUGAAAACUAUAUUAGUAAGCAACGUAUACGAACCUCUGUAAACAACGACUUAUGAUCUCGAAAAUAUAUUGUGACUUGUGGCAAUACGUCCUUGUAACUUAAAGACUUGGGUAGCUACACAUCAUCAUCAGGACCAAGUCUUUUAGACCUUUGCCAAUACAAGGCCUAACAUUUUAAAUUAUAAAAAUCAACCUCGAGUAUCUGACCUUUACCAACAAUUGCUUGCCAUUAAAAUUUUUUUUUUAUUGUUUUUUUUUUAUUCAUGGAAAAUAUAACAAAAUAUUCCUCUUACAUAAUCCUCAUUUUUCUAAUUGAAGGUAUCCCUAUUCUGUCCAAACGGAUUGCCCCACGAGCCAACCUUGGGAAUGUACUGAAGGUGUCAUAAAUCUCAAUUUGUUUAUCUGGAUGAGAUAUACCCACAUUAGAUAAAGCAUCAGCAACUGUGUUAGCCUCCCGAUAGCAGUGCGUGAAUCUAGGUGGAUCAUCUAAUAACUGCCAAAUCUGGUUGACGUAUCUUCGAAUUUUCCACGGACAUUGAGUACGACGUUGAAUGAUCCCAAUUAAAACCAAUGAAUCUGAUUGUACACAUAUGUUUCCAAAACCGUUAUGUAUACAGAUCUGAAGACCAAUAAGAAGGGCACAAGCCUCUGCACGGAGACAUGUAGUUUCUCCCAGAUAUGCCGAAAAACCAAUCAUUGGUAAUCCAGUGGAAUCCCGGAGUAUGCCCCCACCUCCACCUAUUCCUGGAUUACCCUUAGCACAUCCAUCCGUGUUAAGAGUAUACCUCCCUGUCUCUUUGGUUUCCCAGCGGAUACCUUGAUAUACAACUGUACCCCCAAUAUUACGUCCAAUAUUACGUCAAGCUGAUCAUAAAUGUUGGGGUUAAUCACAUUUUAUCUCCUUAAAAAAUAUCUCAUUUUUCAGUUUAUCCCCUAACCUUUAAUUUUGCUCACUUAAUCCCUUUUAGGACAAAAUUGCCCUUGCAUUAUUUUGACUUUUCAUUUAACAUGUUUUCCUUUCUUUUAUUUCUUUUUCUCUUUCUUCUUUAUUUAAAUCUUCCUCUUUCCCACAAAAAUCUUCACCUUAAUGAUUGAAACUAAAAAAGAAAUGAUUAAAAAAAUAUUCAAAUCAUUUCCCUAAAAUACAAUUUUUUUAGCCUUUCAAUUCUUUUAAUUUUAGGUUUUCCUCUUUGCUUUCUAGUUUCUCAUUUUAUUCCCAAGAAAAUAUGUUAAGAUGAAAUUGUGACCUGAUUAAUAAUCAUCAAUUGAAAUUUGUGACACGUGGCAUCAUACAAAAAAUCAAAAUUAGUUUUUUAUGCCUUUUAAAGCUUCACCUGGAAAUACGCAAUUACAAACUCAAAACAAAAAAUGUCGUUGAAAUGGAAUUUCUAUUGGGAAGGAUGAAAGAGAGGAGAAAGAGAAAAAGAAAUAAAAGAAAGGAAAACAAUUUCAUCUUAUGAUAUUUUUUUGAGAAUAAAAUGAGAAACUAGAAAGGAAAGAGGAAAAUCCAAAAUUAAAAGAAUUGAAAGGCUAAAAAAAUUGUAUUUUAGGAAAAUGAUUUGAAUAUUUUUUUAAUCAUUUAAGGAGAAGAUAGAUCUCUGCAAUUCCUCUUUUUUAAUUUUAAUCAUAAAGGUGAAGAUUUUUGUGAGAAAGAGGAAGAAUUAAAUAAAAAAGAAACAGAGAAAGAAAUAAAAGAAAGAAAAAUAAGGUAAAUAAAAGUCAAAAUAAUGCAAGGGCAAUUUUGCCCUAAAGGGGGUUAAGUGAGCAAAAUUAAAGGUUAGGGGUAAACUGAGAAAUAGGGUAUUCUUUAAGGGGAUAAAAUGUGAUUAACCCUAAAUGUUGGACCUUCGGGUUAGAGGUACUAUCGAGCCGAGUCGAGCUCGAGUAGCACCAUACUCGAGCUCGAACUCGAUCAGAAUCAGUGCUACUCGAGUUCGAGCUCGAGCUCGACUCAUUUGAGCUCGAUUAAGUUCAAGUAAAUAUCAAGCCCGAUCUACUCGAGCUCGAGCUCAAGUUUUGAAAUAAACAUAUAAUUUUUUUCUCAAAAUAUAUAAUAUAAAUAUAAUAUGAAAACUCGAUUAAGCUCGUCGAGUACUCGAGUAUUUAUUUUUGGAACUCGAACUCGACUCGUUGAAUGUAACGAGUAGCUCGAGCUCGGUCCCAAGCUUUUUACCAAGCCGCUCGCAAGCUACUCGCGAGCGGCUUGACUUGAUUGCACUCCUACUUUGGGCACAAGGGCCCAUAAUUCAACAUGUUUGAAACCAACCACAACUAAUUUGAUCUUGACGGUUGGACCUUUACGUGCAAGAUCCCAGCACUAAAUUUGUUUGAAAAUACAUAUUGACUUAAAAGUCCUUUAGACCACCUUGCAAAAGUUUAGUUAUGUUAAACCAAUGAAUUUGGAUUUAGAGGUUCAAGAUUUUGACAAAAUGCAGUUUUGUGAAAGCUUAGUUAUGUUAAACGAAUGACCUUCUUUUUUUUUUGUGGUUUGCUUUUUAUCCAAAAAAAAAAAAAAACAAUGACCUUUUAUGUAUACAAGUUAGGUGAGACUCUAUAGCUAGUUGGGUACAAGUUGUUAGAGUACUAAUGAUUUUGUAAAUAUCAAACCAACGUUAUCGUUAUGUUAAAUCAAUGAUAUGGUAUUUUAGGAUUUUAGAUUUUCUCACAAGUUGCACUCAAAUAUACACGCAAUCAGCGCUAAUACAAAAUAAUCAAGGCAAUUAGUAUUCCAAGUAGGAAAACAAAACAAAACAAAAAUGCUUUACAAGCAACAACUAUUUGUCUCCUGAUAAAUAGUAUCUUAAAGAUAAGAAAAUAUAUCAAUUAACCUCAAACAAAUGUACACAUUAGUAUCUUAAAGAUAAGAAAAUCGAACUAGUAAAAACCUCCUAAAAUAUAUCGCAAUAGGUAAAAUUACCUCCGAUGAGUAGAAAUUGUAAAUAGAGGAUUUGUUUCGCGAUUCAUUAAUCAAGUCCUGAAGCAUUAACUGUCUACCAAAAAAUAAAAUUAAAUUGUGAAAGUAAGAAAGUAAAUAUCAAGUAUGUGCGUAGAUAUCUUACUGUGUGUUUUGAUGAGUGCCUCAAAGCAUCAGCGAGAAAAAUUCCAAAGUCAAAAUCACUUGACCAUCUUACCCCUCUUAUAGUUAUCACAUUUUUAUAUUUUGGAAGGCUUAUAAAAGUGGUUACCAUAGAUUAAAGUCAUCAUAAUAGAGACUAUUUGAAAAUUAUUGAUGGAGGACAAAAAGGAGAGAUUAGAAAAGGGGCAGCAUUAGCAAUACUUAGAUAUGCACAAGACUGGGAACAAGAGGGUGGAGAAUUGACAAUACUUAGCUACGUACAAGACUGGAGAGGGCUAAAUUUAAUUUCAAACACGUUGUUAGGUGGCAAACACUAAUUUGCUAAGGAUCCACUUGAAAAACAAUAAUGUUUUAACGUCUUCAAGAUCUUGGUGAUUGGUCACCCCCCCCCCCCACCUCCAAUUUCCCACGUUGAGGAUAUGUUGAUAAGAAAAAAAAGAAAGAAAGAAAGACAAGCAACACAUCCUUAUUCCUAAAAGAGUAGGGUAGGGAACAACAUCAUUUUCCUUAAAAAACAGGGUAGGCAGUAUAUCCUCAUCUUGACUUGGAAGUCCUUUAGACCUUUGUCAAGAAGAAUUAAGGGAAGGAAUGAUACCAUUCUUGAAGGUUGAGGGGCCGGCUUAGUCUAAAAAAAAAAUGUAAGACUCGGUCAUUUUUUAUGUAUGUUAACUUUAGAUCGUUUUCAAAUAAAAGACUCGCAAUUGGUUUGUAAUGGACAAAACUGUACAACAAUUAUUCAGUUGCAACCAUUUGCGCCCCUAUUCUUGCCAACAAGGUCCAUCAACAAAUUUAUUUGAAAACAAUCACAAUUGUCGUAUCCAAAAAUCAUUUUUACUUGAUCCUUAUUUAAUAGAAAGGUAGUAAAUUCAUACCUUUCUAUUCUAAAUUCACAAUAAAAUGGUAUAAGGAGUAGAUUUAGGAUGGAGAGUUGUGGAUUUAGUCCCUCUUGACUACCUUUUUUAAACCUCACCUAAUUUUUAUUGCAAUAAUUUAUUCAUUUUUGUUUGUCAAUUAUUCAUCAGAUUAUAUUGAAAGAACUAAAAUUUCUAAUAGUUGUCCAAUUAUAUCAUUACUCUGUAUCUUGAUCAAUAGAUUAAUAUAUUUAAAAAUCAAAUCAAUUCAAUAAUGUUAUACCAUUCAAUUUGCACGAAACUUUUGGAGGGUCUACAACGUUAAAAUUAUUAAUGUUCAAAUGCCAAAACUUGAUCCUUUAUUCUUUUUUUCAUUUUCCAUGUGUAACUAGUAAGUGAUGUAGUAUAUUAGGAACUAUUUAGCAUCAAAUAUGACUUUAAAAUUGAACUUAUUAGGGUACAGCCUAACCAGACUGUAAUAGUAAUAUUGAGUUCAUAGGCAUUUUAUAUUUGCAGGCUCGGUUCAUUAAAUUAGAAAAUUCAUAAGAGUCAAACUGGUGUGCCAAGGAUCUCGUCAUUUAUAGUCGCAAUUCAUUUUUUUUUUUGACAAUAUUUCUCGUUCUCCCUUGUCUGGAUUUUAUGGGAGGUUUUUUGGGGGCUUUUGAUCAUUUCUCUAACAAUCAAGUCUGCAAUUAACAUGUGGGGCUUUGGAUCUGCCUAAACGUGAGCCUUGUUUGGAGAGCGGCUGCUAAAGGCCUCUCGGGGAAAAUCAUUAAGGGCAACGUUGAAACAAAAAUACCAAGAAAUUAAGUGGAUUGAAGUGCCUAGCGUCAAAAUUUGAGCGUGAAUGUUAUUUUCUUCUAAAAAUGUCUAUAGCAGUACUUCCAACAUUCUUCCAAUGUGUACCUUACAAAACCAACGAUUCAAAUGAUAUGGAGACAAUGGAUAAGAGUGAUUAAAAAAAAAAACAGUAAAUGAAUACGUUUUGAUUUUUUUUUUUAUAAAAUAUUGUAAUUUCAUUAAAAUAUGCACUAAUAGCAGAAAUUACAUCAUCAAACAUACACAGAUAUCAAAGCACAGAUCUGAAGAAAAGAUACUCCAAAUCUGAAGAACAAUAAAAAAAAUACAUUAUAAAUCUUCAAAUUUAAAAAAUGAGAUAAACUAAUUUUAGUUCCACGGACAUUGUGCAUUCUUCCAAUCGCUAGAUAUGCUGAUUAAUUACUUCAAAUUCAAAUAUUAUAAUGACAUCUGCCAAAUAGAUCCAAAAAAUUCUAAAUCUGAUAAUUAAAAUUUGAAAAAAUUAAGAUCUAAUAAAAGAGAAAUGAAAAAAAUUAUCAAAAACUAUAUCUUAUUUCAAAAUACAUCUUAUAUUUUAUUUCACAGUGAAAAGUUCAAAAACAAUGAUUACUAAAUUUAUUACUAGUGUUUUGUAUAUAUCAAAAUAAAUUAUCCCUAUAAAACUAAACAUGAUUGUGGCCACCCAUGGGGCACUACAGGGAGUUACAGGUACGUCUGUCAAUCGGCCCUAAUGAGCCGGCUUUCACCAGUUCGAGUUCAGUUCAUUUAAUUUGUAAUAUUUUCGGGUUUUGAACUAUGAGUUUCGGGUUAAUAAAUGUGAAACUCAUACUCAACUCACAUAAUAUUCUGGUUUUGAGCCUUGUUCGAGUUUAGUCCAAAUUCACAUAUUACUCCUUAAUUUUCUUAAUAUAAUUACUAUAAUUAUUAAGUUGUAAAACUAAUUUAACAUUUACAAGACUACAAUAUUAAAACUAAACAUGAACAACUAAUAGUUCUUAAAAAGUAUAUAAACCAAAAAAUUUUCAACGAUAUUUAUAUUUAAUUCGUUCAAAACACAUGAAAAAUAGUAAUAAAGCAUGCGGUCAUAUGCCAAUACUGCAAUACAUCUUUAAAAGUUAAAACUUUUUUAUAGUCUUUUGAUUUGAAUUCAAACAUGCUUGAUGAUUUGUGUUUCUAGACCAAAAAGAAAUCAACAAAUAAUAUGCCAACAUAAAAAUUUACUCAACUAAUAAGAAAAAUUAGAGAUUCAGUUAUGCAUUACUAAUAUUGGCUUUCAAGAAAACUCAUAGAAGAGUUUUCAGAUGUAUUUUUGUGUUUUAUAAUUUAUAUAUAUAUUUAGUAUUUAGUAAUACUAUAUUUGGAUAUAUAAUUAUAUAUAAUAUCAAAAUAUAAAUAUUAUAUAUAUAUAGGUAAUUAAAGAGCCGGACCUAUAUCGGAUUUGAGUCUAAUGAUGCCCAAACUCAGCUCAUAUUUAAUUCGGACCUAAUUUUAGAUUCAACCUCGGAUUAGCUCACUAAAAGGUCGGACUCAUUGGACUUCUUAUCAGAUUGAACGAACCGAGCUUGGGCUGGCCCAAUUCCAUUGACAGUCCUAGUAGCGGGUGGGAUUGUGAGGGAUGAGAUGGGGACUGUGGACUAGAGGGCGCUUUUGGAAGCUGGGCCGGACUGCCGCAGACGGGGAAGGGCUCUUCAGCCCAAUCCGUCCUGUUGCCGUUUCUAUAGAGAAAGGUCAGCAAAAGUAAGGAAAAUUGGAAAGUGCCCGUCGCAUGGGAUUUUGAUCAAAGCUUUUUCUGUAGACGGCAUAAAUAGUACUGUGUAUAGCUUUUAUAUUUUUACUAGGGAUUUUUUUUUGUUCUCUCACCAAGGUGUACGAAUUUCUUGAAGAUCUCUUUUUCUUUUUAAAUUUCUUGAAGAUCAAUAAAGUAAUUAUAUUUACAACUUACAUUAAAAAGAAAACAAAAUGCAUCUUUAAACUUCCAAUAUUUUGUUUGCGUAAUAAAGAAAGUCUAUAGAGCGUAAACAAUUCUUUCUGACAUUAUCAAAGAACAUAAAAUGAUCAAAGUUGUACAACAGAAAAAAAAAAAAAUUUUUUUUUCCAAACAAUAUUGUGUUUCAUGUUUAUAUGUAUGUUGUGUUGGACAUUCUUGAACUUUUUGGCGGAGAUUUUCGUUGCAAUAUAAAAUUUUUGGAAUCCAUCAGCAUAAAUAGUCCUAAACUUUCAGAUCUGAAUUUAAUCAAACUGUCCUUCUAAUCAAAUGCUUCUCCUAAUUCUGGCCUAUUAACUAAAAAGAAAAGAAAAGAGUAUAUUUACCUGAAGCCAAAAAAACUAAAAAAUAAAUAGAAAAAUUUAUAAGUUUUGAUACCGAUGCCAACUAAAUUAUAGUUGGACAAAUACUACGACCAACUAAAUCUGCCUGGAAUUGAUAAAAUUUAGCUUUAGCCAAUUUAUUCUGACUUUCUUGAAUUUCACGAAUUAUUUAGUAUAAUCUGUCUCUAGAAAAUAUAGAACUACAACAUAAAUAGCAUAAUUUGUCUUGAAAAUACUAUCGAAUUUUCUAGCAUAAUCUGUCACCAGAAAUUAUAGAACUACAACAUAAAUGGCUUAGCCUAUGGACUGAUCAUGGUUUAGAUAUUUCUCCAAAAGCUACUCGAAUCACCUUUUUCUGUGGAUUCAGUAGGAAAAAUUAGUCAUGGAAGAUAAAAACGGUCAAUCUCAUUAAAACAUUUCAUUGCUUUACAUUUCUUAGAUAUCGAAAUAGACAUUUUAUGCGUGUUUAAAUCUCAAAAAAAAGUAAAACCAAAGAAGAAGGGAAAGGAGAAAGGGACAGAACAAGAAGACCUCUGAAAUUUUACAUGUUUUGUUGGGAUAAUUAAAUACUAGCAUCAUUUGUUAUACAAAGUAACAAGCCAACUUGAGUCGAACUUGAAAGUCUAUUUGAAUCUCAAUAGGUUAGUCAACUUAUAUCUAUUCAAAAAUCACCUAUGAGGUUCCAUUCCUCAUGCGAUCGAAAACUUAGUCUCACUUCAGUUUCCUGUCUUGUCCCAAAAUUAUCUUAUUGGUUCAAUCCCUAAGUCGCUAGGCAAUUUUAACCAAUUUGAUGCAUUUAUAUCUCUUUGACAACAACAUUCUGGUUCAAUUCCAAAGAGUUUGGGUGAUCAAACAUUCCUUUCAGAUAUGAAUUAGGUAAGAACCAACUUAAUAUGGUUCCAACUUCCAACCCUAUUUUAAUUGAUAACUCGAGUAACUUAGAAAAACAGUAGUAUCUCAUAAAAAGCCAUAUUCUGAUACCAUCCCACAAGAGCUUGGAAACCUCAAAUAGUUGGUAGUCUUGGAAUUGGAUUAAAAUCAAUUAUCUAGUCCAUUGCCAGAACUACUUUGUCAAAAUGGCACACUUCAAAACAUUUAUGUGUCUAAGAACAUGCUUACAGGUCCAAUACCUAGAAGUUUGCGAAACAGCUCAAGCUCAUGCUCAGCACUCAUUUUUGGUCUAUUAGUACCUUGAAAGAGGAAGCUUGUCCAAAAUUUUGAGCGUCAAAGAAGAAGCCAAGAAACAAGAUUGGCAAAAGAAGUUGAAAACCAUCUAAGGCAUCGCUCAUGCUUUAUUUUACAUGCAUCAUGAUUGUUCACCCGCAAUUGUACGUCGGGACAUAUCAAGCAAUUGUACGUCGGGUCACGUUUAAGAUUUUGGCACUCCUUAGUUUUAGUCUUUGAUCUUCUGUUAUUAUCCCCUUAAAGACUUUUCUUCCAACUAAUGUCUUUUUAGCAUCCACUAAUUGAUUACUACUUUUUAAAGAACUUAAAAAGUCUAAGUAAACUCCUCGAUUAGAUUAUAUAUGUAUCAGCGCUCUUAAAUGAAAAAAGACUUUUUUAUUGUAUCCCAAAAGACUUUCUUUAGUCAAGAUGAUAAGUAUAUUCGAGCUCUUAAAUAAAUUCUUUUCGUUAACAACUGCUUUCAAAAUGGGUAGUAAUUAAUUUGUAGAGAAUUACUUGGACGAAAAGACUUGGACAACCAACCUCAUCUCGACUGAUAAGUCUUUUGGACCUUUGCCAUUAAGGCCCAACAUUAAAUAUGUUUAAAAUCAACCUCGCCUAUGGGACUUUUACUAACAACUGCCCACCACUAAAUUUGUUUGAAAACAUCAGCUGUUUCCAUCCCAAAUUUGUUCAAGGUGAUCCUAUAUGUUGGACCUUCGCACACAAGGACCCAAUAUUAUAAUUGCAUCAAGCCGAUCGCUACUGGAUUGAUCUUGACGGUUGGCCGGACCUUUACGAACAAGGGCCCAACAUCAAAUUUGUUUGAAAAUAUAUAUUGACUGUGAAAGUCUGUUAGGCCUUUGACAGUAAACGUUAGCAUCCAAUUAAAUUUGUAGCAAAACAGGACUACCAUCUUCUAAAAAAUUAUAUUUAAUCAUAUUUAUUAAACUCGCCCGACAAGGAAGUCGACAUGCAUGGAUGGUUCACUGCUUCAACCAAUGGCCCAAUAAAAGAAUAUUUAUAAAUACUUGGUAAUAUAUAAAAUUUAUAAAUAAAGUUUAUUUAAAAUAUUUUAAACAUUUGUUUCCUUGUAUAUAAGAAAAAAAUUAUUUUAAAUACAAAAGAUAAUUAAUUAUUAUGGAAAAUUAUAUUUCAAUAUUAAUUGAACUUACAAGUAGUCUAAGAUAUCAUGAUGCAGUAUAAAGAUUUGACAUCCUACUAUAUAGGCAUCUAGAAUGAAUAUGGAAAGAACUUUUCCUAUGUUUUUAUGGAGAGCCGAUUCUCUGUCCAAUAUUUUGUGUACAAUUUCCUGUCCGAUGUGAAACUACGUAGUUUUAUUUAUUAUAUUUGUUGAUGUGGCAACUAAAAAUAGGUGGCUGUUUGGCUGCUUUAUACUUUAAGCACCCAGGCGACGGCCUUGUCAAAUAAUUUCCAUUCACCGUGAAUUCCUCCAAAGCAAAAGCACUACAUAUUUCUGGUGGCAACAGGUUUUGGGAAUUGUAACGGUAGCAAUAGGGUUUUGGGAAUUGUAACAAAGUUGUGUAAACAAAGGAAACCCAAAAAAGAAGAAAGAAAAAAAGUAUAAGGCAGUCAAACAACCACCUAUUUUUAGUUGCUACAUCAGCAAAUAUAAUAAGUGAAACUACGUAGUUUCAUAUUGGACAGGAAAUUGGACACAAAAUAUUGGACAGAGGAUUUGCUCUCGUUUUUAUGAGGGAUGAGAUUUCAAGAAAAAGUUUGAAUGAGUAUUCUAAGGGCAAACGAGAACUUGGUGUCUACUAAUUGAUUAUUAUUUUUUGAAAGACUUCUAAGUUUAAGUAAACUUCUCGAUUAAAAUGUCAAGAUGAUAUAUAUCAGUUCUCUAAAAUGAAAAGACUUUUUUACUCUAUUCCAAAAGACUUUUUUAGUCAAGAUGAUACAUCAACGCUCUAAAAAAUAUACUCAUUUCAUCAACCUCAACAAUUGCUUUCAAAAAGUAGUAAUCAAUUAGUGGAAUAACUUCAAGGAAAAGACUCAGGUAGCCAUCAUCGCUCUUAAACGAAUUUCUUUUUGUCAACAAUAGCUUUCAAAAUGUAGUAAUCAAUUAGUGGAAUUUCAAAAAGUUGGAAUAAGUAUUCUAGGGGGAAAGGAUUUUUCUACUUAAAUGAGCCAUAUCAAACAUUAGAAUGGAAUGAACAAAUUGAAAAGAUCUUUUCUAUUCAAGCCAUUCUUGCAUGCAAAAUCAGGAAUUAGUGUCUACUGAUUGAUUAUUACUUUUUGAAAGACUUAUAAGUUUAAAUAAACUCCUCGAUUAAAAUGUCAAGAUGAUAUAUAUCAGUUCUCUAAAAUGAAAAUGACUUUUUUACUCUAUUCUAAAAGACUUUUUUAGUCAAGAUGAUACAUCAACGCUCUCAAAAAUAAACUCAUUUCAUCAACCUCAACAAUUGCUUUCAAAAGGUAGUAAUCAAUUAGUGGAAUUACUUCAAGGAAAAGACUCGGGUAGCCAUUAUCUCUCUUAAACGAAUUUCUUUUUGUCAACAAUAGCUUCCAAAUGUAGUAGUCAAUUAGUGGAAUUUAAAAAUUUUGGAAUGAGUAUCCUAGAGAUAAAGGGCUUUCUCGCUUAAAUGAGCCAUAUUAAACACUAAAAUGAAAUAGACAAAUUGGAAAGGCCUUUCCUAUUCAAGCCAUUCAAUAGGGAGAACUUGUCAUAGAAGACAAAAAAUGGUCAAUUUCAUUGAACAUUUCAAUAUUGCAUUAAAUUUCUUGGCCCAUUGGAAUAGACAUCUUAUAUGUUUCACUCUCAAAAAAAUAAAAAUAAAAAUGAAGAAGAAAGGGAAGGAGAGAGGGACCGAAGCAGAAUACUUCCGAAGUCUACCCUGUAUUGUAAAGUUGGGAUAAGUACUAGUUUCGUUUGUGGUACAAAGUAACGAUCUUUGGCAACUCGAUUUGAACUUAAAUGUAAUUGUGGGGUCUUUCCAAAUAAUUUCCAUAUUCAUUUUGGUCCUACUUUUUCCAUCAUUAUGGAAGACUUAUAAAAGCUAUUACCAUUUGAUUAAAGUCAUGAUCCCGAGUCAACCAACCACAGCGUAUUGAUGGGAGUUCAGGAAGGGAAAAGGAGAGAAGAAGGGGAAGCGUUGCGCAAAACUUAGAUAUCCACAAGACUGGGGAGGCCAAGUUUAAUUUAAACAUUUGCAGCCCUUUAACUAACAGGAAAAGAGAAGGGUAUAUUAACCUGAAGCAGAAAAUACUGGAAUUCAAACGGACAGAAAUAGAAGUUUAGAUUCCGAUAUCGAUUAAAUUCUGUUUUGAGCCAGUACUACGGCCAACUAAUUCUGCCCAUAGAAUUGGUAGAAAAUUACUCCUUUGGAUUUCUACUUUCCUUUUUUAACAUAUUGAGUUCAUCCGGCUGUGUUUUAAGUGUACAAAAUUUUUGGGAGUAAUUUUUUUUUUUUGCUGGUGUAGGGCUGCAAAUAAGUUGAUUCGAGUCAAGUUUUGAUUUAAUUGAAUUGAGUUUGGACUCGAUUUUACCAAAUUCGAGCUCGACAAACUCUCAAUAUAAAGUUCGAAUUUAAGCUCGACCUCAAAUUAGGCCAAGUCGAGCUCGAGGUCGAGCCUACUCGAGUUUAAAAAAAUAAAAAUAAUUAUUUUAUUUUUUUAAAAAUGAAUAAAACAGUUAUUUUUUCUUAACAAAUAAUAAAAGCUGGAUCAGUUUUGUCUUGGGUGUUUUUAGAAAAUAUUUAUAGCAGAUGCUUUCAAAAAAUAAAUCUUCCAUUUGCAUGGUUGUACUUUCAAAACUGGGGCUAUUCGGAUGGUGGAGCUUUGUAAAACACGUUUUAGAAAACUGGCUUGUCCGUGAUGUUUGUUACUUAUUCAAGCCUAAUUAAGUCAAGAACAAUCGGAGCCAUCAUAAAAAAAGGUUGAUGUAUUUCUUUUUUUGUCUGUCUACUCAAAAGAAAUGAUUACACACACAUAUAUAUAUGAUAGGUGGAGUAUUCUUCCAUUUAAAUUCAGCGGUAAAAAUUUCUCCAGAGUCGGGCGGUGCCAUCAAUCGUUAAUAGUGCAGCCAAGCUCAAAUUUAUUCUAAACCAUGUAUUACUUUAAAAAAAAAAAGUAACUAAAUCAUUUUCAAACUCAAAUUUGAAAUUGAACCCAAAAUCAAAUUCACCUGGUUUAAUUUAAUGAGCCGAACUCAAAUUUGAAAAUUGAAUAUCUAUACCAAUUAAUGAAUCAAAUUGAGUAGCAUUUAUAACUCGUUUAAUAUUCAAUUGAAUUCCAAUUCUAUUCAUAGAAUAAGUGAAUAGAGUUUAAACAUUAUGUACUUGAUUUGAUUCUACCCGUUAAAAGCUCCAACGUCAAGUGGCUGUCAAGUGGCUGAUUGACAUAGCUCAUCAGGCGGGUAAAAGCAUUAGAAAAAAGAUUGUGCUAAAAAAUUUUUAUCGCCCAACAUAUUUCGGGUAGAAGAUGCUUGUAAUUGCUUGAAACAAAACUGGUGUCUUUCAUUGUUUGUGUUCCCAAAUUUUGUGUUUGAGUUUUCAUCCGCUUAAGGUAUCUUGAACAUUCUUGAACUUUUUGGUCUAAAAAAAAAACCCUUUUGAAGUCAAUAUAAUUAGUCCCAAACUAUUUUGAAUGUAAUCAAAUGCUUCUCCUAGUUCUGGCCAAAUUAAUCUCAUUUCGUGUCAACCUGUGUCUAUGCCGUUAGCUAACAGGAGAUCAGAAGUAAAGGGCGAAUGCAAAAAAUACUUGAAAAACGAGAAGUUUUGAUAUCAAUACCAACUCAAUUCCAGUUGGGCAAGUACUAAUGCACUAUGACCAACUAAAUCUGCCAACUCAAUCUCUAUACUAUUGAAGGCAAUUCGAGUCACCUUCUUCUGCAGAUAUAGUAGGAAAGUCAUCCUUAUAUUUUCUAAAUCAGUAACAGAAUAUCAAAAUGUUCAAUCUUAUCAAGACAUUUCUUUGCCAUCUGGAAUAGGAACUUUGCAUAAUCAAAAUGUCCAAUUCCAUCCACAAUUGGCAACCUCACCAAGCUAGUUAACUUGUACCUUUCCCAAAAUCACCUAAAUGGUUCCGUUACCUCUGCAGUCGGAAAUCUGAUCUCACUCCAGUUUCAUAUCUUGCAUCAAAAUAAUUUUAUUGGUGCAAUCCCAAAAUCACUGGGCAAUUUGACCAAUUUAACUCGUCUAUAUCUCUAUGAGAAUCAACUUUCAGGUCCAAUUCCAAAAGAUUUGGGUGAUCUCAAAUUCCUUGUCAACAUGGAAAUAAGUGAGAACCAACUUAAUGGUUCUAUUCCUGCUUCAAUUGGUAAUUUGAGUAACUUAAAUCAACUGUAUCUCCGAGCGAACCAAUUUUCUGGUACCAUACCAGAAGAGCUUGGAAAACUGCAAAAGUUGGUAGUUUUGGAAAUGGAUCAAAAUCAAUUAUCUGGUCCAUUGCCAGAACUGCUAUGCCAAAAUGGAACCCUCCAAAACAUUACUGUAUCUGAGAACAUGCUUCCAGGUCCAAUUCCUAGAAGCUUGAAAAAUUGCUCAAGCUUAAUUAGGGCCCGCUCCAAUAGGAACCAUUUCCAUGGCAACUUGUCAGAAAUGUUUGGUAUCUAUCCUUUCCUGGAUUUCAUAGAUCUUAGCAACAACGAUUUCCAUGGGGAACUCUCCAGCAGCUGGGGAAAAUGCAAAAUCUUGGCAACCCUGAGAGUCGCAAAGAACAACAUCACAGGUGGUAUACCUCCAGAAACUGGAAAUUUAACUCAAUUACAAGCACUUGAUCUGUCUUCAAACUAUCUAUCUGGGGAGAUACCAAGAGUAGUUGGGAAGUUGGCUUCUAUGCUUAACCUAUAUUUGCAUGACAACCAACACUGGCGGCAUACCUCAGGAGUUGGGUAUGCUAACAGAACUUCUUUAUCUAGACCUGUCCACAAAUUCAUUGAAUGGAUCUAUUCCAGAACAUUUGGGAGAUUUGAAGCACUUGUAUCACAUGAACUUGAGCAACAACUUUUUCAGCUAAAAGAUUCCAAUCCAGAUUGGAAAGUUAACCCAACUUUCUGAACUGGAUUUGAGUCGAAAUUACUUCACAGGAGAGAUACCAUCUGAGUUUCAAAGUUUGCAGAGCCUGGGAACAUUGGAUCUCUCACACAAUAACCUCUCUGGUUUAAUCCCAAAGUCUUUAGCAAAGUUGCCUGGUUCAUUGCACAUUAAUAUUUCAUUCAAUAAUUUAGAGGGUCCAAUUCCGAGUGGUAGAGCCUUUAUGAAUUUAACCAUAGAGGAAGUACAAGGAAAUAAAGGUUUGUGCGGGAAUAUUUCAGGGUUACCGGCUUGUGAAAGUUCCCCGUUGAUUAAAAAGCAUGUCAAGAAUAAGGGGAAGAAAAAACUUGUUCUCGCAAUUUUAAGUCCUCUUCGGGGAUCAUUCGUACUUCUUUGUGCAUUCUUUGGUGGUCUCAGAUUGCAUAAGCAAUGGAGAAAAAGUUCAGGAACGGAAGAUAUCGACAUGAACAAAGUAAAUUUAUUUUCCAUAUGUACUUUUGAUGGCAAAGCAUUGUAUAAGGAAAUAGUAAUGGCUACAGAAGAGUUCAGUGACAUAUUGUGCAUUGGUAAAGGAGGUUAUGGAAGUGUUUACAAAGCACAGCUUCCAUCAGGCGAUGUAGUAGCUGUAAAGAGACUUCACAACAUGCCUGAGAUGGCAAGUCAUAAAAAUUUGUUGAAUGAGAUAAGGGCCUUGACAGAAAUCAAGCAUCGAAACAUUGUGAAACUCUUUGGGUUCUGCUCAAAUUCUCAACAUUCAUUUUUGGUAUAUGAGUACCUUGAAAGAGGGAGCUUGGCCAAAAUCUUUAGCAUAGAAGAAGAAGCUAAGGAACUAGACUGGCGAAAGAGAUUAAAAAUCAUCAAAGGCAUUGCUUAUGCUUUAUCUUACAUGCAUCAUGAUUGUUCACCAGCCAUUGUACAUCGGGACAUAUCAAGCAACAACAUUUUGCUUGAUCCAGAAUAUGAGGCUCACAUUUCAGAUUUUGGCACUUCUAAGUUUCUGAAAAAUGAUUCAUCUAGUUGGAGUUCUCUUGCUGGCACAUAUGGAUAUGUUGCACCAGGUAAUAAAGGUUUUUUCUUUCAUCAAUUUGCUAGCUACUAAAUUCAAGUAUGAUCACAUGUUAUCACAACAUUAUUUUCCAAAAUUCCUUGCAGAAUAUGCCUACACAAUGAAAGUAACUGAAAAGUGUGACGUUUAUAGCUUUGGGGUCCUGACAAUGGAAGUGAUGAAAGGAAAGCAUCCCGGUGACUUGAUUGCUACUUGCUCGAUCAAAGACUUCUGUAUCCCAAUGAAGAAAUUGAAAACAUUCUGGCAUUCGUUCUUAAACUAGCAAGAGCAUGUCUACAGGUUGAUCCACAAUCUAGGCCAACGAUGCUCGUUAUUUCCAGGUUGUUAUCAACUGGUGCAUCGUCUGUGUAACAUCUUGUGAGUAAUCGUGGCCAUAUAACUCUUUUUUUCCCCUUUUUUGUUUUGUUUUGUUAAGUAAAUAGAUAUAACAGAUAUGCAGAAUCUGAUAACUGUUUUUUUUGGUUUGGUGCCUACAUUGCCUCCUGUCAGCUGCUGUGUCUCACAAUUUUUUGUUUUCUUACAUAGCGCUAUCGAGCAACAACACAAGAUGACAUGAUGAUGAAUAUGGCAGAGUAUUUAAAGGCACAAGAUUCUGCCAAAAAAAAAAAGGGGUUGUGGCUACUGGCUAUGUAUUUAUAUAGAGGUGCAGUACAAUGGGCUACUGCCAGUGUAGAAGUCUUGAAAUGUGCUGAGUUUGUAUUUAUUGGAAAAAUAAUCUAUUCAUAGCUAGUAAUUCAGUGGGUGAAUUGUUACGAAAAAAUAUAAAAACAGUGAAUGGAUGAACAAGUAGACACUUUGGGAAAGUAAUCUGUGAAUUUUUCAUUUGGAAAGUACUAGCUAUCUAUGACAUUGUUAUUCCAAGUAGAAACCUUUCAAAAAAAUUUAUCUUUCUUCUCGUGGUCAACAUUUAUUUCAAUUACAUAAAUGCAGAUAUUAGUAUCUUACUUCGUAAAUACUAUAUAUUGAUAGCCCUAAAAUAGCUAGCAUUAAACUGCUUCAAUUGAUUAGAAUUAUAAACAAAGGACUUGUUCCAAGGAUCUUUCUCGUUGUUGAAGGUGCGAUGGAUUAGUUGAGAUCAAGAAGAGAAAGAAAAAUACAGCGAUCAGAGCCUUGCUGUUGGUAGCCAUUGUUUUUUAUAGAAAGGGUUAUAAGAACUUAAUGUUGGUUCUAUUCUAUUAUCCUUUCUCGAUUUUUUUCGUAAAAAAAAAAAUGGGUGAAAAAAAUUGGGUAGGUACUAUUUCGAUUAUCACCGCAAGUCAGAAUAUGCUUUUGGAACCAUGGAUUGGUAUAGGAAUUUUUACAGAUUAUCCAUUAACAUAGUUCUCGCAUCAGCAAUUGAAUUCAAACAUAUCACUUUUUAUGAGAAAAUAAUCUAUCCUUGACAACUAAACUUAACUCGUGUUUGACUAGUGAUAGUUGCAUGUAAUGAAUCAUACUUUUAUGGUCGUUGACGACCGGACCAAGUUUCUCAACAAUUACAUUGACAAUUGCCGUCUUAGGUUAGCAGUCCAAAUGGGCUGAGCUAACAUGGUCCUAUUAGAGGGGUCAACUUGAAACUUCAAUUAAAUUGAGUGGCUCGAAUUGGGUCAUGCUGACAUCUAAUAUGGGACGCGAAAGAUAUGGAGCCUUUCUAGUUCCAAUUCUCUCCAAUUGUGUAAACUAAUAAAAUUUUGAUAUAAACAUAAUUUAUAAUUGAAUUGAUGCAAAACUCACGAUUAUACUAAAAAUCUAUUAGUGUACACCAAAAUUGUGCCAGUUUAUUCAAUAAGACAGCAUUGGAUGGUACCUCAACUGGAAAAGCCUCGAAUUCGAACGUAAACUACUCUCAGUAAUUGCAAUCGCUAAUUGGCCAAGGACCUUGAGACCCAUAAUUAGAAUAAUUCUAUACGAGAUUCACGCACAGAGAAAUAAAGGCAUCAUCGAAUUGGAGACUCGUGUCUUUUGUUAAGGAGGUUGAGAGAUGGACAAGGAUAUUAACGGAUGAAAACAUAAGAUAAUCAGUAUUUGUUUGCCUUGCCACUUCUUGUUGGGUAAGAACUGGUGUUCUUUUGUUUGGAAGCACUGGUAUUGUAAUUUUUUGAUACCGUGAAGGUGGAUUUACACUCCCUGUCCUUCUUUCUAACCCUCCCUCUUACCCCUCUUAGUGGUAUGGUGUCCACACUAGUAAUUUCUCAGAGUUUAUAAAAUAUUCCCAAAUGAUGAUGGUUUUUUAAAACUUCUUCUCAAAAGGUGAAAAAUACAUCCACUGAGGGUCUGUUUGUUUGGAAGGAAAAUAUUUUCCAGAAAAUGUUUUCCUGAUUUUCUAUUGUUUGGUUGGUUUAUUGCUUUGGAAAAACUUUUUCCUACUGAAAAUAUAUUACAUCAGAUGGUGUAAAAUGACUUCCCAUAUAAAUGAACCGAAGUUAUUUUCCAUGUUUGUCUCGUAUGUCGUAAGACUAUCCAUUCAUGCUCCCCCAUCAGCCUUAAGAUUCAGAACAAAACCCACCACUUGUGCAAUAACCCACUAAAGAUUUAUAGUCUCCAUCUCCUCCCAAACACCGGAAAAAACAUGGAGAAGGUAAUUAUUUUUCUCGAUAAAAUUUUUCAUGGAAGACAUUUUCCGUUGAAAAUAUUUUACAUUGAAUCAAAUAGACCCUGAAUGCAAAUGUUUUUCAAAACUUUCAUUCAUAAUAUACGUUCUUAAAUUGUCUAAGUUUUGAAAAUUUCGUCCACACUUCAUAUAUUGACUUCGUGCGUUCUAAACAUGCGUCUUAUCAAUUGAAAGAAUAAUCCAUCUUCCUUUUCCUGCAGGACAUUUCAAUCCAUGAAGAGAUUCACUCACAAAUUAAGUAGCAAAUUUUCAAUCCGUAGACCAAUGAAACUCAAUAUCACAAAUACGAUCCUUUUUAAUCCAUCUUCCUUCCCAAAAGUUGCAUCCAUAAAAUACGUUCUUUACUUUGUCUAAGUUUGGGAAAAUUUCCUCGUGUCUCCACUCCAUAUUUGACUUGUACAUUUCGAACGUGUCUUAUCAAUUAAGAGGAUAAAUAUGAUACUGCUUAAUCCUUCUUCCUUCUUUUAUACAACCUUUCAAUCCAUAAAGAGAUUCCCUUACAGAAUAGCAAAUUUUCAACUUGUGGAACAACUCUUCUUAAUUCAUCAUUUCUACUGAAAAGUUACAUUCACAAAAUACGUUCUUUAAUUUAUCUAAGUUUUAAAAAUUUUCUCACGUCCACACUCUAUAUUUGAACCCUUACGUUCCAAGCAUGUGUUUUAUCAAUUGUGAGAACAAACACGACCAUUCUUGAUCCAUCUUUCUUCUUCUAUACAACCUUUCAAUCAACAAAUAGAUUCGUUUAUGGAGUAGCAAAUUUCCAAUUUAUGGACCCAUGGAACUCAAUUUCACAGAUAUGGCCCUUCUUAAUCUGUCUUCCUUCUCAAAAGUUACAUCCAUAAAAUACGUUCUUGAGUUUGUCUAAAUUUUGAAAAUUAUCUCGUGUCCACACUCCUUAUUUGAUCUCGUAUAUUCCAGGACCUUGUACAUUUCAAGCAUUUAUCUUAUCAGUUGAGAGGACAACCACUCUUAAUCUAUCUUCCUUCUCCUCUACAACUUUUCAAUCCACAAAAAGAGAUGCACUCACACAAUAGCAAAUUUUCAAUUUAUCUUUAAUUUGUCUAAAUUUUGUGACUACUAAAUCCGUGACUCUCAUAUACAUGUCACAAUGUGGUCACAAAAAGUUUGUGACUAUUCAAACCCUUUUAUGACUACUAUUUACGAGUCACAAAAAUUACUUUUUUUAGUAGUGUUCAACUAUGCAAGCUUGCCAAUUGAUUAAGUUCGACUGUUUUGCAGCUCUAAUUAUUUCAACCAUUUGCAGCUCUUGAUUAGUUCAUACUUCGAUCAGACCAUGUUGAACAUAAUUAGAGAGGUCUCAACGUAAUGAGAAAUUUAUAAUCAAAAUGAUACCUUGAAAUAGUUAUUUAAUUUCAUUCAGUAAAUGAUACAUCUCUUUCAGUGGCAAACAUUUAUGGAAUAAAAGGUUUUGUCCGCGUAAUAUUACAAUCGUAUCAUAAGUACUUUAAUUUAUUCAGGUAUCAUUGUCGAUCAGCUUUAGAAGCAGAUGUUAAUCAACUUCUAUGAAUUGGUUUCACGGUCACGAAUCACGGCCGAAGUGCACCUGGCGCAGGCGGCAGAGGGGUCUCAUAGGCGAUUCUGCGGUCCGUCCCUAUUUCUUUUGCCGCAUAUAUUUUGUCAUUACUCCUAAAUCCAUCUGCAAUUUAGAAAAGUAGAAGAAUAUGAAAGUGACUCCAAUUCUUUUUCUUUUUUCGACGAAAAAAAGCUAAGAAUAAUAGUGAUGAACUAAUGAUGAGUCUGCACUAAGAGCGGACGCCGGACAGUACAAAAUGUGCCCUAAGGAAGGAUGAAACGGGCCAGCAGAGUUUUUUUUUUUAUCAGAAGUUUAAAAAUAUUGUGCAAAAGUAGGGACAUAGAAAGGGUGGGGAUAAUGCUAUGGUGGGUGCAUCCUGUUUUUGACAAAUUUUAACUUGUGAGGCCCUAAUCCAUCCUUCCAUUCGUGAGUCAUAUGUCAAGGCAGAGCUAGCAUGCAGCACAAAACAAAGACUCCAGUAUGAUGAGUGCAAACCAGUAAUCUUUUUCUUUUACUAUUUUUAACCAUGAUUAUCGAUAAUCCACAAAUAUGAAAUCUUAGAACUAUGAAGAGGAAUCACUUACUUGUCUCCAUGAUCUUUCUCGGCGUUGAAGGUAGGAUGGCCUGAGUUGAAAUUAAGAAGAGAAAGAGAAGUAUGGUGAACAGCGCCUUGCUGUUGCUGCCCAUGUUUGUUACACAAGAGUGUUAAGGUUAGUGCUUGUAUUCUAAUCUUCCUACUCGAUGAUUAUGUAAAGAAACACACUUUUAUAGCCAUUUUGCGAAGCAAUCGAGUUUCUCUGCGAUUACAUUGAUUGUUAUGUUUGUCGUUUGAGCCGUCAACUUUGAAACAUAAGCUUCAACCAAAAAAAAAAAGGAAUGGCUCGAAUUGGGUCAAGCUGAUCUAGUCAAGUAUAGGACAUAACCACCUCGGUAAAUAUUUAAGUAAUCCUGUGUAGAGAAAUAAAGGUAUUAUCCCAAAAAUUCAACUCAGCCGGUAGCGACACUAGUCAAGUAAACAUUAAUUGUCUAAUUCAACCUUCAAGGCUUUCCCUUUCUCAUUCUGGUUUAGAAUUGCCCCUGAAAAACUAAACCAGAGAGAGAGAGAGAGAGAGGCAUCAUCAAAUUGGACAAAGACUUUAAUUCCUCCUUUGACAUCAGUCCAUAAAAACGUACGAUAAUUGCUAUUUAUUUGGCGUGCCACUUGUAGGUGAGGCAAGAAAUUGGAGACAAGCACAAAUAAAUUGUUACUAAACCUAGUCAAUUAUUGGGUAUGGUUUAAUAAUGGGAUGGUUAACAUAGUAACUUUUCGAAUUAAAUACAGUUGUAUAUAAAAACUUGGGAUAAAUUGACAGGUGCCGAACCUGUGCAAUAAUAAUAAAUAAAACCUAACUACCACCUAAAUCAGUCAAUAAUCAAUCCGAGUACUGGAGCAGGGACUCUAGGUGUGCAAUGGGUUACUUGAUUCACCCUGUUCCCGAAGAGUUUGCUUAAUCCGAUAUACCUGAAUUAAUUAUUUAACUGAGUUCUCUAACUAGUAGAUAGUGGUAAGCAGGGUCGUCUCCUCAGGGACUGGAGAGAUAUUUGUUUCUUUUCAAAUCAAGAUUAAUGGGGGGUUUUGGUAUCAAAUGCCAACUAAACAAAUUAACUGCAGAAAAUAAUUAAUUAAAAGAAAUAAAUGAGAGAAACUCUAGCCAAGGGUAUACUUCAGAAAUGGUUCAUGCACUGAUCAUUGAUUCAAAGGUAAUUCCAACAUUUACUAAUAGAUUGGUUCUAGUUGUCUCGCACGCGCUAAACAACCAACCCUUCCUUAAUUUAUCGAUAGCCAAGGUACGACCGUUAGCUAUUUCUCUAACCCAAAAACAACCCUAGGUAUGACCGUAGGAUUCAAUUUCCAGAUUGCAUUAAUAAUUAGAAAGGCCCAAUCCUAACCAAUAAACACGCUACGAGGGUUUAUUUAAGUUAGAUCAUAUAUUCCCCUGACAUAAACCCAAUUAUACCAGUUGCUACUGGGAUAGAGGUAACGAACAAUUACGGAUUCAAUUACCUCUAUUUAGCAAAAUAGCCUAUAUGAAUAAUUAAUUAUUGCGCACUAAUCAAUCAUACACAAGAGCUAUAACAGUUAAAAGCAAAGAACAUAUAAAUACCAAUAAACGGAGGAAAUAAUUAAAAGCGGUUUAGAUCUCACAGCAUUAAUUGAACCAAUUCAUCAGCUGUCCCUUGACUAGAAUUAGAGAAUUAGCCCUCCAUUAAUGGAGGACAAACCGCGCGUGGAAAACUGAGAAAGGUUUGCACUUCGAUUAUCCCGCUUCGGUCCACCACAGGAGGAGAAAGCUCAAAUUUGUAUUGCUCUCGAUUGUUAAGUGGAAACAUACGAGAGAUUGCUUUUGUUCUCCAAUUCGAUUCGCACAAGGUAGGACAGCCCAAGAGCAAAGUCAACAAUGACGGCUCCUUUAAGCUUUCUUCCUUUUUCCAAUUGAAGUCAAGAUACACGAGAGUGAAAGUUUCUCAAUUGCUUGAUUUCUCAAGUUGUCAAGUCAAAACAUGAAGAAUUGGUUUCUCACAAGUCAACAAUGAUCGCUUCUGUCCGUUGCCUUUCUCCACUUCAGGCUGCGGCUCUCUCCUCUCAUUCAAAAACAAAAACGAAGACUCCCCUCUAACCUAAGCCGCGCCAGAGAUAAAUUACAAAUUGUUACUUCUCCAAAAUUGCAGCAAGACUCCCUAGAAAUAUAUUAAAAUAAAAUCUAUUACAAUUAGGUUUUUUUCAGCUUCUCAAACGGGCCCCACGUCCGACGAAUCUCCUAAAAGUUAAAUUUAAGCACUUUUCGGCACCCAUUCCUGCAAUUAGCACCCAAAACAGAAUAUUAGUAAAAUCCACCCAAUUAACGAAAAUAUUCAGUCAAUUAAUUAUGCAAUAACGCCCAAAAUACCCACUAAAAUGCAACCUAUCAAUCUCCCCCACACCUGAACUAUGCUUGCCCUCAAGCAUAAUUAACUCAGAAGUAAAAUCAAGAUGCUAAGCAAAUCACAGCAGUUCACACCAAGAAUGGCAUUCCAAGUUCCCCAAUAACCUUAUCGAAAUCAGAAUAUACUAAAUCAGCAACGCUCGCAGUUCAACGUGCACUCAUUCACUCCAAAGUGUAUAUGAAAUGUAUAUAAGAUGGCUCUCAAAUCAACACAAUAGAAUGGCACUACCAUAAGCUUGCUCUUAUAUCAUAUCUCUACCACUUACUUAUGAAUUUAAAUGCAGCAAUCAAGGGACUUCAAAAGGUUGUAAUGGGGCUAGGGUGAGAAGGUAGGAUAAAAAGGAGUAGAAAGGGUGCAAAAGUAUAAAGAAAGUGCUCAGAAAUUCAUUACACAGAUUCUUGUACAUUUGAAGCUUCAAGGCAUCUCAACCAUCUUAUAAGUGGAGUACAUUGGCAUUUGCCACGGCUUUCGACUUUUCUCCUUUUUCAUUCAUCUACUUCCCCUCUCGUUUUCUUUCCCCCCUUUUUUUUUUUCUUUUGCUUUUUUUUCAAUACUCCCAACCAGCACCCUAAAGGUCAACUUGACUUGCUGGUUUCCUGCACUUUGUCUUCUUUUCACAUCCCUUCUUUUUUCUUUUGUUUUUUUUUUGUUUUUUUUUUUCGGUGCAUAAAUGGGUGUAAUGCCCUUCGAAUAAUACUCCAAAAGUCUGUAUAAUGAAAUCAAAGCACUUCUUCACACGAGGUACAAAAAGAAAGUCUAAAGAGAUGUUUUACGGCUAGGAACUAGGGUCUCAAGCGAAGAGUAGGAGUUAAGGCUCAACUUGGCUCCCUAAUGGUAGUAAAUAAUCCAAGGGUCGGUUUUAAGAAAGUCCAAAAUGGCUCAUUCCUAGGUGCCCUAUCAUUUUAAUGCAUUAAACUCAUGUAAAUGUGGUCUUGACAUGCAUAACCGAGCAAGUUCUAGAAUGACAAACCAUGUGCACUAACCACUCAAUCAAACGAAAAAUUAGGCCCAAAAAUCGCACAAGUGGUCAAAUUUAUGUCAAGUUCAGCAUAUUAAUCAAUCAAUUCAGUAUCAAGGAAAGUGGAACACCCCAUGGCAUGAACUUACUAUGUACGCUUAUAUCCCAAUUCGCAUUCAUCAUCGUUCAAAGAAAAGACAACUACUAAGGCAAGGAAAAACUCAAUCAGACAACGAAAAGCACAACCAAAGCAUAGUUAACCCUCCCCCACACCUAAACCUUACAUUGCCCUCAAUGUAAGCAAAGUAAGACCAAAUUAGAGGUAUUGGGGCAACGACACUUCCCUGACAACGGAGGAGGGCAGAAAUUCAAAUCAUGGCUGCGGAGGGAAAGGCGGGCGGAAGCCCACGUGAUGGAGAUACUGCGCUAUAUUCUGGGCCAUCCCGCCCAUUUGACGCUCCAUCCGAUCCAUACGAGUGUCCAUGUGCUCUGGCCCUUAUUUUUUUGGUUUAGUCAUUGGAAAUCAGAGGGCAAGGUGGAGGCAAGGAAAUGGGAUUCCAAAGAGGUCAACAAACAGCCAACAAAGCAAAUGACAACUAAAUACAGCUUCCAAUCACAGACAAGUGCAGAAACGGCCGAUGAACACAUCCCCAAGAAUUAGUUAAACCUGUCAGCAGCAAAAUUUUCCCAAAAUACCACAAAUUCAACCCAAAAACUAUUUAAUUAGACAAACACAGCAAAAUUCCCCCAAAAACGAAUUAAACAGACAACUAGAGUAAGAGCUUUCCCCAAAUAUCACUGGGUGGGCACAACGUUAACCAAAUAAUCAACAAUCAAUCCACAGAUAUGCCACAGCACCCAAACAAGCACCAAUUUUCUGUCCUCAGCUAGCAAAUCAAAAAUCUGGCCUCAGCUAAGAAAUUAAAAUCUGGCAUUAGCUAAUAAAAGCUAGUAAUCUGGCCUCAGCUACUUAGAGACAGAAAAUGAAAGAGGGAUAUCACCGGAGAAAAAUUUUUCAGCUCAUUUGACAGGUUGAGGAGGGACGCGCGUGGCCUGCGAUGGUGGUCUUGAUGAUCGCGCGCAAUGACCUGCUGGAGAUGCGCGCGCCUGGCUGGUAGACUGUGCGACUUCAGGCGGGCGGCGGACUGGGCAGCGGACUGGAGCAGGGUGGGCGCGGAGGAGGCUGGCACGCAGAGGGCUCGCGCGCCUGGGCUGGAUCGCGCGCAGGAGCGGCGCGCAGGGGCGGCAUCGCUGGGCUGCGUCGCGCGCAGGGAGCGCGCUUGGGCGCUGGGGUGGAGUGAGCGUGGCGGAGGCGUGCGGUCUGCGCGCACGGUCUGGGUUGCGCGUGCGGUCUGCGAUGGGCGGCGGCGGCGGGCAGCGACGGCUGGGGCCUGGCGUGGGCACGCUCAACUGCCCUGAAGCCCGCAGAACCUGAGCGAAAAUUUCCUCCGUCAGGCGUGACCACCUGGCGUGGGCACGUCUAACUACUAUGGAGUUUGCAGAACCUGAUCGAAAAUUUCUUCCCUUGGAACGUGACCACCUGGCGUGGGCACGUCUAACUACUAUGGAGUUCGCAGAACCUGAGCGAAAAUUCCUUUCCCUCAGGCGUGACCACCUGGCGUGGGCACGCCUAACCACUAAUCUCCUGCCACAAAACAUCAAACCAUCAAUUGACACUAAUACAUAAUUAAAACUUCAAAAAUGCAUGAAAACUAAAACAAAUAGUCUUGGGUUGCCUCCCAAGUAGCGCCUUUCUUUAAUGUCUUUGGCUAGACAUAGCACCACUCUUUAGUCUGGAUGUAAUUGAAUUUUCCUUGUAAUUGGUGGCCCUCCUCCAGGAUCCACAUGGCCAUUGAGUGCAACUUUUUCCCUAAAUUUUCUCUCCAUUUUUACCUCAUGAAUUGCUUUCAUCCUAUAGGACUUGUUCGUAGCAACCUUGAAUCUACCCCUACAAGCAAACUUAGAAAAUUCUUGCACAGAGGGAUUAAUGGUAUACAUAGCAAACACAGAAUGAGAGUUAACAGGAUGUUUCAUUGUAUCAAAAAUGUUAAAGUGGACUAUUUCUCCAUCAAAUUCCAUCGUGAGAGUACCCUUACUAACAUCAAUUUUAGUCUGGGCAGUACUCAAAAAUGGUCUUCCUAAUAUAAUGGGUGAUGGAUUCGGGGCACUUCUAUCAUCCAUGUAAAGCACGUAAAAAUCAGCAGGAAAAAUUAAUCCAUCUACUUGCACUAAAACAUCCUCAACUAUCCCAUCCGGGUAAGCACAUGUACGAUCAGCCAAUUGAAUUAUUAUCCCCGUUUCUUUUAAAGGUCCUAAAUUUAGGGAAUCAUAGAUUGACUUAGGCAUCACAUUAAUAGAAGCCCCUAAAUCUAUCAUGGCCUUUUUGAUACUAGAAUGGCCAAUCUUACAGGGGAUAGCAAACAUACCUGGAUCUCCGCAUUUGGGUGGGAGUUUCCUUUGAAGUACAGCUGAUACAUUCUCUCCUACCAUCACUCUUUCAUCACCCCUUAGCUUUCUUUUGUUAACGCACAAGUCUUUCAAGAACUUUGCGUACUUGGGUACCUGUUUGAUCGCGUCCAAUAGGGGGAUGUUUACUUGAACUUUGCGGAACACAUCCAGGAUUUCUUUUUCCUUUUCUGCCCUCUUUGUCUUUUCCAACCUGCAAGGAAAAGGAGCUAUAUUAGAUUUAAUAGGGAUCGAAGGAAUAGAUGUUACCUUAGGCUCUUCGCGAAUGCGCCCUUCCUCUUCAAUCUCCUUUUCUAUCUCCUCCUCACUUUUGCUUUUCGAAUUUUUCCCUUUAGCCCCUUCCAACUCCUUCCCACUCCUCAGUGUCAUGGCGCUUACAUUCUUGGGAUUUUCCUGGGGCUGCGAUGGCAGUUUCCCAUAAACGUGAGAUUCCAAGCGGUUGAUGGCAGUUGCCAGUUGACUUAUUCGAACAUCUUGGUCCUUCUUGUCAGCUUUGGUGCCCUGCUGGAGCUGCUCGGUUUUCGCGGCCAAUGAUCUGAUCUCCUCUUGAAGUUGUGUAGUAGUCGUGACCAGGUUAGUAGUAGUCGUGGCCAGGUUCUUGACUAGAUCCUCCAAGGAACUCUCUGAAUUGGAGGAUGAGGGUUGAGAUUUUGGUUGCCAAGGCUGGUGGAAUCCUGGUGGACGAUUCGGGAAUGAACCUUGUUGCCUUUUCCCAUAACUGAGGUUGGGAUGGUCUCUCCAACCGGGGUUGUAUGUGUUGGAAUACGGGUCAUACUGCCUGCGGGGCGCGGGCACGCCUCCGGCCAUAUUUACCUGUUCCGCCCCGUUCUCUUGCAAAAUGGGGCACAAAUCCGUGCAGUGGUCCAUGCUAGUGCAGAUUCCACACACCUUUGCUCGCGGUGUGUCUCUCAUGGCCAAUUGCCUGACAGCAGACGUCAACUCUGACAGUUGCUGCUGGAUGGAUGACGUCUCUGCUUCAUUGACUCUACGGGUAGGAGUGUUCUCACGGAAGCCGAACUGCUGAGAGUUUUCUGCCAUGGCUUCAAUAAGGUCCCAUGCUUCCCUCGGUGUUUUGUUCGCCAGGGCUCCUCCACUCGCAGCGUCAAUAAUACCCCUGUCAGUUGACUGGAGCCCUUCAUAGAAGUACUGGAUCAACAGUUGUUCGCUAAUCUGAUGCUGUGGGCAUCCCUUGCACAACUUGUUGAACCUUUCCCAAUAAUCGUACAAUGAUUCCCCGGAGUACUGCUUGAUACUGCAUAUUUCCUUUCUCAAACUCGCAACCCGGGAUGCGGGAAAAAAUUUUUCUAGAAAUUUCUUUUUCAACUGUGCCCACGUGGUGAUACUACCUGCAGGUAGGUAGUAUAGCCAAUCCUUCGCUGCAUCCUUGAGAGAGAAAGGGAAAGCCCUGAGUCGUAUUUGCUCUUCGGUGACCGCAGGGGGUUUCAUGCUAGAGCAAACCACUUCGAAUUCCUUGAUAUGUUUGUGGGGUUCCUCACCAGAAAGGCCAUGGAACGAAGGUAGGAGUUGAAUCAACCCCGAUUUCAACUCGAAUGAGGUAUUCUCAGCCAGAGUUGGGAACGUGAUGCACAAGGGCUGAUGAGUCAGUUCUGGGGUAGCCAGCUCCCGUAAUGUCUGGGUGUUGGCCAUGCUCAAUUCGUCUUCUAUUGACUCGUUUUCAGAAAAUGAGUACCCUUCUUUUUGUCUCUUGGUCUCUUGCCUUCGCCUACGUGCUGCCUUCUCAACCUCAGGAUCGUAUACCAAGUCACCUGUGCGAGAAGAACGGGGCAUAAACUAGCAAAAGUACCAAGAAAAAGAAAAAUAAAAUAAAACAAAAUAAAAACUGAAUUCAAAAAGAAACAACUAAUUCAGACGCCAGUCCCCGGCAACGGCGCCAAAAAUUGACAGGUGCCGAACCUGUGCAAUAAUAAUAAAUAAAUCAUAACUACCACCUGCAACAGCUAGUAAUCAAUUCGAGUACUGGAGCAGGGACUCUAGGUGUGCAAUGGGUUACUUGAUUCACCCUGUUCCCGAAGAGUUUGCUUAAUCCGAUAUACCUGAAUCAAUUAUUUAACUGAGUUCUCUAACUAGUAGAUAGUGGUAAGCAGGGUCGUCUCCUCAGGGACUGGAGAGAUAUUUGUUUCUUUUCAAAUCAAGAUUAAUGGGGGGUUUUGGUAUCAAAUGCCAACUAAACAAAUUAACUGCAGAAAAUAAUUAAUUAAAAGAAAUAAAUGAGAGAAACUCUAGCCAAGGGUAUACUUCAGAAAUGGUUCAUGCACUGAUCAUUGAUUCAAAGGUAAUUCCAACAUUUACUAAUAGAUUGGUUCUAGUUGUCUCGCACGCGCUAAACAACCAACCCUUCCUUAAUUUAUCGAUAGCCAAGGUACGACCGUUAGCUAUUUCUCUAACCCAAAAACAACCCUAGGUACGACCGUAGGAUUCAAUUUCCAGAUUGCAUUAAUAAUUAGAAAGGCCCAAUCCUAACCAAUAAACACGCUACGAGGGUUUAUUUAAGCUAGAUCAUAUAUUCCCCUGACAUAAACCCAAUUAUACCAGCUGCUACUGGGAUAGAGGUAACGAACAAUUACGGAUUCAAUUACCUCUAUUUAGCAAAAUAGCCUAUAUGAAUAAUUAAUUAUUGCGCACUAAUCAAUCAUACACAAGAGCUAUAACAGUUAAAAGCAAAGAACAUAUAAAUACCAAUAAACGGAGGAAAUAAUUAAAAGCGGUUUAGAUCUCACAGCAUUAAUUGAACCAAUUCAUCAGCUGUCCCUUGACUAGAAUUAGAGAAUUAGCCCUCCAUUAAUGGAGGACAAACCGCGCGUGGAAAACUGAGAAAGGUUUGCACUUCGAUUAUCCCGCUUCGGUCCACCACAGGAGGAGAAAGCUCAAAUUUGUAUUGCUCUCGAUUGUUAAGUGGAAACAUACGAGAGAUUGCUUUUGUUCUCCAAUUCGAUUCGCACAAGGUAGGACAGCCCAAGAGCAAAGUCAACAAUGACGGCUCCUUUAAGCUUUCUUCCUUUUUCCAAUUGAAGUCAAGAUACACGAGAGUGAAAGUUUCUCAAUUGCUUGAUUUCUCAAGUUGUCAAGUCAAAACAUGAAGAAUUGGUUUCUCACAAGUCAACAAUGAUCGCUUCUGUCCGUUGCCUUUCUCCACUUCAGGCUGCGGCUCUCUCCUCUCAUUCAAAAACAAAAACGAAGACUCCCCUCUAACCUAAGCCGCGCCAGAGAUAAAUUACAAAUUGUUACUUCUCCAAAAUUGCAGCAAGACUCCCUAGAAAUAUAUUAAAAUAAAAUCUAUUACAAUUAGGUUUUUUUCAGCUUCUCAAACGGGCCCCACGUCCGACGAAUCUCCUAAAAGUUAAAUUUAAGCACUUUUCGGCACCCAUUCCUGCAAUUAGCACCCAAAACAGAAUAUUAGUAAAAUCCACCCAAUUAACGAAAAUAUUCAGUCAAUUAAUUAUGCAAUAACGCCCAAAAUACCCACUAAAAUGCAACCUAUCAUAAAUUUAGAAAUCUCUCCUGAGAUUUCUGACAAUUUCACUAAGCACUUCUAAAGUUUCAACAAUUACACUUACCUCUGUUGUAAUUUAAAAUGACCAUAUUAAACUUAAUAUUUUAAUAAAACUCCAUUGUUACCAUAUUUAUACAAAGAAUGAAUUUUAUAAUUUUGUUUCUUUUUUCUUCUCAUUCAUUUCUCUUUUAUCUUAUUAAAAAUGUAGAAAAACUAUUAAUGUUGUCUCUACAUCUAUCCUGAUCAAAUGUUAAACUAGUAAUAUUUUUUGAUAACUUUUAACAUCAUCUAAUUUUUUUUUUAGCUCUUAUAUUUUGUAUCAAAAUCAAGAAUAAAUCAACAACAACUAAAAACAAAUAGCCCAAAAUCACUACUAAACUAUGAUAGUUUCAUCACUAAACUAGUGCAUAAAUUUUUCUUCGAAAAGCAAAAAACUAGUCCAUAAACUUUUUAAAAAAAUGAUUUUAAAAUCAAGAAGAAAAGGUUUGAGAAAACUUCUCUCUUCGGCUCCUCUUCUCCAACUUCUCUCUACUGCUCCUUUUCUCUGAAUCCCUUCCUCUUCAGAAGGAAGACACCCAUGGUCUCCUUGAUUUCCCUCCCAUAGGUUUCGUUUUUGUUAUAUUCCUAAUAAAGUCUCCCCUAAAUUUUUUUAGUGGGAGAUCUCUGUUUCUCCUAGGGUUCCUGGUGAGAAUUUUUGUUCUCUUAGGAGUUCCUAGUGAGAUUUUGUGUUAUUUUUCCUUGUUUUGUUGUUUAAAUUUGAAUUUACUUCAGAUCUGGUUGUCAGAUCUGAAUUUAUUUCAGAUUUUGGUCUAUGACGGCAGAUCUCAUCAUCUUUAUUGGAGUUUACAACUGUUGAUUAGUAGAUCUGACGAUUGCAACAUGCAUGGAGUGGGUUGCAGUAUGAGGAGAUAAUUUUAAAAUUGAUGGUGCUUUUUAGAUUUGUUCUUAAUUUCUCAAGUCUUUUGCAUCUGUCAAAUUGUAGAUCUACAAUUUUAGUGCAUAUUUUAUCUACUAUUAGGGCAACGAUGUAUAUCAAUCGUGUUGGACGAUUUCCAGCAAUCCGUUAAUGAAAUAUGUUUUGUUAUAAAAAAAAAAAACAAGAUAACACUUUCUUCUUUAUCUUAAAAAGAAUCUAUAUCCCUAAUAAAGUACCAUGAAAAGUAGCCUAUUAUAGCAAAAAAUUUAUUGUUACCGUUGAUUGUCAAAUAAUAAAUAUUUGCACGAAAAACUUGAUAUUGUUUGACUGUUUUGAUAUUUGUGGUGAGUGACCUAAUAUGGAUAUUAGUCAAGAAAAUAUAUAAUCUAAUUUAAAUAGACUGAACUUGCGAGUUUGUUGAUUAGAAUUAGUGAUUUCUCUGAUUUUUAAUACUGUCGAUACAUUAAAUCCUAAGAGUUUGUUUAGCGCUAUCUAUUAAUAAGAGAAGUAAUCAAAGAAUUUAUUUUGAUUACCGAGAAAUUAAGAAGAAACUGGUUGCUAGGCUUGUUAAUAGCCAUAACCAAUUUAUUCAUGAAUAUAUAAAUUUAUCUUUGUAUCAAUGAUCAAUUGACUGAAUCAAGACCGAGAUUAAUCUUUUGACUAGAAGAUCAUUACUAUUUCAGUUUUAUUUGAUUUUCAUUAGUAUUUUUCUUUUAAUUGUAUUGUUUAAUUUAAUUUCUCAAAAAACCCCAUUUAAUUAUUGCUUUCACAAAGAAAUAAAUCAAUUAAUCUCCAACCCUACUCAUUACUGCACACAAGAGUAAUCAUUUUAUGAAUAGGUAUUUUUAUUUUGGGAUAAUUUCAGAAACCUCUCCUGAGGUUUCUGACAAUUUUACUGAUCUCCCCUGAGGUUUGGAAAAUUAUGUCUACCUCCCUUGAUUUAAUAGUUUUAGUAACAAAACUUUAAAAUAAUAUUGACUUGGUCAAAUUUUUAAAUGAAUACCCAAAAAUGCCCUUGUGUAAUGAGUUUUAAUUUAUGUUCCUAUACAAUUAUAAGAUUGUCUAGUAUAAGUAUAAAAAAAAGGUGCCAAAAUUUUCAUUUCCGUACCUACUAUUUGAUAAAUAAUUAUAAUAAUAAUUUUAUUAUUAUGAUAGGAUACUUUUGAUAGUAUUUUAUUAUGAAUUUAGAUUUAUAAGAUAGAAAAGAAAAUGUUGAAAUAAUUCAUUUAGAGUUUAUGAAUUUUUCGAGUAGUGGGAUUAUCAUAAUUUAGUUAUGAUUUUGGGCCAUUUCUUUUGAUUUAUUAUUAAUUUUAAUACUAAAACAUAGAAAACAAAGAUCAACAAAAACAUUGGAUUGCAUAUAAAAUUAACUCAUAAAAAAAAUUCACUUGUUUGACAUUUGAUUAUAAUAGAAACUAGAGGUAAUAAUGGUAGUUCUACAGUUUUAUUGGCAAAAAAUAAAAAAAUAAUAAUAAGAGGGAAAAAGAAUGAAAAAAUAAUUUUAAAGGUCACUCUAAGUAUAAACAUACCAAACAAGGGAAUUUCAUUAUAUUAUUUAAGGGUAGUAUUGCCAUUUUAAAUGACAAGGGAUGUAUGUGUAAUUUUUAAAACCUUAAGGGAGCUAAAUGAAAUUUUUAAAAACCUCAAGGGAGGUUUUGAAAUUAUCCCUUUUAUUUUUAUUGGAUUCGACACCCAUCACCAAAAUUUGGGAAAAAAAAUCAUCUAUUGGCAAUUUCUCACUUCUAUUUCAUGAAAUAUAAAACCAAAUAAUUAAGCAUAAUCCCUCACCACAAUAUACAGGUCUAUACCAUAAAUAGCUUAGCCUGUCGAUUGAUCGUCAUUCUUACGAAUCAGGCAACCGCUACAUCAUUUCUAUGGAAUAGAAGGCGCUCAAAUCACCUUCUUCUGCAGAUUUAGUAGGAAAAGUCAUCCUUAUAUUUUCUAAAUCAAUGACAGAAGAUAAAAAUGUUCAAUCUCAUCAAGACAUUUCAUUGCAUUAAAUUUCUUGGCCGUCGAGAUAGACAUCUUAAAUGUUUCAAUCUCAGAAAGAGAGAAAAGAAAAAUGGCAAAUUAACAAGAAAAGGACAGAAAAGAAGACCUCGGAAGUCUUCCUUGUACAGCUGGGAAUACGGGAUAAAUACUUGCUUUAUUUGUGGUACACAUAGCAACCUGGGCAAACUUGAGUUGAACUCGAAAGUAGUCAUGGGUUCUUUUGAAUUUAUGUCGACAUUCAUUAUGGUCCUACUUUUCCCAUCAUCUCAUCCCAAAGCCAAAGGUGUCGCUUCAGAUUCUGUUUGUGAGGCUGCUGCUCUUUUGAAAUGGAAAGCCAGUUUUCAAAACCAGAACAAUAGCUUGCUAACCUCGUGGAACCGCGACUCCAUCAAUGCAAAGAAUUCUUCCAACCUUCCAUGCACUUGGGCUGGUAUUUCUUGCAUUAACGGAAGUGUCAACAGGUUGAAUCUCUCAGAAUGGAGCAUAAAAGGCAGCCUUUAUGACUUCCCAUUUUCAUCCCUCCCAAAUCUUGAAUAUCUUGAUCUUAGCCUGAAUCAAAUCUUUGGCAGCAUACCUCGUGAAAUAGGUAACUUGUUGAAGCUCAUUUAUCUUGAUUUCUCAGUUAACGAGUUGUCAAAAGAAAUCCCACCUGAAAUUUGCAACUUGAGAAACUUGACUCGUUUAGCUCUUGGUAGUAAUCAACUUUCAGGUCCAAUUCCAUCUGGAAUAGGAACUCUGCAUAAUCUUGUUGAACUUGGUCUGGAGGACAACAAUUUAACAGGUUCAAUUCCAUCCACUUUUGGCAACCUCAACAGGCUAGUAAAGUUACACCUUUUCCGAAAUCACCUAUAUGGUCCUAUCCCCCACACGAUAGGAAAUCUGAUCUCACUCCAACUUCUUAUCUUGUCUCAAAAUAAUCUUGUUGGUGCAAUCCCAAAGUCACUAGGCAAUUUGACUAAUUUAACUCAUCUGUAUCUCUAUGAGAAUCAACUUUCAGGUCCAAUUCCAAAAGAUUUGGGUGAUCUCAAAUUCCUUAUUGAAAUGGUAAUAAGUGAGAAUCAAUUUAAUGGUUCUAUUCCUGUUUCAAUUGGUAAUUUGAGUAACUUAAACGAACUGUAUCUCCGAGCGAACCAAUUUUCUGGUACCAUUCCAGAAGAGCUUGGAAAACUGCAAAAGUUGGUAGUUUUGGAAUUGGAUCAAAAUCAGUUAUCUGGUCCAUUGCCGGAACUGCUAUGCCAAAAUGGAACCCUCCAAAACAUAACUGUAUCUGAGAACAAGCUUACAGGUCCAAUCCCUCGAAGCUUGAAAUAUUGCUCAAGCUUAAUUAGGGCCCGCUUCAACGGGAACCAUUUCCACGGUAACUUGUCAGAAAUGUUUGGCAUCUAUCCCUUCCUGGAUUUCAUAGAUCUCAGCAACAACGAAUUCCAUGGUGAACUCUCCAGCAGCUGGGGAAAAUGCAAAAGCUUGACAACCCUGAAGGUUGGAAAGAACAACAUCACAGGUGGUAUACCUCCAGAAAUUGGAACUUUAACUCAAUUACAUGCACUUGAUCUUUCUUCAAAUUAUUUAUCUGGGGAGAUACCAAGAGGAGUUGGGAAGUUGGCUUCUAUGCUUAACCUAUCUUUGCAUGACAACCAACUCACUGGCGGUAUACCUCAGGAGUUGGGUAUGCUAACAGAGCUUCUUUAUCUAGACCUGUCCACAAAUAAGUUGAAUGGAUCUAUUCCAGAACGUUUGGGAGAUUUGAAGCACUUGUAUCACAUGAACUUGAGCAACAACAUUUUGAGUCAAAAGAUUCCAAUCCAGAUUGGAAAGUUAACCCAACUUUCUGAACUGGAUUUGAGUCAAAAUUACAUCACAGGGGAGAUACCAUUCGAGUUUCUAAGUUUGCAGAAUCUGGAAACAUUGAAUCUCUCACACAAUAACCUCUCUGGUUUGAUCCCAAGUGCUUUGGCAAAAUUGCCUGGUCCAUUGCACAUCAAUAUAUCAUUCAAUAAUUUAGAGGGUCCAAUUCCGAGUGGUAGAGCCUUUGUGAAUUUAACCAUAGAGGAAGUACAAGGAAAUAAAGGUUUGUGUGGGAAUAUUUCAGGGUUACCGGCUUGUGAAAGUUCCCCGUUGAUUAAAAAGCAUGUCAAGAAUAAGGGGAAGAAAAAACUUGUUCUCACAAUUUUAAGUCCUCUUCUGGGAUCAUUCGUACUUCUUUGUGCAUUCUUUGGUGGUCUCAGAUUGCAUAAGCAAUGGAGAAAAAGUUCAGGAACGGAAGAUAUUGAUAUGAACAAAGUAAACUUAUUUUCCAUAUGUACUUUUGAUGGCAAAGCAUUGUAUAAGGAAAUAGUAAUGGCUACAGAAGAGUUCAGUGACAUAUUGUGCAUUGGUAAAGGAGGUUAUGGAAGUGUUUACAAAGCACAGCUUCCAUCAGGCGAUGUAGUAGCUGUAAAGAGACUUCACAGCAUGCCUGAGAUGGCAAGUCACAAAAAUUUUUUGAAUGAGAUAAGGGCCUUGACAGAAAUCAAGCAUCGAAACAUUGUGAAACUCUUUGGGUUCUGCUCAAAUUCUCAACAUUCAUUUUUGGUAUAUGAGUACCUUGAAAGAGGGAGCUUGACCAAAAUCUUUAGCAUAGAAGAAGAAGCUAAGGAACUAGACUGGCGAAAGAGAUUAAAAAUCAUCAAAGGCGUUGCUCAUGCUUUAUCUUACAUGCAUCAUGAUUGUUCGCCAGCCAUUGCACAUCGGAACAUAUCAAGCAACAACAUUUUGCUUGAUCUAGAAUAUGAGGCUCACAUUUCAGAUUUUGGCACUUCUAAGUUUCUGAAAAAUGAUUCAUCUAAUUGGAGUUCUCUUGCAGGCACAUAUGGAUACGAAAAAAAUACUCUAUUCAUAGCUAGUAAUUCAGUGGGUGAAUUGAUACGAAAAAAAUAUAAAAACAGUAUGAUGAACAAGUAGAAACUUUGGGAAAGUGUAGGAUACAAUAUCUUGAACUCAUUUGUAAUUUAAACUUCUAAAACUCUUCAGUUUUGCUAGUGCGUGAUCUUCUUUCAUUAUCCCAUUCAAAACCAAACUUCAUAGUUCAACUAGUCAAUAACGAAGACUUUUCCUCCAAGUAAUCACCUAUUUUUGUCCACUAAUUGAUUACUACUUUUUUAUAGCAACUAUUGACAAAAAGAAUUUAUUUAAGGGGGCUGAUAUAUAUAUAUAUCACCAAAAUUUUGUCACCAUUUAUCACCAUAUCUUAAACAUGAGCAAAGCCACGGCUUCCCAUUUCCUAUAUGCGCUUUUGUACUAUUUAAGUUUAUGUUUGAACAAAAUCUGUGACUAAGAUGCAUUUUGUACUAUUUAGCUAAUUACUUUAAACAUUUUGAUCUUGUAUACAAGUUCGGAGAGAUAUUCUGGUCCUGGUACCAUAUCCUUCGUUAGAUAUAAGCUCUCAGGGGAGUAUAUUUAUAAAUAUCAACCAACAGUAUGGUUAUGUUAAACCAAUGAUAUUAUUCUAAAGGGAAAGCGACGAUAUGACUUAGCGACAAAAAUAAAUUCAAAGACAAGCUCGUGUCCUUGAUUUUAGAAAUUUCAUGUUUGCAUCUAUCAUUUAAUAAUAUCGUAAUUUUCAAUCAUUUUUUGCAGGUGGACUCAUUCUAAAAGGAUCGUAAAAUAUCUCACAACUUGCACCUAAAAAAUAAACAGUCAAAACUAGAAUGAAAUAAUCUGUGAAUUUUUCAUCUGGAAAGUACUAGCUGUCUAUGACAUUGUUAUUCCAAGUAGAAACCUUUCAAGAAAUUUUAUCUUUCUUCUCGUGGUCAACAUUUAUUUCAAUUACAUAAAUGCAGAUAUUAGUAUCUUACUUCGUAAAUACUAUAUAUUGAUAGCCCUAAAAUAGCUAGCAUUAAACUGCUUCAAUUGAUUAGAAUAUAAACAAAUGAUUUGUCUAACAAGUUCCUCGAGGCAUUCGUUAGUCAAGUUUCCAAUGAAGAGUGAAAUUAAAUGUGAAAGUGACUAAAGGAAGACUACAAAUGUGAUUACAUGCAUUUCUGUGUAUCAUAAAGUGUGUAUCAAUGAGUGCUAUGAGAAAAAUCCGUUGAUAGAAACCCUUGACUCAUCUUAGCCCCCUAAUGUUUUUCAGAUUAGAAAAGGCAUAUAAAAGUGGUUAUGACUGAUUAAAGACUGUUUGAUAUUGAUAGAGGACAAAAUGAGGAAAGGAGAUGAAGAAUUGGCAAUGCGGAUGGAAAAUGUUGGGGAAGGGUAGACAUCAACAAAGACUAGGGAGGGUUAGCUCAAUUUAUAACAUAUUUUAAGGUGGCGAAAACUAGUGCUAAAUUUAUUAUAUUUUUAUUUGUUGCUGUCUUAAUGCCUGCAAUUAUUUGUUUUAGUUCUUAUAUCUAGGUAUAUACAACUCAAGUUAGUUCAAUUGCUAAGAAUAGAUCACUUUCUUACGAAAUAUUGUGUAUUUGAAUCCUGUUACGAAUGUAAAAGCUAAAUUAGUGGAUAACUUAUACGACCCCCUGUAAACAACAACGACUUAUGAUCUGGAAAAUAUACUGUUUUUUUGGUGAAAAUAGGGAUUAAAUAUUAAUAAACAACAGAGUUUAGCCCUAUCUAUUACAAAGCAAAAGAGAUAGUGCGGGGAAAACAGAUCCCUUUCAAGUCCUCAUCAUAGACAAAAGCGAGUUCUUGAGGACAAUUAGCAAAAGUUACAAAGUUGGAUUGUAAUCUGCCUCCCAUUCUUGCGAGUGCGUCCGCGCAUCUAUUUGCCUCCCGGUAUAUGUGGGAUAUUUUAACAAGCCGCAGCUGCGAAAGGAGGGAUCUGCAAUCCGAAAUGAUAGAGUUCAAAAGGUGAUUAGGAUUGGCAACAGCUGUUAACAAAGUAAUAAUAGCUUCGCAGUCAACUUCAACUUCAAGUUGAGAAAUUUUUAAGGAAAGGGCUAUUUCUAGUCCAUCUCGGAUACCCCAACAUUCCGCCAGCAUGCUGUUUGUAGAACCUAAGUUUCUACAGUAUCCUUUAAUCCAACAUCCGGAGGCGUCUCUGAUAACACCUCCAGCUCCCGCUGGACCUGGGUUUCCUAAGGCUGAGCCGUCUGAAUUGAGCUUGAACCAAUGGAGGAUUGGAGGAAUCCAUCUGAUAAGAAUAUGGGAUUUUCUGCGAGGGGGGUGGCCAGAAUUUGGGCCAAGGGAGUAGAACUCAGUGGCCAACUUGAUGCUGGUUUUGGUUGGAGGAGGUUGUGUUCUGUUGGGCUCGAAAAUCUUUUUAUUCCUGGAUUUCCAAAUGGUGGAGCAAGUAAAGGCAAAGAGUGUGCCCCAAGGAAUAUUGUAGAAAGGGGAGGGUGUGGAAAGUUUACAACCUUCCCUAAUCCAGAUGUGAAAAGGAAUGUGUAGAGUGGAUAGAUAGUAGUUGGGAUUGAGCUCCAUCCAAACAGCUUGGGCGUGGACACAUUUGCGCAAGACAUGAUUAGUAUCCUCUAUCAGUCCUGGGCAGAAAGGGCAGAUAUUAUCAGGGAGGAUGUUUCUCUUAUGAAGGAGGUAUCUUGUUGCUAGUUUGUCUUGAGAAGCUAACCAGAGGAAUAAUUUGGUUCGAUGGGAUGUGUGAGUAGUCCAAAUCCAAGUGAAAGACUGGCUUGGAGGAUGGGGUGUUUGGACAUUGGGUUUGGCCUGAAUAUAUAGCAAACUAGUGAUCUCAUAUGCAGAUUUUAGACUGAACUCACCAUCAGGAGAAUUCCUCCAUAUAAGGUUGUCUGCUUGUUUAGAAUGGUGAGGUCUAGGAAUAGCUUUUAGCAGGUCGGUAAUGGAAGGGGGUAGAUGGAAGGAAAUAUUAUUGAAAUUCCAAUUACCAUUGCUGUCAAAAAGAUCUGAUAGGAGUAGUUGAUCUUCCUCUGGUAGGAGUGGUCCUUCAAUUAAGGAUCUGAGGGUGCUUGCUGAGAACCAUUUUCCAGACCACACUUUAAUUGUUUUACCAUCUCCUAUGUUCCAACCCAACCCUUGGUUGAAGAUGUUGUUACCGUGUAUGAUAUUCCUGAGGUUUAUGGAACCUCUAGAUUUGCAGAAGCUAAGAGGGGAUUCUUUCAAAGGUUGGUUUCUAUGUAAGUAGAGAUCUGAAAGAAUUUGAACCCAAGGACGAUGUGUGUUUUUCAUCAUCUGCCAAUUGAGUUUGGCCAAAUUAGCUUUGUUCAAAAGGGCUGAUUGUCUCAAUCCCAAACCACCCUCCUUUUUGGGGAGGGUAACAGUUUCCCACUUAAUCAAGUGGAGUUUUUUCUUCCCCUCUGUGGAGCCCCAGAGGAAAUUUUUCUGUUCUCUAUCGAUGGCAUCACAGAUUUUUUUUGGGAUAUGUGCUGCUUGGAAGAAAUAGGUAGGGAUGGAAGAUAUGCAUUGUUGGAUAAUUGUCUUUCUCCCAGCAAAGGACAACAGGUUUGCUUUCCAGCCUUGGAGUUUGGAUUGAAUUUUUUCCAAAAGGAAGUGGAAGGUUUUGGCUGUUGCUUUCUUAACACUAAGUGGAAAGCCAAGGUAUUUUCCUAGGUCUCGGGUACCCUGAAUGUUUAGAGUCCUGGUGAUAGAGUUUUUAGUGAAUUCAAGGGUGUUUGGGGAAAAUAGAAUCCUUGACUUGGAGUGGUUGAUACGGAGGCCAGAGAGGUCCCCAAAAAUGUUCAGAAUAUUUUGGAUAGUGGUUAUAGAGGUAUCAUCUGUCCUUGAGAAGAGGAUGAUGUCAUCUGCAAACAGACAAUGUGACAGACAAUGUCUAGAUCUCCCAAACUUGAGAGGGGUCCAGUUGUUACCAUCCACUUCUUUGGUGAUAGCCAUUGACAGGUACUCCAUGCAAAUAAUGAAGAUGUAUGGGGAUAAAGGGUCUCCUUGUCGAAUGCCUCUAGAAGGGGAAAAAAAGUUUGUUGGGGAUCCAUUUAUGAGUAUGGCCAAAUUGGUAGAUGUAAUGCAAUGAAGAAUGAGGUUGAUGAGGGAUGGGGGAAAAUCAAAGAAAGUGAGGGCUUGAUGAAUAAAAGACCAUUCAAGACUAUCAUACGCCUUAUGAAGAUCAAGCUUGAUGGCACACAACCCAUAUUUGCCCUUUUUAUUUUUUAGCCUGUGAAUGGCUUCUUGGACAAGCAUGAUGUUAUCUGUUCCACUUCUACCCGAGAUGAAGCUGGAUUGGAGAGGGGAGAUGAUGGUUGAAAGGAUUGGUCUAAGUUUAUUAACAAUGGUCUUGGCUAGUAUUUUAUAAGUGGUAUUGCAGAGUCCUAUGGGUCUAAACUGCUGAAUGAUAUCCGGGUUGUCAAGUUUGGGAAUCAAGCAAAUUAAAGUAUCGUUAAUCCCGACUGGAAAAUAUACUGUGACUCGUGGCAAUACGUCCCUGUAACUUAAAGACUUGGGUAGCUACACAUCAUCAUCAGGACCAAGUCUUUUAGACCUUUGCCAAUACAAGGCCUAACAUGUAAACUUUAUAAAAUCAACCACGAGUUUCUGACCUUUUCUAACAAUUGCCCCGCCAUAAAAAAUUGUUUGAAAACAACAAUGACUUUUCUCGUCCAAUAUUACGUCAGGCUGAUCAUAAAUGUUGGACCUUCGGGCACAAGGGCCCAGAAUUAAACUUGUUUGAAACCAAACACAACUAAUUUGAUCUUGACGGUUGGACCUUUAAAGACUGGCAACAUAUCCUUAUUCCUUAAAGAGUAGGUAGGGAACACAUCAUUUUUUCUUAAAAAAAUAGGGAUAGGCAAUAUAUAUCUUGACUUGGAAGUCCUUUAGACCUUUGUCAAGAAGAAUUAAGGGUGAGAAUGAUACCAUUCUUGAAGGUUGAUGGGCAGGCUUAGUCUAAAAAAAAUGUAAGACUCAGUCAUUUUUAUGUAUGUUAACUUUAGAUCGUGUUCAAAUAAAAGACUUUCAAUUUAUUUGAAAUGAACAAAACUGUACAACAACUAUUCAAUUGCAACCAUUUGUGCCCCUAUUCUUGCCAACAAGGCCUAUCAACAAAUAUAUUUGAAGAUAAUCACAACUGUCGUAUCCAAAAAUCAUUUUUACUUGAUCCUUAUUUAAUAGGAAGGUAGUAAAUUCAUACCUUUCUAUUCUAAAUUCACAAUAGAAUGGUAUAAGGUUAUAUUUAGGAUUAUAGGUGGCAAACAAACCUAUUUAACUAAAUUUACCCAUACCCUCCCAUGAAUAGAUGGGUAUGAGUAUCUUAAGUUUUUAUAUAUGGGCAUAAAUGGGUUAUCCAACAAUACCCAUUUAAUAAAUGAGUUAUUUAAUAAAUGGGUAUUAUUGGAUAAUCCAUCAAACCCAAUUAAUCCAUUUAGAAUUGUCUUCCUUCAAACCUCCUCUCUUCCCCCACUUUUUUUUUUUUCAGAUUUUUCAUUUUAUCAUGAUGUUAAUUACUUUUGUUUCAUUAUUAUUAUUAUUUGUUGGUUUUAUCUUAUCAUUUUAUUUUAUCUUAGUUUGUUAACUUGCUCAUACCAAUUUAUAACAAGUUCUAGUCUCUUUUCCUACUUUUCAAAAUAAAAUUUUAAAUUUACACACGAAAAAAAUGUUAAGGGUUCAAAAUUUUUAGAUUAAGAUUUUAUGUUAACUUUUAUAAUAUUUAGUUCAAAUUUUAAUACUCUUAUUGUUCAAAUAGUAAAUAAUAUGUAAUUUUGUAACAUAGAGUAUGGAUGAGAAAAAAAAUUGGUAAUUAGGCUUAUUGAUCAUUAUAAGUAAAUAUUUAAAACUAAUGAUGGGUGCAAAGAGUGGUAUAAAUUGAUGACUUAGUUUACAAAUUUGAAUUUAAAUGAGUUCACAAAAAGUUAAAAUAAAUGGGUUAUAAAUGGGUAAUUGGGUUACCCAAUUCAUUUUUUGACUUAUCCAUUUAUACCCAUAUAAUUAAAUGGUAUACAUGGGUUGAUUCUCUUGUACCCAUUACCCAUUUUAACCAACUCAAACCUGUCCAAAUCAUCCAUUUUGACACAUCUAUUUAGGAUGGAGAGUUGUGGAUUUAGUCCCUCUUGACUACUUUUUUUUUUUUAAACCUUGCCUAAUUUUUCUUGCAAUAAUUUAUUCAUCUUUGUUUGUCAAUUAUUCAUCAGAUUAUAUUGAAACAACUAAAAUUUCUAAUAGUUGUACAAUUAUAUCAUUACUCUUUAUCUUGACCAAUAGAUUAAUAUAUUUAAAAAUCAAUUCAAUUCAAUAACGUUAUAUCAUUCAAUUUACACGAAACUUUUGGAGGUUCUACAAUGUUAAAAUUAUUAAUGUUCAAAUGCCAAAACUUGAUCCUUUAUUCUUUUUUUCAUUUUCCAUGUGUAACUAGUAAGUGAUGUAGUAUAUUAGGAACUAUUUAGUAUCAAAUAUGACUUUAAAAUUGAACUUAUUAGGGUACAGCCUAACCUGACCGUAAAAGUAAUAUUGAGUUCUUAGGCAUUUUAUAUUUGCAGGCUCGGUUCAUUAAAUUAGAAAAUUCAUAAGAGUCAAACUGGUGUGCCAAGGAUCUCGUCAUUUAUAGUCACGAUUCAUUUUUUUUUUUUUACAAUAUUACUACUAACCCAAUCAGUUUACAACUCAAUAACGUUACGAAAUUGACCUAAAAAUUGUUAGAUGAACUUGAAAUUUCUCGUUCUCCCUUGUCUGGAUUUUAUGGGAGGUUUUUUGGGGGCUUUUGGUCAUUUCUCUAACAAUCGUUGGUUGGAGAAAAACAAAUAUACCAACUCUUGGUUAUGCUCAAAACCUACAUUUCAAUGCAAACGCGCAUGUAGCUCGAUUAAACUCGAAUUUUUUUGCAUCCCUUUUUUAGUUUCAUCAAGAUAAUAAGAAAUUUAUUUUCAAAAUGAUACCUUUAUAUAUUUAUUUUAUUUCAUAAGGAUUCAGUACAUAGCAGCUCUCUUUUGUUGGUAAAUAGAAUAAAAGGUCUUUAUUGUUCAGGCAUCAUAGUUGUAGAAUCCAAAUUUAUUGUCCUAAUAAUAAUUACAUGUGUAAGGUUAUAGAUUAAAGGGAUAAAACAAUAACUCAAAAUACAUGUGAGAGAGAAGAAAAUAAAUAACUUACAAUCUGAUUGAUAUUUAAAACAAUGGAAAGAUGAGUCACACCAUAAUAAAGAAAAACCUUAUAGGCUCUCUUUAAAAUUGACAAAAUGACUAAAAUGCCCUGAUAUAAUUAAGCAAAAGAUAGCUCAAAAAAAUCAUUUGUUUUAUUCUCUAAAUAGAGAGAAUUGAGGGUUAAGGGGUAGAAUAGGUAUAUUGGAUAAAAAUUAGGUAUAAAAUUUUUUUUUAUGUUCCAAUAAGUCAUUUCCGUUAAAUUUAACGGAUUUCGUCACCUUUACAAUUUAGUUCAAAGCAUGAGGUGUCGUGUUGUAUAUUUUGAAACCAUAGGGGGCUUUUUUGUGUAUUAGACUUACCACAGGAGGCUUUUUUGUUUUUUACCCUUCUUUCUGACAUUAUCAAAGAACAUAAAAUGAUCAAAGUUGUACAACAGAAAACCACUCUUCACAAAAAAAAAAAAAAAAAUUCCGAACAAUGUUGUGUUUCAUGUUUAUAUGUAUGUUGUGUUGGACAUUCUUGAACUUUUUGGCGGAGAUUUUAGUUGCAAUAUAAAAUUUUUGGAAUCCAUCAGCAUAAAUAGUCCUAAACUUUCAGAUCUGAAUUUAAUCAAAUUGUCCUUCUAAUCAAAUGCUUCUCCUAGUUCUGGCCUAUUAACUAAAAAGAAAAGAAAAGAGUAUAUUGACCUGAAGCCAAAAAAACUAAAAAAUAAAUAGAAAAUUUUAUAAGUUUUGAUACCGAUGCCAACUAAAUUCUAGUUGGACAAGUACUACGACCAACUAAAUCUGCCUGGAAUUGAUAAAAAUUUAGCUUUAGCCAGUUUAUUCUGACUUUCUUGAAUUUCACGAAUUAUUUAGUAUAAUCUGUCUCUAGAAAAUAUAGAACUACAACAUAAAUAGCAUAAUUUGUCUUGAAAAUACUAUCAAAUUUUCUGGCAUAAUCUGUCACCAGAAAUUAUAGAACUACAACAUAAAUGGCUUAGCCUAUGGACUGAUCAUGGUUUAGAUAUUUCUCCAAAAGCUACUCGAAUCACCUUUUUCUGUGGAUUCAGUAGGAAAAAUUAGUCAUGGAAGAUAAAAACGGUCAAUCUCAUUAAAACAUUUCAUUGCUUUACAUUUCUUAGAUAUCGAAAUAGACAUUUUAUGCGUGUUUAAAUCUCAAAAAAAGUAAAACCAAAGAAGAAGGGAAAGGAGAAAGGGACAGAACAAGAAGACCUCUGAAAUUUUUCAUGUUUUGCUGGGAUAAUUAAAUACUAGCAUCAUUUGUUAUACAAAGUAACAAACCACUGGACCAAUAGCUCAGUGGCUACCAGGGAGGGAGUUAAGUCCCUCCUUGGGCUGUAGGUGAGGGUUCAAACCUCACCUGCAGCGAAAAAAAUUUAAGAAUUGUGUCAUAGCACUCUCUUGGUCUAGUUGGGUCUGUAUACCCACUAGCCCCUACCACAGUCUCUUUGAAUCUCGAUAGGCUAGUCAACUUAUAUCUAUUCAAAAAUCACCUAUUAGGUUCCAUUCCUAAUGCGAUCGAAAACUUAGUCUCACUUCAGUUUCUUGUCUUGUCUCAAAAUUAUCUUAUUGGUUCAAUCCCUAAGUCGCUAGGCAAUUUUAACCAAUUUGAUGCAUUUAUAUCUCCCUGACAACAACAUUCUGGUUCAAUUUCAAAGAAUUUGGGUGAUCAAAAAUUCCUUUUAGAUAUGAAUUAGGUAAGAACCAACUUAAUAUGGUUCCAAUCCUAUUUUAAUUGGUAACUCGAGUAACUUAAAAAAACAGUAUCUCCUAAAAAACCAUAUUCUGGUACCAUCCCACAAGAGCUUGGAAACUUAAGGUUGUGUUUGGAUUGCAUUUUUCUGGAUUUUUUGUAGAAAAAUUAUUGUAAUGAUUUGAUGUAUGUAAGGUAAAAAGGUGAUAGGAAAAUAUGUUCAUGAAAAACAUAACAAUUUUAGAUAGAAAAUGGCUGUCCAAACACAGCCUAAAAUAGUCAGUAGUUUUGGAAUUGGAUUAAAAUCAAUUAUCUAGUCCAUUGCCAGAACUACUUUGACUCAAAAUGGCACACUCCAAAACAUUUCUGUAUCUAAGAACAUGCUUACAGGUCCAAUACCUAGAAGUUUGCGAAGCUGCUCAAGCUCAUGCUCAGCACUCAUUUUUGGUCUAUUAGUACCUUGAAAGAGGAAUCUUGUCCAAAAUUUUGAGCGCCAAAGAAGAAGCCAAGGGACAAGACUGGCAAAAGAAGUUGAAAACCAUCCAAGGCAUCGCUCAUGCUUUAUUUUACAUGCAUCAUGAUUGUUCACCAGUAGUUGUACGUCGGGAUAGAUCAAGCAAUUGUACGUCGGGUCACAUUUAAGAUUUUGGCACUCCUUAGUUUUAGUCUUUGAUCUUUUGUCAUUAUCCCCUUAAAGACUUUUCCUCCAACUAAUGUCUUUUUAACGUCCACUAAUUGAUUACUAUUUUUUAAAGAUCUUAAAAAGUCUAAGUAAACUCCUCGAUUAGAUGAUAUAUAUCAGCGCUCUUAAAUGAAAAAGGACUUUCUUAUUGUGUCGCAAAAGACUUUUUUAGUCAAGAUGAUAAAUAUAUUCGAACUCUUAAAUAAUUUUUUUCCGUCAACAACUGCAUUCAUCAAAUUGUAGUAAAUAAUUAGUAGGCAGUUACUUGGAGUAAAACACUUGGAUAGCUAACCUUAUCUUGACUGAAAAGUCUUUUGGACCUUUGACAAUAAGGCCCAACAGUAAAUUUGUUUAAAAUCAACCAUGACUAUCGGACUUUUUCUCACAACUGCCCAUCACUAAAUUGUUUUAAAACAUCGUUUGUUUCCAUCCAAAAUCUCUUCAAGUUGAUCGUAACAUGUUGGACCUGUGCACACAAGGACCCAAUGUUGUAAUUGUCUUACGCCAAUCGCUACUGGAUUGAUCUUGACGGUUGGUCAGAUCUUGACGGUUGGUCAGAUCUUUACGAACAAGGGCCCAACAUUAAAUUUGUUUGAAAAUAUAUCUUGACUUGAAAGUUUUUUAGGCCUUUGUCGAUAAGCACGACCAUCAAAUCAAUUUGUAGAAAAAAAUAAUAUUUAAUCAUAUUUGUUAAAUUCACCCGACAAGGAGGUCGACAGAGAGACGACAUGGAUGGUUCGCCACUGAGUAGGUGAUUGAACAUUUGAACCAAUGGCUCAGUGAAAGAAUAUUUAUAAAUACUUGGUAAUAUAUAAAACUUAUAAAUAAAGUUUAUUUAGAUGUUACUACUUUUGUUUCACUUUGAUAGUAUUGAUUUUUUGUUCUCACACAAUUUAAGAAAAAUUAGUUAAUUUUAUUAGAAAGGUAAAUCUAUAUUAAGAGUAUCAUUAAUCACUAUACUUUUACAUUAAUUAUAACAAAAAAUUAGUUAACUUUGUUAGAAAAAUAAAUCUAGCCUAAUGUUUUUCUAAAAUACCCUUAUAUUAAUAUUAGGAGUAUCACAAAUAACUAUACUUUUACUUUAAUUAUAACAGCAAUAAUGAUGAUGGUAUAUUGCACCAUUCAAGACAUAUAUCAAAGGUGAAAAAGUUGAAUGUAUUAAAUAAGAUAACUUAUAUUUACUGAUAACGAAGCAUACUAAAUAAGCGUAGUUUGCAGAAGUUAAAACUUAACUAUAUUCUUGAAUUGGAAGGUGGACUAUAAUUUUGGAUGGAUGAAAGCGGAAAAUAAAAUUAUUAAAGUAGGACAGAGAUAGUAAUUAUUAUGUUCAAAAAGGUAUAUUUUAAAUAUAUAAAUAUUGGUUUGUCUAAUAGGUGUGGCACCUGUUAAGAUGUAUUUCAGUAUUAUAUUUUUAAAAUAUAAGAUUAAUUAGAAAAAGUAAAUAAAUAUAAGAGAGAGUAUGCAAGAUUGCAUAAGAAAAAUAUAUAAAUAAAAGAAAAAAAUAAUUAUUAGUAUGUGUGUCUAUAUGAUAAAUUAGAUGAAUAUUAAACGUAUUAACGAAUACUUAAGUGCAACCGUUAGAAAACCCUAUGAAUAUUUACCUAGUUGAGAUUGGGCAUACUUCCUCCAAGUUCACUCGGAAUCCGGGCCUGGUGCCCAGCUCAACUCGAGAUGCUACGACCCAGAACAAAAUAAUUUCUAACACGUAACUCUAAAGUUGCAAAUUAGUACUUGUGUUUGAAACGUCAGUCAACCCGUCAUCAAUUUACGCGUCAAAAAUGAAAGAAAUAAAACCCUUAAAACGUAGAAUAUGACAAUGAUAGGUAACACCCAUGUUUCCGGCAGAAAUGACAGAAGAACUUGUUGGGGGCAAAAGCGGUCGCAAAAUACAGCUUGAUUCAGGCUCGCCACCGGCAAUGACGGAGCCAAGGGGGGCAGAGGGGGGCCAUGGCCCCCCCUAAGUUUUGAGAAUUUUAAUUCAUAAUAUGUAAAUAUGUGUGUAAAAUAAAAUUGGCCCCCCCUAAAUUUUUUCAAUUUUAGUUUAUAUUAUGAGAGUUGAUAUAUAUAUAUAUAUGAAUUAGUCAUCUUUGAAUGGAAUUUCAAUUUUGGCCCCCCCAAAAAAAAAAUCCUGGCUCCGUCACCGGGUACAACCUGCAACCAUGAAGGGGACAAUUUCUGCUGGUGGUUUUAUGGGCUAUUGGUGCAGCGGCCACCGCCGUCAGCGACAGCGGGAUAUGACACCGUAACAGGUUAAGAAUGAUUAUUGAUCAAGAUAUGGGUCGCACUAACCAUUUUAAAGUACGACGAAAACAACAAAGCAAAAGAGUUACAACCGAAGCACCAAAUGAUGCUACUACAAAAGAAAUUUAAUCCAUUAUUUCUGUGGUUGCUUUAAUUUUUUUGUUCGUGAAACGAAAAUAAUUUUUAAAAUCCAUUAUUCAAACAAAAGUAAAAAUUUGAUUAGAUGAUAAAUGAUUAUUGGAUGAGUAAAGAAAUGUUUUAACUUUUCUUUUUUGUGGAGGGAAAAAAUUACUAUGCAUUCAAAAAAACUUUUGGAAAAAGAUUGCAAAGAUUAAGUGGUAUACAAGAUUGAGCACAAAUUUGACAUAAAAAACAGGUAUGGCAAAGUCUAUAUAUCUAAGCAAACUCUUUGGAAAUAGGGUGAAUCAAGUAACCCAUUGUACACCUAAAGUCCCUACUCCAGUACCUAGGGUUAAUUAUUAACUGCUUUUAGUGAUAGUUAGGUUCUAUUUUUAUUAUUGCACAGGCUCGAUACCUGUCAUAGUCUUGGAAUUGGAUUAAAAUCAAUUAUCCAGUCCCUUGCCAGAACUACUUUGACUCAAAAUGGCACACUCCAAAACAUUUCUGUAUCUAAGAACAUGCUUACAGGUCCAAUACCUAGAAGUUUGCGAAACUGCUCAAGCUCAUGCUCAGCACUCAUUUUUGGUCUAUUAGUACCUUGAAAGCGGAAUCUUGUCCAAAAUUUUGAGCGUCAAAGAAGAAGCCAAGGAACAAGACUGGCAAAAGAAGUUGAAAACCAUCCAAGGCAUCGCUCAUGCUUUAUUUUACAUGCAUCAUGAUUGUUCACCCGCAAUUGUACAUCGGGUCACGUUUAAGAUUUUGGCACUCCUUAGUUUUAGUCUUUGAUCUUCUGUCAUUAUCCCCUUAAAGACUUUUCUUCCAACUAAUGUCCUUUUAGCGUCUACUAAUUGAUUAUUACUUUUUAAAGAACUUAAAAAGUCUAAGUAAACUUCUCGAUUAGAUGAUAUAUGUAUCAGCGCUCUUAAAUGAAAAAAUACUUUUUUAUUGUAUCCCAAAAGACUUUCUUUAGUCAAGAUGAUAAGUAUAUUCGAGCUCUUAAAUAAAUUCUUUUCGUUAACAACUGCUUUCAAAAUGGGUAGUAAUUAAUUUGUAGAGAAUUACUUGGACGAAAAGACUUGGACAGCCAACCUCAUCUCGACUGAAAAGUCUUCUGGACCUUUGCCAUUAAGGCCCAACAUUAAAUAUGUUUAAAAUCAACCUCGCCUAUGGGACUUUUACUAACAACUGCCCACCACUAAAUUUGUUUGAAAACAUCAGCUGUUUCCAUCCAAAAGUUCUUCAAGUUGAUCCUAUAUGUUGGACCUUCGCACACAAGGACCCAAUGUUAUAAUUGCAUCAAGCCGAUCGCUACUGGAUUGAUCUUGACGGUUGGCCGGACCUUUACGAACAAGGGCCCAACAUCAAAUUUGUUAGAAAAUAUAUAUUGACUGUGAAAGUCUGUUAGGCCUUUGACAGUAAACGUUAGCAUCAAAUUAAAUUUGUAGCAAAACAGGACUACCAUCUUCUAAAAAAUUAUAUUUAAUCAUAUUUAUUAAACUCGCCCGACAAGGAAGUUGACAUACAUGGAUGGUUCACUGCUUCAACCAAUGGCCCAAUAAAAGAAUAUUUAUAAAUACUUGGUAAUAUAUAAAAUUUAUAAAUAAAGUUUAUUUAAAAUAUCUUAAAACAUUUGUUUCCUUGUAUAUAAGAAAAAAAUUAUUUUAAAUACAAAAGAUAAUUAAUUAUUAUGGAAAAUUAUAUUUCAAUAUUAAUUGAACUUACAAGUAGUCUAAGAUAUCAUGAUGCAGUAUAAAAGAUUUGACAUCCUACUAUAUAGGCAUCUAGAAUGAAUGUGGAAAGAACUUUCCCUAUGUUUUUAUGGAGAGCAGAUCCUCUGUCUAUGCCGCUAGCUAACAGGAGAUCAUCAGUAAAGUGCGAAUGCAAAAAAUACUCGAAAUCAAACAUAACAAACUUUGAAGUUUUGAUAUCAAUGCCCACUCAACUUUGAAGUUUUGAUAUCAAACAUAACAAAUGUACUAUGACCAAUUAAAUCUGCCCAUGAAAAUUUGGAAAAAAAAAAAAAAUCAUCUUUUGGCAAUUUCUCACUUCUAUUUCAUAAAAUCUACAACCAAAUAAUUAAGCAUAAUCCCUCUCCAGAAAAUACAGAUCUAUACCAUAAAUAGCUUAGCCUGUAGAUUGAUCGUCAUUCUUACGAAUUUGGUAACCGCUACUCCAUCUCUAUACUAUAGAAGGCACUGCGAGUCACCUUCUUCUGCAGAUAUAGUAGGAAAGUCAUCUUUAUAUUUUCUAAAUCAGUGACAGAAUGUCAAAAUGUUCAAUCUUAUCAAGACAUUUCAUUGCAUUAAAUUUCUUGGCCGUCGAAGUCGACAUCUUAAUUGUUUCAAUCUCCGAAAGAAAGAAAAGAAAUUGGAAAAUUAAGAAGAAAAGGACAGAAACACAGCUGGGAAUACAGGAUAACCUCGGAAGUCUUCCUUGUACAGCUGGGAACACAGGAUAAAUACUAGCUUUAUUUAUGGUACACAUAGCAACCUGGGCAAACUUGAGUUGAACUCGAAAGUAGUCAUGGGUUUUUUUGAAUUUAUCUCCAUAUUCAUUAUGGUCCUACUUUUCCCAUCAUCUCAUCCCAAAGCCAAAGGUAUCGCUUCCGAUUCUGCUAGUGAGGCGGCUGGUCUUUUGAAAUGGAAAGCCAGUUUUCAAAACCAGAACAAUAGCUUGCUAACCUCGUGGAACCUCCAACCCAAAAAUGCCAAGAAUUCUUCCAACCUUCCAUGCACUUGGGCUGGUAUUUCAUGCAUUAAUGGAAGUGUCAACAGGUUGAAUCUCUCAGAAUACAGCAUAAAAGGUAGCCUUUAUGACUUCCCAUUUUCAUCCCUCCCAAAUCUUGAAUAUCUUGAACUUAGCCUGAAUCAGAUCUUUGGCAGCAUACCUCGUGAAAUAGGUAACUUGUCGAAGCUCAUUUAUCUUGAUUUCUCAGUUAAUGAGCUGUCACAAGAAAUCCCACCUGAAAUUUGCAACUUGAGAAACUUGACUCAUUUAGCUCUCGGAAGUAAUCAACUUUCAGGUCCAAUUCCAUCAGGAAUUGGAACUCUGCAUAAUCUGAUUGAACUUUAUCUGGACAACAACACUUUGAUAGGUUCAAUUCCAGCCACUUUUGGUAACCUCACUAGGCUAGUUAACUUAUACCUUUCCCAUAAUCUCCUAUCUGGACCCAUUCCUCCUACGAUCAGGAAUAUGAUCUCACUUCAAUUUCUUAUUUUGUCUCAAAAUAAUCUUUCUGGUGGAAUCCCAAAGUCACUUGGAACUUUAUCCAAUUUGAUUGGUCUAAUUCUCUUUGACAAUCAACUUUCAGGUCCAAUUCCAAAGGAAUUGGGUGAUCUAAAACUCCUUACCAAUAUGGAAUUGGGCGAAAACCAACUUAGUGGUUCCAUUCCUGUUUCAAUUGGUAACUUGAGUAACUUGGAAAAACUGUUUCUCCGAAAAAACCAAUUUUCUGGUUCCAUUCCACAAAAGCUUGGAAACUUGAAAAAGUUGGCAAUUUUGGUAUUGGAUCAAAAUCAGCUCUCUGGUCCAUUGCCAGAAUUGCUAUGUCAAAAUGGCUCACUCCAAAUCAUUUCUGUAUCUGAGAACGUGCUUACAGGUCCAAUCCCUGGAAGCUUGAAAAAUUGCUCAAGCUUGAUUAGGACCCGUUUCAAUGGGAACCAUUUCCACGGUAACUUGUCAGAAAUGUUCGGCAUCUAUCCAUUCCUGGACUUCAUAGAUCUCAGCAACAAUGAGUUCUACGGUGAACUCUCCAGCAACUGGGUUGAAUGCAAAAUCUUGAAAACCCUGAUAAUUGCAAAGAAUAACAUCACAGGUGGUAUACCUUUAGAAUUUGGAAAUUUAUCUCAACUGCAUGCACUUGACAUUUCUUCAAACUUUUUAUCCGGGGAGAUACCAAGGGUAGUGGGGAAGUUGACCUCUAUGCUUAAACUAGAUUUACAUGAGAACCAAUUUCUUGGUGGUGUACCUCAGGAAUUGGGAAUGCUAACCGAACUUCUUUAUCUAGACCUAUCCACAAAUUCCUUGAAUGGAUCUUUUCCAGAACAUUUGGAAGAUUUGAAGCACUUGUUUUACAUGAACUUGAGCAACAACAUUUUCAGCCAAAAGAUUCCAUUCGAGAUUGGCAAGUUGACCCAACUUUCUGAACUAGAUUUGAGUCUAAAUUUCUUCACAGGAGAGAUACCAUCAGAGUUCCGAAGUUUGCAGAGUCUGGGAACAUUGGACCUCUCCCACAAUAACCUCUCUGGUUUAAUCCCAAAGGCUUUAGCAGAAUUGCCUGGUUCAUUGCAAAUUAAUAUUUCUUUCAAUAAUUUAGAGGGUCCAAUUCCAAGUGGCAAAGCCUUUGUGAAUUUAACCAUAGAAGAAGUAAAGGGAAAUAAAGGCUUGUGUGGCAAUAUUACAGGGUUACGAGCUUGUGAAAGUUCUGCAUUAAUCAAAAGCCAUGUCAAAAAUAAGAGGAAAAAACUUGUUCUCACAAUUGUAUUUCCUCUUCUGGGGUCAUUCAUACUUCUAGGUGCAUUCUUUGGUAUUCUCAAAUUGCGUGAUCAAAGGAAAAAAAUUUUAGGAUUGGAAGAUAUGGAUUUGAAGAAGAGCCAUUUAUGGUUAUGAUGGCAAAGCAUUGUAUAAAGAAAUAGUAUUGACUACACAAGAGUUCAGUGAAGUAUUUUGCAUAGGGAAAGGAGGUUAUGGAAGUGUUUAUAGAGCACAGCUUUCAUCAGGGGAUGUAGUAGCUGUAAAGAGACUUCACAACAUGCCAGAGAUGGCAAGUCAUAGAAGUUUCUUGAAUGAGAUAAGAGCCUUGACAGAAAUCAAGCAUCGAAACAUUGUAAAACUCUUGGGCUUCUGCUCCAAUUCUCAGCACUCAUUUUUGGUUUAUGAGUAUCUUGAAAGAGGGAGUUUGGCCAAAAUCUUGAGCAUAGAAGAAGAAGCUAUUGAACUAGGCUGGCAGAAGAGGUUAAAAAUUAUCAAAGGCAUCGCUCAAGCUUUAUCUUACAUACAUCAUGAUUGUUCACCAGCAAUUGUACAUCGGGACAUAUCAAGCAACAACAUUUUGCUCGAUUCAGAAGACGAAGCUCAUCUGAAUUUCAGAUUUUGGCACUUCUAAGUUUCUGAAAAAAGACUCAUCUAAUUGGAGUUCUCUUGCAGGAACAUGUGGAUAUGUUGCACCAGGUAAUAAUGUUUUUUGCCCGUCUUUGAUUUAUUAACUACUAGUUUUUAAUACGAUCACAUGUUAUCACGAGUGACGUCAUAAUUUUCCAACUUUUCCUUGCAGAAUUUGCCUACACAAUGAAAGUAACUGAAAAGUGUGAUGUUUAUGGCUUUGGGGUCCUGACAAUGGAAGUAAUCAAAGGAAAGCACCCCGGUGACUUGAUUGCUUAUCUAGUGUCUUCAAAGCCCGAGAAAAUAGAACUGAAAGACUUGUUCGAUCAAAGACUUCUGUAUCCCAAUCGAGAAAUUGAAAACAUUCUGGCAUCCGUUCUCAAAGUAGCAAGAGAAUGUCUACAUGUUGAUCCACAAUCUAGGCCAACAAUGCUCUUUAUUUCUAGGUUGUUAUCAACUGGUGCACAAUCUGUGUAACAUAUUGUACAAGACUACGAUGACCAUAUUAAUCAUUUUUCCUAAGUUUUAUGGGUUAAAUAAAUAGAUGUAACAAAUAUGUAGAAUUUGACUGAUGUUCUCUUUGAGUUUUGAAAAUCGGACCGGACCGGGCAGUUCGACCGGUUGAACCGCGAACCGGCCAUGGCAUCGGUCCGGUUCUAUGUUAGAGUUGGCUUUGUCAGAAAAUCGGUCAAACCUGAAACCAUCGAACCGACUUGAACCGGUUUUCAAGUUUCACCACUUUUUUUUUUUUUUUUUUAAAAAAAGUUUUGCAAAAUACUUCUUAGGGCUGCAAACGAGCCGAGCCGAGUCGAGUUUUGGCCUUAUCGAGUCGAGCCUUGACUUAAUUUCAUCGAACUCGAACUCGAACUCGAGCUCGAGCUCGACGAGCUAGUAAUUUUCAAGCUCGAACUCGAAAAAAAUAAAAAAAUAAUUAUUUUAUUUUUUAAAAAAUAAAUAAAAUAAUAUUUUUUCUUAAUAAAUAAUAAAAUAUUAAGGAUAUUUAUGUAAUUUUACUAUUAAAAAUAAAAAUAAAAAAAAAUAUAUAUAUAUAUACUCGAGCUCGCGAGCUAACGAACUUAAUGUUUUGAGCUCGAGCUCGAGCUCGAUAUUGAUCGAGCUCAAGUCGAGCUUGAAUCGAGCCGCUCGCGAGCGGCUCGAUUCGUUUGCACUCCUAUACUUCUAUCAAGAUUUGAACUUAAGACCUUCUUUGUAAUAGAUGACCAAUGUAGUAACCACUGCACCAUCACAUCUUAUUUGCUUUUUUUGAUAACUUAUUUAUAUAAAACAAAUAUCCAUAUUUCUUUUUUCCAUUUUUCUUACAAAAUCUCAUUAAUUUUCAACUCUCUCUUUUUAAUUUUCAACUCUCUCUCUCUCUCUCCUCUUUUCUUUUGUCAUUCCCUUUUUAAUCAAACCUCUUUAGUUUUAAUUUAUUGAUAUUUUCUUCCAUCUUUUAAUUUUGUUUUUGUCCAUUAAAUUGAAAAAAGUUAAAAAAGAAUAAUUUUUCUUUAACCCAAAUUAUUUAAUGCCACAACCACUCACUUUUAUCUCGUUUUUUGUUUCUUAUCAAGUUUGCAUUUUUAUUGUCGAUUCUCUUGACUUCCUUCGAACUCCAAACUUUCUUUUUUAAAUUAUAAUCUCUAAAUUCCAAAGACGUAAAUUAAAAUUUAAGUUCACAAUGUCAAAUUCUCAUAGACGUGAAUUUUGUAUAAUUUCAAAAUAUUGUGCUAUUUUUGGGUUGAAUUUAAGAUUUUUUUUGGUAGAUAUAAUUGAAAUUGAGUAGGAGUGGCAAUCGGGUCGAGUUCGGGUUGGCGGGUUGGGUUGAGGUCUAAAUAUAACAAAAAACCCGCUGACCCGAACUUGACCCGCCAACCCGAAACGGGUCAGGAUACCUGCCACGAACCCGAAAAUUUUAGGUUGGCGGGUCGACCCGAAAUGACUCGAAACUUAAUUUUAAUUUAUUAAUUUAUCACUGUAAUUUCUAAUAAAAUCAAUUUUUCACAAAAUUAAUUACAUCAUCAAGUAAUAAAAAUUUAAAUAAAUAAUUUCAAACCAAAUCUAAAAUAAAUUAAACACCGUAAAAGUGUUUUAUCCCAAACCAAAUAUAAAAUAAAUUAAAACAGCAUAAAAGUAAAAAAUAAUAUAAUAUAUUAUUUGUCCAAAUAUAAUAAUUUCAACUUCACACAAGUUAAAUAAAUUCAUUUAGGAUUAAGUAAUUAAUGCCUUUGAAAAAAAGAAUGAUUUAGUUUAGUUAGAUAAAAUAAUUUUUAUGUUUAUUAAAUUAUUUUUAAUUCGUAAACGGGUCAUAUCGGUCACAUCAAGUCAUCACGGGUUGACCCGAAAUCGACCUGUUUUCUUUUCAGGUUCAUCGAGUUCGACCCGAUUCUGACCCGAACCCACGAAACCUCAACCCAAACCCAUUACUUUCGUGUUAGGUUCAUGUCAUGUUUUUGGGUCAUGUCAGAAAUUGCCACCCCUAAAAUUGAGAUGAAAUUUAUUUGUUUUAACUUAUAAUUUAAAAAAUUUAUUUUUGAAAAUUCAAGUUAUUCAAAAAUAGUAAACUUUUCAUCAUAUAAAGUUUUAAAUUAGUCCAUUGCAUGUCUUAUUUUGUGCAUAUAUAUAUAUUUAUAAAUUAUUUUUAAAAAAAUUCAUUGAACGGGGGUUGAACCGGUCCGACUGGUUGAACCUCGACCCUUUCACUUCACCGAUUCAAUUGACGGUUCGGGUUUUAAAACAUAUGGCGAUACUGUUUAGAAAAAAAUAAACAAAAAUCAAUUUUCCUAGUUUCUGUAAUUGAGAUGUGCGGCGAGGCUGGAUUAAGAAAACCCACCACAAUCACUCCAUUUUUGCAAUCUUUUUUUUUUCAACAUUAUUUCAAGAAAUUUUCCCUCAUCUUUUGCCUCUUAUAUUUUUCAGAUUUCCAUAUUUUGGAAGGCUUAUAAAAGUGGUUACCAUUGAUGAAAGUCAUGAUAAUAAAGUCAAUCCCAGACAGUUUGAAAAUUACUGAUAGAGGAUAAUGAGAGAAUAGAGAAGGGGAAGUAUUGGUAAUACGUAGACACUAGUAUUUUGGCCCGUGCUAUGCACGGGUUUAUAUGAGAAGGAGAAAUAUGACUAAAUAUAAUAUUAUUACCCAUUUCUCUCAUAUUCUCCUCCUUCAUGCCAUUUUUUUCACCUCCCAACCUCCUCUCCUUUUUCACUUUGUGAAUCUAACUUUCUCGCAUCCCUACAAACUUUCGUCGUUCCUUCAAAUCUUAUCGAAUUUUUAUGUAUCCCUACAACCCUUUCUUGUUUUAUCAAAGCCUAUUUUUUCUUUGCUCUAUCUCAUUCCCACCCAAUUAUCCUAUCUCUUAUCCAAUUUUACAACCCACUUGUCUCCUAUUCUACUAUUAUUUUUAUCUAUUUAUAAAAUGUAGAGCAAAUUAUCCGGUUGGCCACUAAACUUUUGCAAUCGUCGAGUUUUGGUCAUUCAACUAUUAAAAGUCUGGUUUUGGCCACUAAAAUGUAUAAAGUUAAAACUCGUGGCCAUUCUGUUAGAUUUAGCCGUUAAAUUCACCGAUCUGUCUGUUUGCACGAUUUUCAAAACAAAAUGCAGGGUCAAUUUAGGAAGUUAAAAAUAGCAUCUUCUUCUUUAGGGCAAGUUCCUCAAGUUCCUUACUCAAGCCCAGAAGCAUUGGUGAUUGAAGUAGGAAAGAUUCCAGAGAAAUUGUUUUCCAUAACAGCUAAUAGUUUCAGAUUUGGUAGGGUGAGACCCAUAUCAAUUGGGAGAUUGCCAUGGAAGUCAUGGUAUGGAACUCCAAGUAGUCCUUCCUGCAAUAGAGUCAAAGUUGCGGUAAUGCUGACUCUCCUAGUCAAUAGGGCUAUUCAAACCAAUCCACCCUAAGCUGUUACAGAAGGAGCUGCAGAUCUGAUCCUAGAAGCUCCACCAGUUGCCGGUACUAUUUCAUCACCUGUGGAACGCUUAGACGGAUCUUGGGCUAGCACGGGCUGUAGGCACUCUUUGGGCGGAGCUCUCUCGAUCCACUAACUGGCUUGGGAAGAUAGCAAGAAGUCUGAGCCUUCACAUCCAUUUCGAGAGAAGCCUCAGUGGAUUGAAUCCCCGUUCAUUCGAGAAAUAAUUGAACCAACCUUUUCAAAAGCCCCAUCUCCAGAGGCAAAUUCCCUCCAGAUUGUUGAAGUCAAGGCCGAGUCCGAUCAAUGAUGAUGAUAAGAUCCCAAUGGGAGAGGGAAUCUCUCCUGUCAGAUUGCUUUUGGUAAAAUAUAAUCCUUUAAGCUUCUUCAAAUUGCUUAGCUGAUAGAUUGUAGUCUUCCUUUCUAGCUUGUUACUGGUUAGGUCAAUAGCUAUCAUCUCUGCGCAGUGGCUCAGAUUUUCUGGGAUUUUUCCACCGAGUGCAUUACUCGACAAGUUCAAGACUCUUAACCUGAGGAGGCGAAUGAAUUCUUGGGGAAUCCCACCAUGGAAUUGAUUCUCCCCAAGUUGGAUGAACCUCAUGAAGCUUAGAUUUCUGACCUGAGGAGAUAUAGUUCCAGACAACUGCUUACUCCUCAAAGUCAAGGCAAUGACCCUUUGGUGUCGAGUGCCACAAGUGACUCCUUCCCACUGGCAAUGGUGCUGUGAGUGGUUCCAGGAAUCACCAAGAACUGUUUUUGUUCAUUUCUCAAAUGUUUGAUGUUUGGGUUUAAGCAAAAACAAAAGGAGGACAAAGAACAGAUGCAUAGGAAAGGACGAAGAGAUGCAAGUGCUAUUUUUAACUUCCUAAAUUGACCCUAAAUUUUGUCUUGGAAAUCGUGUGAACAGACAGAUCGACAAACUUAACGGCUAAAUCUAACAAAAUGGCCACGAGUUUUAACUUUAUACAUUUUAGUGGCCAAAAUCAUACUUUUAAUAGUUGAGUGAUCAAAACUCAAAAGUUUAAUGGCCAGCCGAAUAAUUUGCUCUAAAAUGUAAAUGGUAACUUAUUUAUUUGGCUCGCCUAUUAAUAAAUGAGUUUGCAUGUGUAAUUUAAUUGGAUUCAAAUGGGUGACCAAAUUAACCCAUUAAUUAGUGGGUAUGAAAUUGACAGAUUUGGAUCACUUAUUUUUACUUAAUUAAAUUAGACGUAGAUUCAAACUCAAUCAUUAGUGGGUAAAUCUAAAUUACUCUAAUAAUUAUAUUCUAAUUUUUGCAAAGAUGUAUUCAUCGUUUUUCUUCUUCUUUAAUUUCUAUUAUUUUAUUUUUUAAAAUUUAUCCUACUUCCUCUAUUCCUUUCAUAAAAGUUUAAUAAAUUUCAUGAAUGUUAAUUGUCGCGCCCCAAUUUUUGAAAUAAAUAAAGAAAAAUAAAGUUGUUUGAAACCAUAAUGUGUAGUGUGCGUGAAAUAUGUGAAGUGUGUGAAUGUGAGAAAUAAAGGGAAAGACCAUGGGACUUUUAAAUGCGACGGUUUGGCCAAAAUGAUAAUCUAAAAAGGUUUUAAACAGAAAGGUAGGAGUCGCCACUUGGUAUUGAGUUGGGGUGUACCAAGUCACCCAAAAAGUAGUUUUUGAAAAAAAUGAAGUAAAAACCUUUUUAGAUGACUCCUAGUCUACGAAAAUCAAAGAGGCGAGUUCGGGGGUCACGGUUGAUAAAAGGGAAGGCAAAGACGAAGUCUAAGGCACCCUUUUACCCUAACCUAAGUUAGUUGAAUGCAAAUCUAAAUCUAAUGAGUGGUUCGAAUGGGACAAAAUAUCUCUUUUGAGGCUCGAUUGGUCCUAAUUACAUGAAUUGUGAUAGCCAAUGGUGAACCCUCAAAGAGGUCAUGAAUAAAUGCAAAUGAAUGCUUGAGUAAUAAUGGAGAAAAAUGAGAGUGUGUGAAAAUGUCUUUGAGCGUAAAAACGAGUGCCAAGUGCAAAUGUGCAAAGUGUAAGUGUGAAAAUGGGUGUGUAAAGUGCAAGGGUGCAAAUGAGUAUGUGAAAGUGCACGUAUACAAAUGAGAGAGAGUGUAAGGUGCAAGUGUGCAAAUUAGUAGGUAAAGUGUAAAUGGGCAGAUGUAAAGUAAAGUGAGAGUGUGCAAAAUGAUAGAGUGGAUUAGAAUACAUGAGUCUAGGGAAUGCAAGCAUAUCGGGUACGGGAAGACCCUAAAUCGUGACUUUUGAUUUGCCUUUUGGUUAGAAAGGAAACAAGCAUGCUAAGGCUAUGUGUAGCCAUACUCGUAUGUUUCCCUUACCAAAAAAGGUAACUCCCUAACCUAUGCAAGCAAAUGUGCUAGUCUAAGAUGAGAAUGCAGCUCUAAACGUGUAAGGGAAAGGUUAAGGGAGCAUGCAGAAAUGAGCAAUUAAUACUAAAAUGAAAAUAUGCAUGAAGUUGUAGUGAGGCAUGCAGAUAUGACACUGGCAAAAGGGGAACGACCCUAUUGGGUCUAGCAUUGGACUAGCUCUUAACUAACAUGCUCUCACAAGCAUUGAACAUUAUGAGAGCUCGAGGGGAAGACCAUGACUAGCAUUGGACCAGCCACGGUAACGUGCAUUCCAUCCACAUAAUCAGAUAUAAUACUAAAAGCAAAUAGACAUGCAAGACACAUAGUUUCACAUAGCACGUAGCACAUAAGCAUGCUUAUCUAGAUGCAGAAACCUAGGGAAGCGGUAACACAUAGCACAUAGGCAUGCAGAUCACUCACAAAGCAAAAUGAAGCAAAUAAACCCCUAUCUAUUACACUUGGGAAGCCCUACUACAAUCUAAGGGGAAAAGGAAUAAAUAAAUAAAAUAAUAACCUAACUAUUACAACUUUGGCAUUCAAGUGCUUUUCAAAUGAUCAAAAUUGAACAAAAAAUGAAUAUACAAAACAAAAGCCAAUAAAGCGAAUAAAUAAAUAAAUAAAAUAAAUAACAAAAAUAAUGAAAAAAAACAUUCAAGAGACAUGCAAUUAAACACGUAAAGUCACAUAGGGCACGUAAGCUCAAAUAGAGUAAGAAAUAAGAGAUAGGGUGUACCUCCUUGGAGUUGGAGCCCUAAUGGAGUGAAAUUACUUAUUUACCCUCCAAAAUAAUAAAAGAGUCAAGGCAUCACUUUAAUUGAGGGAAUUAAAGAAAAUAUACAAAAGCAAGCUCAAUUGGUGAUAAAGCCCUUAAAAUUAUGAAUUAAAUACAGUUUAAACAAAGUAUGGUGGUUAAUUGAAGCAAGCAAGCAAUGGAGUUGCGAAAUUAAAGCUGCCAAGGAUCAAAUCGCAAAUAUCAGAAAGUUUUUAGGGCCUAAUCAAAAUUAGUGGGCACGUGACGAAGGCACGGAAUGAGGAGCUCUCCAGGUUACUUGACGCGGGCACGUCAAGAGGGCAAGAGUCUCUUCUGACGAUUCUAACCGUGAGCUCUCCAUACGUCAUGACGCUGGCGCGUCAUGAGGGCAAGAACCCCUUCUGACGAUUCUGACUGUGAACUCUCCAUACGUCAUUACGCGGGCGCGUCAUGACAGAAGGACACCUACAAAUCAUAAAAAACGAAAAUUGAAACCCGAAAUCAGUCAAAUUCAAGGAAAACAUAUUUAAACUAUCACACGAAAUUAAAACAAACAAUUAAAAGAAAUAAUUGGGUUGCCUCCCAAUGAGCGCCUUUCUUUAACGUCUUUGGCUAGACAUUGAACACCACUCUUCAAUCUGGGUGUAACUCAAUUUUCCUGGAAAUCGGUGGCCCUCCUCCAGGAUCCAAAUUGCCUUUGAGGGCAGCCUCCUUUCUUAAUUUUCUACUCCUUUUCACCUCAUACAGUGCUUUCAUCCCCUUAUACUUGUUCUCAGUAAAUUUGAAUUUAUCCCUACAAGCAAACUCAGAAAAUUCUUGCACAGAGGGAUUAAUAGCAUGAAUAGCAAACACAGGGUGAGAGUUAACAGGAUGUUCCAUUGUAUCGAAAAUAUUAAAGUGGACUAGUUCUCCAUCAAAUUUCAUGGACAAUGUACCCUUAUUAACGUCAAUUUUUGUCUGUGCUGUGCUUAAAAAGGGUCUACCUAGUAGCAAAGGUGAGGGGUCAGGGGAAUGAUCAUCAUCCAUGUCAAGUACAUAAAAGUCAGCCGGGAAUAUCAAUUCAUUAACUUUAACCAGCACAUCUUCUAUCAACCCAUCAGAGUAUGCAUUUGUUCGGUCAGCUAAUUGAAUUAUUAUCUCGGUUUCUUUUAAUGGACCGAGGUUCAGAGAAGCAUACAUAGAUUUAGGCAUUAUGUUGAUCGAUGCUCCUAAGUCCAGCAGGGUAUUCCUAAUGCUUGUACUAGUUAUGUAGAGCUUGUUGAGUAAUAAAGGAUCGUAAUGGAAGAAUGAAAGACAAGUUGAGGUUGUUUUGGAGUAAUAAAGCUAUCUGAUGUGGGUAAAUUGAUGUAUUAUGGAGUUUUUUGUAUUUUGAAAGCUGCUCUUAGGCGUUAUUAUAUGACAAAGAAUAUUUUACUUCAUUAUUUAGAUUUUGAUGUUAGUAAGUAAUAAUUAUGAUACUAAUAAUUAAUUUGGGUAAAACAAGAUGUCACUUGUGGUUGCACAUGACAUUGUAGUUCACUACAAUGGAAGAAGAACCAGGAUUCCUAAUGUGGAUCUUGAUAAGUAUUCUUAUAUAGAGCUGUUAAAUGAUGUUUAUGAGAAAGCACUUCACAAAUUACCUAGAAAUCUUAAUUAUUUGCUACAUAUGAGAUGUGGGAUUUCAAGAAAUGCUACAACAAUGGAUGUCAACACUGAUAAGGCAGUCAUGGAAAUGUUUAAGGUGCAUGAAAAUGAGUCGGUGAUCAAUUUGUUUGUGGACCAUAUGGAUGUAAUUCCAUUUAAUAUGCCUAAGAUGAACAACAAUAACAACUUUGGUGGUGGCCAAGAGAAUCUAGGAAUUAAGGAGACUGCUGGAAAUAUUGAACCUAAUUUGCAAAAUAUUGAAAGGGAUGAUGAAGUGUUCAUUUCAAGUGAUGAUGAUUCUUGGAUGUAUGAAGCAAACACUGACAAAGAGGAUAGCUUAAGCAAUUGCAGUGAGGUACAUGAAUCAUUUGAUAUGAGUGAUAUUGCCUUCUCAGAUUAUGAGGUGAAUGAUAAAGGUUAUAUAAUUCCAAAUUCUGAAUCUGAGGAAAAAAUUGAUCCAAAUAGGGCAGCUUUAAGAGCAAAAAUAUUUGCCUAUAAUCCAAAAGAGGAUAUUGAAUUUGAGAAGAAUAUGUUAUUCACCAAUGUUGAUGCUUUUAGGGCUGCUUUGAAGGAGUAUGCCAUCCAAAAGGUUUUCCUAUAGUAAGACUGAAAAAUGGAAAGAAAAGAUGUACUGCUAAGUGUGCUGUUGAAGGUUGUCCAUGGAGAAUCCAUGCUUCUCUUGUUGGUGAAACAACUACUUCUCAAAUUAAGUCUUACACACCUCAACACACUUGUGUUAUGAACAAUAGGAAUGCGGAGGCUACAUCUGAUUGGGUUGCUAAGAAAGUUCCACUUCUUCGGAUCCAUCCUCAAAUGAAUACAGAAAGUGUCUAUGCUAAGAUUGUAUCAAAUAUGGUGUGCAUCCUAGCAAGAUGCAGAUUUGGAGGGCAAAGACAAGGGCACUGGAAGAGAUACAAGAUACAUACUCUGAGUCAUAUGCAAUCUUGCCCAAGUAUGCUAAGAUUUUAAGGAAAAGUAACCGUCAAUGCAUCUGCAAGAUUCAUUUUGACAGGCCAAAUCUCUUGGCGGAAUCAAGAUUUCUGAGAAUUUUUAUUAGUUUCAAAGCACAAAAGAUGGAUUUCUUAGAUAUUCCAAGCCAUUUGUUGGUUUUGAUGGUUGCCACCUCAAAGGACCAUAUGGAGGAAUGUUGCUUAUUGUUGUGGCUUUGGAUAGGAAUAACAGCAUAUUCCCUUUUGUGAUUGCUGUGGUUGAAUGUGAAAACAAAGAGACUUGGUCAUAGUUCUUUCAUUUCUUUGAAGAAUACUUUGGUCCAUUUGAUAACCAAUUGCCUCUAACAUUUAUGAGUGAUAGACAAAAGGUACUUUUUGUUCUACUUACAAAUGUCCCCUUUCUACUAUCAUAUGACUUGACAGCCAAUCUUCUGUUUGCGCUAAUUAAAUUAUGCUAAAUGUAAGGUCUGAACUUAGCAUAUGAUGAACUGAUACCAUACGCUAAUGCAAGAUACUGCUGCAGGCAUAUUCAGAACAACUUUAAACUGUCCUUUCCAGGGCUACUGCUUAGUAAUUACUUCUGGCAGGCAGCUAAGAGCUUUGAUGCAGCUGGUCAUAAAGAGGCAAUGGAAAGAAUUAAAGAGAUAAAUAUUGAGGCUUGGAAAUACUUGACAAAGAUAUCACUAAAGAUAUCGCUAACAGCUUGGGCAAUGAUUACGGUCAUACACAUGUUUAGCUGUAUAGUCUACUUCAUUUAUGGUGGAUUUUUCUUUUCUUUUGCAAAUACAAUUGCCGCUAUUUAACAACUUCAGAUUUUGUUUUACUGAAAAAUUAACGCUUGUCACACGGUAAUUGAGAAAUCUUCAAUCCUAUAACUGUAAUGACCAGAAUAUCCUUGGUUUUGUUAGUCUUAACAUCAAUAAUAAACGGAAGGACCAGCAAUGUACACAAUUUACAAGUUUGAUGAGUAAUUUGGCAUCUUUAAUAAUUGAAGGGCCAAAAGCAUGCAAACUUGAUAAUUCAAGGGCCAUUUUAAGUUUUUUGCCCUUUUCGAAGUGAUACCUUGAAAUAUACAUUUUCUUUCAUAAGUAUUCAGUACAUAGCACCUACCUCUCUUUUGCUGGUAAACAGAGCAAAAGGUCUUUUCCACGUAAUAUGUAAUGUUAUGUUACAAUUGUAGCAUAAUUAAUUUAAUUUAUUUAGGUAUCAUAGUCGAUCAACUUUAAAAGGAGACUUCAAUCAACUUCUACGAAUUGGUUUCGCGGCCUCCAAUCAGGGAAACCCAUACCCAAUUGGGAUUCCCUCAGUCGGCUGACUGGGUUGAUAGGAUGCUGCCUUCUUUGCCGCAUAUACUUUGCCAUUACUCCCGUAUUCAUCUGCAAUUUCAAAAAUACAGGAUGAAAAAUAAAUGAUCGCAGUUUCUGUCACAUUAGAAAAGAAUCUGAAGUUUAAACUUUAGUUGGUAUACUGUUUUGACUUUAUCCAAUUGUCUUCGAUUAUUGUGUGAUUUUUAUAAAACUUGGAAUGUACGCAGACACAUCGUUGUACUCCUUAAAAGAUUAUAUAUAUAUAUAUAUAUAUAUAUAUAUAUAUAUACACGAACAAAACCCACAUAAUCAGUAAAAUAAUAAUACAAAUCUACACCAAAUUAUGUAAAAAUGACAACAGAAGCACAUUACCGAACACACAGCCUUACCCACUCCAUCCCCACAGGUGGAAGAUGUAAACAUGAAUAAUUACAAAGACAAUUAAGACUUUUAAACGAUGAGUACAUAUAUACCAGUAAUCUUUUUUCUCUUCUCUUUUCUUUUUCUGAUCAUUUUUAUCAGUAAUUUAUAACUAUGAGAGAUGGAAUUUUAGAACUGCAAAAGUGGGACUUACUCGUCUCUAGGAUCUUUCUUGCUGAUGAAGGUACUAGGAUGGGUUGAGUUGAGAGAAAGAAGAGAAACAAAAGGGCAGUGAUCAGAGCCUUGUUGUUGCCAGCCAUGUUCGUUUGUUAUAGAGAGGGUUGAGAACUUAAGAUUGGUUCUAUUCUAAUAUUCGUUUCUUGAUGAUUGUAGGCAGCGAACCAGACUUUUAUAGCCGUUUCUGACCGGACCGACGGGACCGAGUUUCUCAGACUAAUUGGCAAUUUGCCGAGGUCCAGAUGGGAUGAGCUAAUGUGAUCCUAUUCGAGUGGACAACAUGAAAUUGAGUGGCUCGAAUUGGAUCAAGCUGAUGUCUACUAUGGGAUGUAAACUAGCGUCAGCAGUUCUGGGUCUAUUUGGUAGGCCUACUUUUAGGACCAGGGCUAUGGGGGACAGUGACAAAACAGUGUAAGGAUUUUUGAAUUAAUAAUUUUGCAUAUUCUUAUAAUAGACAAACAAUUAUUAUACAUGAAAUUCAUAUAAAUAAUAAUACUCCCUCUGUCGAGGGAAGGAUGAAAACGCCAGACAAUUAGUACUCUCCCAAUUCCAAAUUGUUUGUCGCAUUUUUGGAUUCCAAUUUUUUAAAAAUAAUGACUUGGCGAUAAUAUUAAUAGAUUUUUUUGUAAAAUUGCACUAAAAAAUUCAAAUUUUAAAUUUAAAUUUAAUAUAAAAUAUGGAUAAAGAGUAUAUGACAUUGAAAAAAAGAAAUCAUAAAUAACUUUGACUUUGAUAAAUUGAUAAAUAUUUUAAAAUAUUUCAAAAUAAAAAAUAUGAAACUUCCAAUGUAACACUUUCAAAAUAAGAACCCGUGGUUCUCUUGUUUGCAAGCAAUGGUAUUGUGAAUUUUUUUUUUUGAUAAUAUGGAGGUGGGUUUACGCUUCCCGUCCUUUCAUUUUUUUCUUCCCCACCAGGAUCCCAACUUUAUUAAAAGGCUAGUGGCGUGGUGUCCGCAUGAGUAAAUUUCUGAAGAGCGUGAUUCUUAAGAUAUUCCAAAAGAAUGAUCUAAAAAGUGAAAAAAAUUAUUCACUGAAUGCAACGUUUUUCAAAAAUUGCAUUGAUAGGAUGCAUUCUUUAAUUUGUCUCCAUUUUUUUUUUCUUAAAAAUACAUUCAUUGAAUAUUAAAAAAUUCAUUCCAAAAGGGAAAAUGCACUUUUCAUCCAUAAUGUUUAAGGUGUUAAUCAAUUUGGUCUCUAAAGUUUCAUUUUUUUUUAUUUUUUUUUUUGUCAACACAGGGGUGUCCGGGUCAAGACCCGAAGGCGGCCCGACUAAUCCCCUGCGCCUGGAGUACAGCGCCACCCCAACCGCACCCAGGCGUUAGGUGAGGUUCGAUCCCACGACCUUGCGAGUGGUUUUCCACCCGCAGACCGGGUGAUCUAACCCCGGGGGCGUCUCUAAAGUUUCAUGCAAUAUACAUUUCAUUCUUGUAAUUUUAUAAUAUUGACUAAUUCCAUCUUUAAAGUGUUUCACGCAAACACAUUUCAUCCUUCAUAGUUUCAUAAUUUAGCUAACUGCGGACAAUUGAUAUAUUGUCAAGCAAUUUGAAUGGAAUAUCGUCGCUGGACCACAGCAUGCCCAUUAGUAAAAUUAACAUUGGAUCAACAAAAACUUCAAAAAACUUUUCUUAAUUCACUUUUUCAUUUUAGUACAUCAAAAACCUAAGAACCUUUUAGCGACCAUUACUUUCUUCUUAAUUACAAUCGAACAAGAAGAUCCAUAGAAAACAAAGUCUUUGAAAAGAAACAAUCCCACUAUAACCAAUUAGAGAAAAAUGUCAAACAACUCCACUACAACUAAUUGGGGAAAAAUAUUAAUGCGAUAGACAGAAUGGUUUGGAUUGUCAUUUAUUUGCAAAAUUUUGUUUUGUUACAUGAUUUUCAAUCAUCUAUUUGUUUUUAUCUUAAAUACAUCAUAUUACAAUUUUUUUUAAAAAAAGGAGAUAGUCUUCUAUCCAAAAACACUUGUUGUUAUUUUUGUAAUUUAAUUAAUAACUAAAUUAAGUAUUAAUAAUACAAUUACUAACGGGACAUGUCAUGAUAUUAUAUCCAAAUUAGUUAACAAUCAUUUAAUUAUCCUCAAUUGAUAAAAAUUAUAAAAUUAUGAGGAUGAAAUGUGUUCUACGUAAACUUUAGGAAUAAAAUUAAUCAAAAUGAUAAAAUUAUGAGAGUGAAACGUGUUUUGCAUGAAACUUUAGAAACAAAAUUAAUUAACAUCUUAAACAUUGGUAUGAAAAAUGCAUUUUUUCCGUUUCAAAAACCUUUAGAAAUUUGCUCAAGUCCGCACGCCAUAGUUGACCUCGUACAUUCCCAAUAUGUGUCUUAUCAAUGGAGAGGACAAAUACUGCCCUUCUUUUUUUGUCUUUUUUGAUUAAAUAUACUACCCUUCUUAAUCCAUCUCCUUUCUCAAAUACAACCUUUCAAUCCGCAAAGAGAAUCACUGACAAAACGGCAAAUUUCCAAUUUGUGGGCCCAUGGAACUGAUCAAUCGAAACAAACUCAAUAAUAUCACCCACACCAAAAUAAAUCCAAAAAAUUUGGUCAAGUGUAGAAUUAAUUUUUGGGGAACUCAGUACCACCUGCAUCAAAAUCAAUCCAAAAUUUUUAGUCAAGUCUACAAUUGAUGAAUGGGGCUCGGAUGGUGAGGUUUUUUUUUUCUUUUUUCACCUAAAGGUGCAAGCUUUGUUUGGACUUUGGAGAGUGGUUGCCAAAGGGCUGUAGGAGAAAAUAAUGCAGGCUCGGUUCUUUCGCUCGGGGGCAAUGAUGUACACAAAAAUAUACACUAAGUGGAUCGGAGGGAUUCGCGUCAACUAUAGAGCGUGAAUAUUUCCAAAAAAAAAAAAAAAAUUUCCAACAUGGGUGUGUUUGGAUAGGAUUUAUUUGCAAAAUAAUUAUUUAAUUGUAUCAUAAAUAUAUUUUUUAACACAUUUUUUAUCUUGGCAAUCACUUUUUUAUCUUACAUAUAUCAUAUUACAAAAAGCGCUACAAUAAUUAUUUCAAAUGAUAUUUUAAAUAAUCUCCUAUCCAAAUGUCAUUUUAUAAAAAUAGAAGUGUCUCUAUCAAUACUCAUAACAUUCUUUCAAUUUUACCCUACAAAAUCGAAAUUCAAAUAAUAUGGAGACAGUGGAUAAGAGUGGAGGAAAAAGGUAAAUGAAUAUGUUUUGAAUUUUGGAAUUAAAAUAAAAAACUUUUAGAACAUGGAAAACUAAGAAACAUGAAAUUUCAAUGGGACAGAAAAAAGUACUUCAAGUUAACAUAUAUCUAGUGGCUGUUACUAUUAAUUAGAAUGUGAAAACUCUAUUCAUUCAGAAAGAAAAACUAAAUAGAGAGAGAGAAGACAGAAAGUUGAAGUAAUGUUUACGGGAAAAUAAAAACAAAAAAUAAAAGAUAAGGGCCAAUUUAGAGGCUUAGUAUGCAUGUACAUGUACAUCAAAUGGAUGUAACAUGGGAGUCGCCUUUCCAACUUCUUAGAUUCCACCCACACCUUAUCUAAGGCGGCGGAAAUUCUGACCCCAUCCUCCUCACUGUCCCAUGUUUCUUCUUCCAACUAGGCAUGGCCACAGUUCCAAAACCGUCGGUUCUGGUUCUUCAAAGAGAUAGAACCAGAAUCGCACCAUAUAAGAUGGUUCUGGUUCUGGUUUCAGAACUGUCGGUUCUGGUUCUUCAAAGAGGUAGAACCAGAACCGCAUAGUUCUGAUUUUGGUUCCUUAUGAUUCUGGUUCUGAUUUCCGAUUCCGUAUAAUUGUAUACAAUUUUAUUUAAUUCCUUAUCCUUAUCAAUUUUAAUACAAAUAUAACAAUAUGUUUAAAAUUUCAAAUAAAAUGUAAACAAAUAAAUACAAAAUAAAGAUAGGUGACACCCAUGUAUACAAGUUUGGUGAGACUCCACAGCUGUUAGACUAGAGUACCAUACAGUUAGUUGGGUACAAGUUGUUAGAGUACUAAUGAUUUUGUAAAUAUCAAACCAACGUUAUCGUUAUGUUAAACCAAUUGUAUGGUAUUUUAGGAGUUUAGAGUUUCUUACAAGUUGCACUCAAAUAUAUACACGAUCAGCGCUAAUACGAAAUAAUCUAGGCAAUUAGUAUUCCAAGUAGGAAAACAAAACAAAACAAAAAUGCUUUACAAGCAACAACUAUUUGUCUCCUGAUAAACACAUGUAACAAUUAACCUCAAACAAAUGUACACAUUAGUAUCUUAAAGAUAAGAAAAUCAAACUAGUAAAAACCUUCUAAAAUAUAUCGCAAUAGCAUAAAAUUACCUCCGAUGAGUAGAAAUUGUAAAUAGAGGAUUUGUUUCGCGAUUCAUUAAUCAAGUCCUGAAGCAUUAACUGUCUACCAAAAAAUAAAAUUAAAUUGUGAAAGUAAGAAAGUAAAUAUCAAGUAUGUGCGUAGAUAUCUUACUGUGUGUUUUGAUGAGUGCCUCAAAGCAUCAGCGAGAAAAAUUCCAAAGUCAAAAUCACUUGACCAUCUUACCCCUCUUAUAGUUAUCACAUUUUUAUAUUUUGGAAGGCUUAUAAAAGUGGUUACCAUAGAUUAAAGUCAUCAUAAUAGAGACUAUUUGAAAAUUAUUGAUGGAGGACAAAAAGGAGAGAUUAGAAAAGGGGCAGCAUUAGCAAUACUUAGAUAUGCACAAGACUGGGAACAAGAGGGUGGAGAAUUGACAAUACUUAGCUACGUACAAGACUGGAGAGGGCUAAAUUUAAUUUCAAACACGUUGUUAGGUGGCAAACACUAAUUUGCUAAGGACCCACUUGAAAAACAAUAAUGUUUUAAUGUCAAGAAGUAGAAAUUUCAAGAUCUUGGGGAUUGGUCCCCCCCCCCCCCCACCUCCCAUUUCCCACGUUGAGGAUAUGUUGAUUAAAAAAAAAAAGAAAAGAAAGAAAGACUAGCAACACAUCCUUAUUCCUUAAACAGUAGGGUAGGGAACAACAUCAUUAUCCUUAAAAAACAGGGUAGGCAAUGUAUCCUCAUCUUGACUUGGAAUUCCUCUAGACCUUUGUCAAGAAGAAUUAAGGGUAGGAAUGAUACCAUUCUUGAAGGUUGAAGGGCAGGCUUAGUCAAAAAAAAAAAAAUGUAAGACUCAGUCAUUUUUUAUGUAUGUUAACUUUAGAUCGUGUUCAAAUAAAAGACUCGCAAUUGGUUUGAAAUGGACAAAAUUGUAUAACAAUUAUUCAGUUGCAACCAUUUGCGCCCCUAUUCUUGCCAACAAGGUCCAUCAACAAAUAUAUUUGAAAACAAUCACAACUGUCGUGUCCAAAAAUCAUUUUUACUUGAUCCUUAUUUAAUAGGAAGGUAGUAAAUUCAUACCUUUCUAUUCUAAAUUCACAAUAAAAUGGUAUAAGGUGUAGAUUUAGGAUGGAGAGUUGUGGAUUUAGUCCCUCUUGACUACUUUUUUUUUUUAAACCUCGACUAAUUUUUCUUGCAAUAAUUUAUUCAUCUUUGUUUGUCAAUUAUUCAUCAGAUUAUAUUGAAACAACUAAAAUUUCUAAUAGUUGUCCAAUUAUAUCAUUACUCUUUAUCUUGAUCAAUAGAUUAAUAUAUUUAAAAACAAAUCAAAUCAAUAAUGUAUAAGCAGCAAAAAAACACCAAAAUUUGACAAUGGUCAUCGCUCCAUCCACUAUAAAAUAAAAUAAAAAAAGCUCCAAUUAAUAGCAUAAUUGUAACUUAGCAGACUUAUUGAAAAAGACACUACUUGCAUAAAAAAUUAUAAAAUAAGACACAAACUGUAGACAAGUACUAAAAUCUUGACUCUAUACAAAAAUAUUGAAUAUUUAAAUAAAAACUUUCACAAUUGAUUUUUAAUAAUUUUUUCCAGCAAAUGAGGUGUGGGAUUUAAGAAACGAGAAGGGGGCAGGGGGAUUUGAACCCAAGACCUCUAGUAAAAAAUUUUUAGACUUGGUUUAUUUGUCAUAAUAAUAGGUGAUCAGUAGAUAUCAAUAAAUUCUAUGAAUUGGUUUCACACUCUCAAAUUAAGGGCCAUCUAAACCAUUUGGGAUUCCCUCCGUUGGCCGACAGAGCUCAUAAUUUGGUGUGAAAAUAGCCAGUUUCAAAUUUCUUUGCCGCAUAUAUGAUAUACUUUUUCAUGACUCUCAAAUUCAUCCGCAAUUUUCAAAAGUAAAUGAUAAAAAAAAACACGAUCCCAGUGUCUCUCACAUUAGAAUGGAAUCUACGACACAUUAUAUAGAUGGUAGGCACGUUAUCACUUAUCACUAUCAAUUUAAAGAAUCUGACGAUGUGCUUUCAAGGUGCUUUAAUAGUAAACAAAUUGAUUAAAUUUUUAUUGUCUUAUUCAAUUCUUUAUUAUGUCAAUUCACCCUUUAAAAUUUUAAAGCUGCUCUAUUUUAGCCAUUCUAUUAAUUUGCCUUAAUUACCUCAAAGAGAUUAACUAAGGCAAAUCAAUAGUGAUAGUGCACUUCUUCUUCUUCUUCUCAUUUUCUAUUUUUUUUUUUUUGGAAAAUGGUGCACUUCAAUCUGAGAUAGCUAUCAAAAAGAAAAUAAUAACAAAAUAUCUUCAAUAAGCAAAUUAAAAAUUUUGAAUAAUUUUGUCGAGUCUAAUACACUUUAGCCUUUGAUCCAUUAAUUUAAUAAACUGAAUGUCAACCAUGGGAACUUUAUCUAUUGCCCAAUUCAUUCAAUGUGAAAGGAAAAACUUUCCGAUGGAAGUUAAAUAGCUCAAACCACAAAUGCUUAGAACUAAUACAUCUAAAGUUUCUACAUGGAAAAUAUGCAUAUGCGACUAGACUCAUUUAAACUUUGGCCUGCCCCAUCCAUAUGGAUCGGAGAUCUGGGAAGCUAGGGUUUUGACUUCAAUUGUUUUCGAUUACUGCAAUUCUUAUAAAACUUGGUAUAUAUGUGCACAUAUGGUUGCAUUUCUUAUAAUAUUUAUAUACAUGAGCAAAAUUCACACAUAUAAUAAAGUAAUAUAAUUAUGCAUCAAAUCAUGUAAAAAAGACGAUAAAUAUUCACUACCGUACACAAACACAACCAUAUCUACUCCAUUCUCAUGGGUGGCAGUUGUAGACAUGAAAUAAUAUUAUUUCAAUAUGCCAUCACAAAGAUAAAGACUCGUAGGUGAUGAGUACAUAUAUGCCAGUAAUCUUUUUUCUUUUUUUUUCAAUCUUUUUUUUUUUUUUUGGCAAGAAGUUCAUCAAUAACACCUAAAUUAACCCCACAAGAUACAACCCAAAGGCUAACUUUUGGUUGCACCCAUGAAACUUAAGUAUUACUCACGCACACACUCAACAAAUGAUGUGAGACAUAGGAGAGGGAACAGGGGAGUCUCUACUAAGCACUAACUAGCACUCACUCACUCUUGUUUUUUUUUCAAUCAUGAAUAUCAAUAAUCCAUAAAAAUGAAAGAUGGACUUUUAGAACUAUGAAGUAGGACGGACUUGUUCCAAGGAUCUUUCUCGCUGUUGAAGGUGCGAUUGAUUGAGUUGACAUCAAGAAGAGAAAGAAGAAAUACAGCGAUCAGAGCCUUGCUAUUGCUAGCCAUUGUCUUUUUUAUAGAGAGGGUCAUAAGAACUUAAUAAUGUUUCUAUUUUAUUAUCCUUUCUUGAUUUUUUUUCAUAAAAAAAUUGGGUGGAUACAAUUUUGAUUACCAUAGUGGGUCAGAACAUAUUCUCGGGACCAUAGGUUAGUUAUAGGAAUUCUUAUAGAUUGUUCAUCAAUGUAGUCCUCGCAUCGGCAGUUGAAUCCGAAUAUAUGCCCUUUUGUAAAGUGAUCUAUUUUUAUCAAUUGAACCAACUUGUAUUUGACUAAUGAUAGUUGCAUGGAAUGAAUCAUACUUUUAUAGUCCGGACCGAGUUUCUCAACAAUUACAUUGACAAUUUCUGUCUUAGGUUAGCAGUCCAAAUGGGAUGAGCUAACAUGGUCCAAUUAGAGGGGUCAACUUGAAACUUCAUUUAAAUUGAGUGGCUCGAAUUGGGUCAUGCUGACAUCUAAUAUGGGACGUGAAGGGUAUAGAGCCUUUCUAGUUCCAAUUCUCUCCAAUUGUGUAAACUAAUAAAAUUUUGAUAUAAAUAUAAUUUAUAAUUGAAUUGGUGCAAAACUCACGAUUAUACCAAAAAUCUAUUAGUGUACACCAAAAUUGUGCCAGUUUAUUCAAUUAGACGGCAUUCGAUCGUACCUCAACUGGAAAAGCCCCGAAUUCGAACGUAAACUACUCCCAGUAAUUGCAAUCGCUGAUUGGACAAGAACCUUAAGACCCAUAAUCAGAAUAAUUCUAUACGAAAUUCAUGCACAGAGAAAUAAAGGCAUCAUCGAAUUGGAGACUCGUGUCUUUUGUUAAGGAGGUUGAGGGAAGGACGAGGAUAUUAACGGAUGAAAACGUAGGAUAAUUAGUAUUUGUUUGCCUUGCCACUGCUUGUUGGGUAAGAACUGGUGUUUCUUUUGUUUGGAAGCUCUGGUAUUGUAAUUUUUUGAUAACGUGAAGGUGGGUUUACACUCCCUGUCCUUCUUUUCUAACCCUGUCCUCCCUCUUACCCCUUUCGAGAACCCUAACUUUUUGAAAAGAUUAGUGGUAUGGUUUCCACACUAGUAAAUUCUCAAAGAGUGUGAGUUUAUAAAAUUUCCCAAAUGAUGAUGGUUCUUUAAUUUGUCUAAAUUUUGGAAAUUUUCUCGUAUCCACACUCCAUAUUUGACUUCGUGUAUUCCAAGCAUAUGUCUUAUCAAUCGAGAGGACAAAUAUGAUCAUUCUUAAUCCAUCUUCCUUCUCCUAUACAACAUUUCAAUCCACAAAGAGAUUCGUGGACCAUGGAACUCAAUAUCAGUCACAAAAUAGCAAAUUUCCAAUUUGUGGACCAUGGAACUCAAUAUCACAAAUACAACCCUUCUUAAUCCAUAUUCCUUAUCAAAAGUUACGUUCAUAAAAUAUGUACUUCUUUACUUUGUCUAAGUUUUGAAAAUUUUCUUGUGUCCGCACUCCAUAUUUGACAUUGUACAUUCCAAGCAUGCGUCUUAUCAAUGAAGAGGACAAAUACGACUAUUCUUAAUCUAUCUUCCUUCUCCUGACAACCUUUCAAUCCACAAAGAUAUUCACUCAUAGAAUAGUGAAUUUCUAAUUUUAUGGACUCGUGGAACUCAAUAUCAACUGUGCCAAAAUCAAUCCUAAAACUUUAGUCAAGUCUACCAAAUGAAACUUGGAUGGUGAGGGUUUUGGAUCAACCAAAAGGUGGUGAGCUUUUGUUUGGAGAGUGGUUGCCAAAGGCCUAUAGGGGAAAAACGAUGUAGGCUUGGUUCUUUCAUUAUGGCAAUGGUGUUAACAAAAAUAUGAACCAAGUGGAUUGAAGGGCUUUGCAUCAAAUAUGGAACAUGAAUAUAAUCUCCUUUUAUAAAAAUAGAAGUGUCUAAAGCAAUACUCAUAGCAUUCUUCCAAUUUUAUCCUAUAAAAUUGAAAUUCACAUGAUAUGGAGACAAUGAAUAAGAGCGGGGGAAAAAGUAGAUGAAUACGUUUUGACCUUUGGAGAUAAAAAAUUUUUACAACAUGUAAAACUAAGAAACAUAAAAUUUCAAUGGGACAGAAAAAAGUACUUCAAAUUAACAUAUAUCUAGUGGGAGUUACUAUUAAUUACAAUGAGAAAACUCUAUUCAUUUAAAAAGAAAAAAACACAGAGAGAGAAGAGAAAUUUAAAUUAACGUUUAGGUGAAAACAAAUAAAAGAAUAAGAUAAGAGGCAAUUUAGAGGCUUGAUAUGCAUAAUGUCACUGUGGUUAAGACAGCUCCAGUCAGGCUAAAUAAAAAAAGGCUUGGUAAGCCUAAUGUUUAAUUGGGCUAAAUAGAGAUUAGACUUGAAUAUUAGGCCCAAAUUAAAAACGAGUUGGGUUUUGACUUUGCUAGAUUUAGGCUCAAUUAAUGCCCACUGGUGUAUAAAUAUUAUUAUAUACAUAAAAAUAUAUAAUAUAAUUAUAUAUUAUAGCAUCGAAUAUUAAUAACUUAUAUAUAAAUUUAUAGUAAUUCAUAAUUAUUAAACAUAUAUUAUGUAUAGAUAUGUAUUUAAUUAUGAGCUCGAAUUGAACCCAAAACUCAUCUAGAAUUGUGAACUGAGUUUGAGCCUUUUAAUUGGACUUGAGCUUGAAAGUCCAAAAAUCUAAAAGCUCUCUUAGUUCAUAAGUCAAGUUUGAACUUGUAAAAAUUCAAUUCAGAGGUCUCGAUGAACAGUCCUACAUAUACAUAUAUACAUAUAUAUAUAUAUAUACACACACACACACACACACACACACAUACACAUUAAGGCUUUUCCAGCUUGUCUCUUAUGGUGAUGGCUAGGGGUGGCAAUUUUCGACACGACUUGAAAACACGACACGAACCUAACACGAAAUUAAUGGGUUUGGGUUGAGGUUUCGGGAAUUCGGGUCAGAAUCGGGUUGGACCCGAUGAACCCGAAAAGAAAACAGGUCGAUUUCGGGUCAACCCGUGGUGACCUGAUAUGACCCGAUAUGACCCGUUUACGAAUUAAAAAUAAUUUAAUAAACAUAAAAAUAAUUUUAUCUAACUAAACUAAGUUAUUCUUUUUUUCAAAGGCAUUAAUUACUUAAUCCUAAAUGAAUUUAUUUAAUUUGUGUGAAGUUGAAAUUAUUAUAUUUGGACAAAUAAUAUAUUAUAUUAUUUUUUACUUUUAUAUUGUUUUAAUUUAUUUUGUAUUUUGUUUGGGAUAAAACACUUUUACGGUGUUUAAUUUAUUUUAGAUUUGGUUUGGAAUUAUUUAUUUAAAUUUUUAUUACUUGAUUAUGUAAUUAGUUUUGUGAGAAAUUGAUUUUAUUAGAAAUUACAGUGAUAAAUUAAUAAAUUAAAAUUAAGUUUCGGGUCAUUUCGGGUCGACCCGCCAACCCGUCAACCUGAAAUUUUCGGGUUCGGGUCAACAGAUUUUCUGGCGGGUUGACCCGACCCUGACCCGCCAACCUGAUUUGGACCCGAAUUGCCACCCCUAGUGGUGGCGGCGGCGCCUGCCCCGGCAAAAGGGGGGGUUUAAGGCGAUCUCACCCUUUACUCCCUGUUCCCCCAUGUUUAACUUGCAACCCCAUUGCCAUUCCGAUGGAGAAUAGUGCUCGCUAACAAGUCUGGGCGAUCAAGUACCUUCUUCAAUGGGGUAUGAUGCUGGGUGACAGGUGCCGAACCUAUGCAAUAAUAAUAAAUAAAACCAAACUACCACCAAAAGUAGCCAAUAAUCAAUUUUAGGUACUGGAGCAGGAACUCUAGGUGUGCAAUGGGUUACUUGAUUCACCCUGUUCCCGAAGAGUUUGUUUAAUCCGAUAUACCCGAAUUAAUUAUCUGACUAAAUUCACUAACUAGUAGACAGUGGCAAGCAGGGUCGUCUCCUGAGGGACUGGGGAGAAAUUUAUUUCCUUUCGAAUCAAAACAAAUAGGGGGUUUUAGAAUUAAAAGCUAACUAAAUAAUUUAACUGCAGAAAAUAAUUAAUUAAAAGAAAUAAUUAGGAGAGCUCUAGCCAAGGGUACACUUCAAAAAUGGUUCAUGCACUGAUCAUCGACUCACAGAUAAUUCCAACAUUUAUUAAUAGAUUAGUUAUAGUUGUCAUGCACGCGAUAAACAACCAACCUUUUUUUAAUUUCUCGAUAAUUAAGGUACGACCGUUAACUAUUUCUCUAACCCAGAAACAACCCUAGGUACGACCGUAUGAUUUAAUUUCUGGUUUGCAUUAAGAUUUAGAAAAGUUCAAUCCUAACUAACAAACACGCUACGAGGGUUUGUUUAAAUUAGAUUGUAUGUUUCCCUGACAUAAACCCAAUUACGCCAGUUGCUACUAGGACGAAAGUAAUCGAACAAUUACGGAUUCAACUACUCCCAAUUAGCAAGUAGCCUACGUGAAUAAUUAAAUAUUGCGCAUCUACUCAAUCAUACACGAUGGCUAUAACAACAAUUAAAAGCAGAAAACACACAAAUACCAAUGAAUGAAGGAAACAAUUAAAAUAAUUUAGAUCUCACAGUUAUUGUUGAACCAAGUCUUCAGUUGUCCCCUUGACUAAAAGUAGAUGAUUAGUUCUCCAUUAAUGGAGAACAUGCCAUGCGAAAAAGCUAUCUGAAGCUUACAAAAUUGUUCCUGGCCAAAUCGGCCAACCCCCUCAAAGCAAAACAAUUUUUGCUCUUUUUAUUUUGUCUCCCGUGAAAAGAAGAUCACCCGAAUUUGUUGCUGGCUCCGGUCUUCAUCCCGCGAGAUCCGGCAUUUUCUCCCUCAAAUCCAUGCAAAGGAAAUCAAAAGCCAUUCCUCUUUUGGCUCUAGCCUCUCAAAAGAGAGCUAAUCUCCCAAAUCAUAAUCCCUAUUUUUUCUCCUAAUUGUUUGGUAAUCUAAUCCCAAUCCAACUCCUAAAAAGAUUCCUAUUACAAAUCAAUUUCCUCCAACUUUUCUUUUCUUUGAGAAUGAUCCCCGAAAUUAGGAGAGUCCUGGCAGCUAACAAAUUAGGGAGUUGACUUGGAUUGGGAGACUAUCCAAUAUCAAUCCUGACUUUCUGGCCUUGAAUGUAGGUCCCGAAUGUACCAUCAUCAAAUUAAUUGAAAAAUUAUCACUUUUAAUCACGUUUUGCUCAUUUUCCUACAAUUGGCAUCAUUAACCAAAUAUAAGUAGAAUCUAUCAAUUAAAAUAAUAUUUGGCUAAAAUCAAGGAAAAAAUAAUUAUUAAUUUAGCAACAAAUUAUGACCUAUCAAUUUCCCCCACACCUAAACCAUGCUUGUCCUCAAGCAUGAGAACACAAAUCAAGUAAUCAAAUUCAAACAAUGGUAUUAUUCAAAUCUUCUAUUGCCAAGAUGUAAUUAAAACACAUGUCAAGUAUUAGUGGCAAUUUUCAAGAAAUAUCACUCGAGUUAGCUUUCAAGAUUAAGGACUCUUUUUAUUUAUGACUAACUAAUCUAAGAAUAUAAAAUAUUCAACCAGCAUCCAUAAGCAAAUGGUUCGACUAUUAAGCAAACUCUCAACAUUAAAAUUCAUGGAUCAGCGGGCUAAUAAUUCAUUCACAUUUUUCACUAUUAGCACUUUUUUUUUCUAAAAUAUCCCCACACUUGAUUGAUUGAUUUUUUUUUUUCAGGGGGAAUGCUUAGUUUUUAGCCAUUCAAGCAUUUUGACGCGAACCCCGAUAUUGGCCAAAUGAAAGACCCUGGUUACUCAGCCAUCAUCGCUUAAAAACCAUAUACUCAUAGCUAUCGUCACUUUUUGACGCGAAAAUAGACACUUGUGGUGAAGACCUCCGAUUACUAGGCAACGAUACUAGCGGAGUAUAAGGGGAUUUUUUAUUAAUUUUUUUCCAGCAAAUGAGGUGUGGGAUUUAAGAAACGGGGAAGGGUAGGGGGAUUUAAACCCAAGACCUCUAAUAAAAGAAUUUUUAGACUUAGUUUAUUUGUCAUAAUAAUAGUUGAUCAGGAGAUAUCAAUAACUUCUGUGAAUUGGUUUCACACUCUCAAAUUAAGGGCCAUCUAAACCAUUUGGUAUUCCCUCCGUUGGCCGUGAGAGCUCAUAAUUUGAUGUGAAAUAGCCAGUUUCAAAAUUCUUUGCCGCAUAUAUGAUAUACUUUUUCAUGACUCUCAAAUUCAUCUGCACUUUUCAAAGUAAAUGAUAAAAAAAAACACGAUCCCAGUGUCUGUCACAUUAGAAUGGAAUCUACGAAUAUUUUUUUGAUAGUAAUGAUUUUUUUUUUGUUCUCUCACCAAGGUGUAUGAAUUUCUUGAAGAUAUUUUUUUCUUUUUAAAUUUCUUGAAGAUCAAUAAAGUAAUUAUAUUUAAAACUUGCAUUAAAAAGAAAACAACAUGCAUCUUUAAACUUCCAAUAUUUUGUUUGCAUAAUAAAGAAAUUCUAUAGAGCGUAAACAAUUCUUUCUGACGUUAUCAAACAACAUAAAAUGAUCAAAGUUGUACAACAGAAAACCACUCUUCACAAAAAAAAAAAAAAUUCCGAACAAUGUUGUGUUUCAUGUUUAUAUGUAUGUUGUGUUGGACAUUCUUGAACUUUUUGGCGGAGAUUUUCGUUGCAAUAUAAAAUUUUUGGAAUCCAUCAGCAUAAAUAGUCCUAAACUUUCAGAUCUGAAUUUAAUCAAAUUGUCAUUCUAAUCAAAUGCUUCUCCUAAUUCUGGCCUAUUAACUAAAAAGAAAAGAAAAGAGUAUAUUUACCUGAAGCCAAAAAAACUAAAAAAAAUAAAUAGAAAAAUUUAUAAGUUUUGAUACCGAUGCCAACUAAAUUAUAGUUGGACAAAUACUACGACCAACUAAAUCUGCCUGGAAUUGAUAAAAAUUUAGCUUUAGCCAAUUUAUUCUGACUUUCUUGAAUUUCACGAAUUAUUUAGUAUAAUAUGUCUCUAGAAAAUAUAGAACUACAACAUAAAUAGCAUAAUUUGUCUUGAAAAUACUAUCGAAUUUUCUAGCAUAAUCUGUCACCAGAAAUUAUAGAACUACAACAUAAAUGGCUUAGCCUAUGGACUGAUCAUGGUUUAGAUAUUUCUCCAAAAGCUACUCGAAUCACCUUUUUUUGUGGAUUCAGUAGGAAAAAUUAGUCAUGGAAGAUAAAAACGGUCAAUCUCAUUGAAACAUUUCAUUGCUUAAAAUUUCUUAGAUAUCGAAAUAGACAUUUUAUGCGUGUUUAAAUCUCAAAAAAAAGUAAAACCAAAGAAGAAGGGAAAGGAGAAAGGGACAGAACAAGAAGACCUCUGAAAUUUUACAUGUUUUGUUGGGAUAAUUAAAUACUAGCAUCAUUUGUUAUACAAAGUAACAAGCCAACUUGAGUCGAACUUGAAAGUCUAUUUGAAUCUCGAUAGGUUAGUCAACUUAUAUCUAUUCAAAAAUCACCUAUUAGGUUCUAUUCCUCAUGCAAUCGAAAACUUAGUCUCACUUCAGUUUCCUGUCUUGUCCCAAAAUUAUCUUAUUGGUUCAAUCCCUAAGUCGCUAGGCAAUUUUAACCAAUUUGAUGCAUUUAUAUCUCUUUGACAACAACAUUCUGGUUCAAUUCCAAAGAGUUUGGGUGAUCAAACAUUCCUUUUAGAUAUGAAUUAGGUAAGAACCAACUUAAUAUGGUUCCAACCCUAUUUUAAUUGAUAACUUGAGUAACUUAGAAAAACAGUAGUAUUUCCUAAAAAGCCAUAUUUUGAUACCAUCCCACAAGAGCUUGGAAACCUAAAAUAGUUGGUAGUCUUGGAAUUGGAUUAAAAUCAAUUAUCUAGUCCAUUGCCAGAACUACUUUGUCAAAAUGGCACACUUCAAAACAUUUCUGUGUCUAAGAACAUGCUUACAGGUCCAAUACCUAGAAGUUUGCGAAACUGCUCAAGCUCAUGCUCAGCACUCAUUUUUGGUCUAUUAGUACCUUGAAAGCGGAAUCUUGUCCAAAAUUUUGAGCGUCAAAGAAGAAGCCAAGGAACAAGACUGGCAAAAGAAGUUGAAAACCAUCCAAGGCAUCGCUCUUGCUUUAUUUUACAUGCAUCAUGAUUGUUCACCCGCAAUUGUACAUCGGGUCACGUUUAAGAUUUUGACACUCCUUAGUUUUAGUCUUUGAUCUUCUGUCAUUAUCCCCUUAAAGACUUUUCUUCCAACUAAUGUCUUUUUAGCGUUCACUAAUUGAUUACUACUUUUUAAAGAACUUAAAAAGUCUAAGUAAACUCCUCGAUUAGAUGAUAUAUGUAUCAGCGCUCUUAAAUGAAAAAAGACUUUUUUAUUGUAUCCCAAAAGACUUUCUUUAGUCAAGAUGAUACAUCAACGCUCUAAAAAAUAUACUCAUUUCAUCAACCUCAACAAUUGCUUUCAAAAAGCAGUAAUCAAUUAGUGGAAUUACUUCAAGGAAAAGACGCAGGUAGCCAUCAUCGCUCUUAAAGAAUUUCUUUUUGUCAACAAUAGCUUUCAAAAUGUAGUAAUCAAUUAGUGGAAUUUCAAAAAGUUGGAAUGAGUAUUCUAGGGGGAAAGGAUUUUUCUACUUAAAUGAGCCAUAUCAAACAUUAGAAUGGAAUGAACAAAUUGAAAAGAUCUUUUCUAUUCAAGCCAUUCUUGCAUGCAAAAUCAGGAAUUAGUGUUUACUGAUUGAUUAUUACUUUUUGAAAGACUUAUAAGUGACAGGUUGUCGAAGCCUGCACAAUAAUAAAAUUAAACCUAAUUGCCAGUUAAAAUGACCAAAACCCAACUCCAAGUACUGGAGUAGGGACUCUAGGUGUGCAAUGGGUUACUUGAUUCACCCUGUUCUCCAAGAGUUUGCUUGAUCCGAUAUACCCGAAUGAGAUGGUUAUUUUUUCACAAAUAAUUAUGAAUUAGUAGACAGGGCAAGUAGGGUCGUAUCCUCAGGGACUGGGUAUAUUUGUCUCUUAAGAAAUUCAAAGUAACGCAGGGGUUGAUUUUGUAGGAACGACGACAAUCAAAUAAAUUCGAAUAAGAAAACAAAAAUAAAUAACUAACUAGAAAUUAAACAAAAAUAAAUAACUAACUAGAAAUUAAACAACAAUUCACUGAACUUAGAGUAACAAUAAUUAGAGGCCUAAAUCAAUUAAAACAAGAAAACAAUUAAAAAUAAAAUAAAGUAGGCAACUAAAAGUCAAAUGGCAAUUCACUAAAAUCAAGGUAAUAUUAAUUAAAGAUCUAGCCAAGAAAUAACUUCAGCAAUGGUUCACCUAAUUGAUCAUCGAAGCAAGGGCAAUUCCAAUUAUUCAUCAAUAAAUAGGUUAUAACUACCAAACAAGCGAUGGAAGUCAACCCCUCCUUACUGUGUCGGUGAUUAAGGUACGCCCGUUAAUCACUGCUCUCAUUAGGAAGUAAUCCUAGGUACGCCCGUAAGAUUUAAUUCCCCAAUUGCCUUACGUGUUAGAGGAGCCCUAUUCUAACCAAAUAACGCACUACCAAGGUUAUUUCAGAUUAGCUCGCGUAUCCCCCUGACACGAAUCUAAUCGUGCCAGUUGUCACUAUUUCAGGACAAUUAAACAAUUAUGGAUUUAAUGCCCUAAUUGACAAUAGGUUACCAAGUCAAUUAAUUAUCCAGAUCCAAGACAAUCAAUUAAUUAAAUAACCAUAAGCAUAGCAAUCAAGGAAUAUGCGAAUACCAAUAAAUAAAAGGAAAAGAUUAAAUUAAAUCGAUCUCACAAUUUUUAGGCGAACCAGAGCCUUCAUUGCUCCUUGACUAGAGUGGUGAAAUUAGUUCAUGUUCGAUGAACAAAGCCCAUAUAAAAUUGAAGAGGAAGCCGCGACCAUCAAUUGGGAAAUGCACAAAUUCAAUUCAGUCAAAGGAAUAAAGCAAAGCAAAGUUGCAGAGUGUGAUACAAUGUCUUCCUAAUUGCUCCUGCCAUCCGCAGGAGAACUCCACUAGCAAGAAACUAAGGAAAAGUCAACAAUUCAAAAAGCUAAACUAGUGCUCCUCUGCCAUGCGUAAGAGAAGCCAAAAGAAAUCCUUAUCAAAAGUCUAAAAGGAAAAAUCUCAUGCUAAGCUAAAAAAAACUCCCUUUUUCUUCUGCACAAUUUUCCUCUAUAAAGUCCUGCUCCUUCCGGCGGCUCCUAAGGAAUAGAACCCUUCGGCCAAAAUGACCGAAAAGGGCUUGUGUCCCUUUUUUCAAAAAUGCCCUUGUAAGCCUUCUAUUUAAUUUCUUUCCCGAUGACUGUCAAAGUAGCAUUGAUUGUGGUAUUUUUGAUCUACUCCCUGAAAUAAAUACAAAUUAUGAAAAGUGAGUAGAAUCCAGCAAUUAAUCCACAUCAAGUCAGGUAAUAGGGGAAAUUAAUAAUAAAAUAAAUGAUAAAAUUGCGAGCUAUCAAUUCCUCCCACACCUAAAUCAUGCUUGCUCUCAAGCAUGAUAACAACAAACAAACACCAAUAGCUGACAAUGGCUAUUGCUCCAUCUAUCAUAUUGCCAAGACACCAAGAAAAACAUAGAUCAAGUCUCAGUGAUCAAGAUCCAAGAAACAUCACUUCGAUUAGUUUCUAAACUACAAACUCUUCCAAUUUCAGGUUAACUAAUCUAAAAAAAGGGAAUGACGCACAACAUUUAUCAGCAAAUAACCCAACUAUUAACCAAAAUCUCAACACUAAAUUCAUAAGUCGGCAAGCUGAUUUUGAUCCCACACUAAUACAACCUUCACUUUAUUUUUCAUGUUUUCUAUUUUUUUUUCCAUUUUUUUUCUUUUUUUUCUCUUUUUUUUUCAAUAAUAACAAAAGACUUAGUCUUUAACCAUUGGAGCCUUUUGACGCGAACUCUGACAUUUGUCAGAUGAAAGAGCCCGGUUACUCAGCUUCUAUCGCCACGUGACCACGUACUCAUAGCAAUUACUAUUUUUUGACGCGAGAAUCGACACUUUUGGUGAAAACUCCCGGUUACUCGGUAGUAAAGACUAGCGGAGUACAGUCAACUCUUAUUCUCAGCUAAAUAACACAAAAACUCAAUAUAACACAAAAAUCAAAAGAAAAUUGCAUCAGCUAGCCUCAUUUUCAAACAUGGAGAACUAAGGUUAAUAACCGGACCAACUCACAUGAAAAUGCCAACAAUCAUCCCCAAUGCCUAGAAAAGUUAACCAAAAAUUAUAAGAGUAAAACAAUCACCGAUAUUCACCAAAGAGAUGUUUUUGGACUCAACCACAUUAACUUGAUACACUUUUAUUAUUAAAAUUUGGCAAUAGUAGAAAUAGAGGCAACAAUCCAACAUCAAACUUGGCAGUCAUAGGAGAGCUAGACAGAUAAAUGACAAAAAGUAAGCGAAAACUAGACAAAUAACAAACGAAAAAUAAAAGAAAAAUAUCUGAAAACUAAGAACUAGAAAAACUACUACCAUAACUGCUCCCCCCCACACCUAAAUCCUACAUUGUUCUCAAUGGAGGUAAUAAAGUAAUUAAAGUGAAGAGAACAAUGAAACUUCCCUCUCGAGUGGCGAAGGGGUAGGCGGGAACAGUGGAGGAAAACUGAUGUGGCGGAAGUAUGCACCCAAGUGCUGAAACAUCUUAACUCAAUUCAACCAGCAAAUGCAAAACUCUGUCCACCCAAAAUCUCAACAAAGCCUCCAAGUGGACAGUUAAUUUCUCAACUCAAAAGCGGCAAUUUCAGCAAUAGCAGUAUAGAAAUUGGAGAAUAACCACACAAUCACAAUCAGGUAGCCAACCAAUUGGAAAUAACAAAUGCUAGUCAAAAUACCCCAACCAGUACCACUGGUGCAAAACGUAGUCCAAAAUCAAUGAAAUAGCUAUAACAGAGCAGAGUAAAUGCUACCUAUGGCCCCCAAUGCAUCAGCCAACAGUAGAAGCUAUACAAUGCCACACUCACAACAGAUGCUCCAACAAAGGUAGCAAAUGAACUCAAUUGAAACGACUACGGAAGGCAAGUGAAAUCAAGAGACUAAACACACCCAGUAAACCAAAAUUAGUUAACCAACUUCAAGAAGCGAUACAGGGGUCACAAUGCCCUUCCGAUCAACAAACAACCCAGAAAUUGCGCCACUAUAGUCCCAACAAUUUAAGCAAUUACAGUAUUUCAGCUCACCCAAAAACUCAACAAUUCCACCCAAAAGUUGAACAAAUGCCUCCCCGCACUGUGCCAGAGCACAACUAAUUUCAACGAAUAUGCUAAUCAAAGAGGCUAAGAGCAGGGCAACUGUCAAACACCCAACAACCCAAAACAAUUGUACUCAACUCCGUGCUCUCAAUUAGGGAGGCAACAACAGAGAAUGAACAAAUCCGGAGGAAAACAACUCAGCCGCUAAACGAUACCAAUCAACACCAAAAAUUUUGGGAUCGAGGUUGAAAUACCUCUACUGGCCGCCAAACAAAGAACUGGAGCGGUAGUAGCCGACGCGGCGUGGCCUGGCGGUGAGAGGCGGCGUGAGAGGGUGGAGUCGCGGGUGGAGAGCUUAGGCUGCCGAGCUGUGGCAACUGACUGCGGACGGCGGAGCUAAUGCUGGAGGGCGGUGGAAGAAAACCGUGCAGUGGCGGCGGAUCGAGCUUCAGCGGCGAACAAACUGGAAUGGAGGCGGCGCGGGUUGCUCGGCCGUGGAGGUCGCGAGAAGAGAGAGAGAUGGGAGGGGCGAGACUUGGUGGUGGCGCACGCAAAGGGCGGUAGCUCGCAGCCGUUGUUGGCGGCGUAGGCGGCGCGCACGUGGUUGGAGAGCGACGGCGGCGCACGAGCUCUCGGUCGACAGAGAUAAUGGAAACAAUGGAGAAGAAAGAAAGAAAAGAGAAAGAAAGAAAAAGAGGAAAGAAAGAAAAAGAAAGAAAAGAAAAGAAGGAAAAAGAAAGAAAGAAAGAAAGAUUUUUUUUUUUUUUUUGGAAAUUUCAGCUACGGUGAAAAGGAAAAUUUUUUUUUUGUUUUUUUUGUUGUUGUUGUUUUUUUUAUAUAUAUAUAUAUAUCUUAUUUUUAUAUUUUUUUAUUUUUGUGUUAAUUAAAUUUUUUUUUUUAUUUUCUUCUUCUUUUUUUUUUUAUUAUUAUUUCAAAACUCAACUUUGAAAUUCAAAAUUAGAGACUAACAGGGAAUCACUAACCGGUUUUGAGUUUUUCUUUUGAAUGCUUGCCUUUCCCGCGAACAUGACGUGGGCACGUGACGAAGGCACGGAAUGAGGAGCUCUCCAGGUUACUUGACGCGGGCACGUCAAGAGGGCAAGAGUCUCUUCUGACGAUUCUAACCGUGAGCUCUCCAUACGUCAUGACGCUGGCGCGUCAUGAGGGCAAGAACCCCUUCUGACGAUUCUGACUGUGAACUCUCCAUACGUCAUUACGCGGGCGCGUCAUGACAGAAGGACACCUACAAAUCAUAAAAAACGAAAAUUGAAACCCGAAAUCAGUCAAAUUCAAGGAAAACAUAUUUAAACUAUCACACGAAAUUAAAACAAACAAUUAAAAGAAAUAAUUGGGUUGCCUCCCAAUGAGCGCCUUUCUUUAACGUCUUUGGCUAGACAUUGAACACCACUCUUCAAUCUGGGUGUAACUCAAUUUUCCUGGAAAUCGGUGGCCCUCCUCCAGGAUCCAAAUUGCCUUUGAGGGCAGCCUCCUUUCUUAAUUUUCUACUCCUUUUCACCUCAUACAGUGCUUUCAUCCCCUUAUACUUGUUCUCAGUAAAUUUGAAUUUAUCCCUACAAGCAAACUCAGAAAAUUCUUGCACAGAGGGAUUAAUAGCAUGAAUAGCAAACACAGGGUGAGAGUUAACAGGAUGUUCCAUUGUAUCGAAAAUAUUAAAGUGGACUAGUUCUCCAUCAAAUUUCAUGGACAAUGUACCCUUAUUAACGUCAAUUUUUGUCUGUGCUGUGCUUAAAAAGGGUCUACCUAGUAGCAAAGGUGAGGGGUCAGGGGAAUGAUCAUCAUCCAUGUCAAGUACAUAAAAGUCAGCCGGGAAUAUCAAUUCAUUAACUUUAACCAGCACAUCUUCUAUCAACCCAUCAGAGUAUGCAUUUGUUCGGUCAGCUAAUUGAAUUAUUAUCUCGGUUUCUUUUAAUGGACCGAGGUUCAGAGAAGCAUACAUAGAUUUAGGCAUUAUGUUGAUCGAUGCUCCUAAGUCCAGCAGGGUAUUCCUAAUUAGAGUAUUACCUAUCUUACAUGGGACAGUAAACCUAUCUGGAUCCCCGCACUUUGGUGGAAGCUUCCUUUGGAGAACUGCUGACACAUUCUCCCCAACAAUGAUUCUUUCGUCUCCCCUCAGCCGCUUUCGGUUGACACAUAGGUCCCUAAAAAAUUUUGCAUACUUCGGCAAUUGUUUGUUUGAUAGCAUCUAAUAAGGGGAUAUUGAUCUCUACCUUGCGGAACACCUCUAGGAUCUCCUUCUCUUUGUCCUAUUUCUUCGGUUUCUCCAACCUGCAAGGAAAUGGAGAAAUUAAUCCACAUCAAGUCAGGUAAUAGAGGAAAUUAAUAAUAAAAUAUAUGAUAAAAUUGCGCGCUAUCAUUAAGUUUAAAUAAACUCCUCGAUUAAAAUGUCAAGAUGAUAUAUAUCAGUUCUCUAAAAUGAAAAUGACUUUUUUACUCUAUUCCAAAAGACUUUUUAAGUCAAGAUGAUACAUCAACGCUCUCAAAAAUAAACUCAUUUCAUCAACCUCAACAAUUGCUUUCAAAAAGUAGUAAUCAAUUAGUGGAAUUACUUCAAGGAAAAGACUCGGGUAGCCAUUAUCGCUCUCAAACGAAUUUCUUUUUGUCAACAAUAGCUUCCAAAUGUAGUAGUCAAUUAGUGGAAUUUAAAAAAUUUGGAAUGAGUAUCCUAGAGAUAAAGGGCUUUCUCGCUUAAAUGAGCCAUAUUAAACACAAAUGAAAUAGACAAAUUGGAAAGGCCUUUCCUAUUCAAACCAUUCAAUAGGGAGAACUAGUCAUAGAAGACAAAAAAUGGUCAAUUUCAUUGAACAUUUCAAUAUUGCAUUAAAUUUCUUGGCCCAUUGGAAUAGACAUCUUAUAUGUUUCACUCUCAAAAAAAUAAAAAUAAAAAUGAAGAAGAAAGGGAAGGAGAGAGGGACCGAAGCAGAAUACUUCCGAACUGAUGGGAGUCAACCACAACGUAUUGAUGGGAGUUCAGGAAGGGGAAAGGAGAGAAGAAGGGGAAGUUUUGGGCAAAACUUAGAUAUCUACAAGACUAGGGAGGCCAAGUUUAAUUUAAACAUUUGCAGCCCCUUAACUAACAGGAAAAGAGAAGGGUAUAUUAACCUGAAGCAGACAAUACUGGAAUUCAAACGGACAGAAAUAGAAGUUUAGAUUCCGAUAUCAAUUAAAUUCUGUUUUGAGCAAGUACUACGGCCAACUAAUUCUGCCUAUAGAAUUGGUAGAAAAUUACUCCUUUGGAUUUCUACUUUCCUUUUUUAACAUAUUGAGUUCAUCCGACUGUGUUUUAAGUGUACAAAAUUUUUGGGAGUAUUUUUUUUUUUUUUGGCUGGUGUAGGGCUGCAAACAAAUUGAUUCGAGUCAAGUUUUGAUUUAAUUGAAUUGAGUUUGGACUAAAAUCUCCUCCAUUUUUUACCUAACACUUGCUUUAUACAAUCCUGUCCCAUCCAAUAUUAUCAAACUCAGUACUAUGAAAAAACCUAUUACUUCACCCUUUGCAUUUUUCACACCAAAAGAUAGGGACUCUGUAAUCUUAUUAAAUUGAAUAAUUAGAUGAAAAGGAAAGAGAAAGUACAACGUAAAGAGUCAAGCAAGAUGUGCAAAAAAUGUUAUUUCACUUUUACAAAAGCGGAGGUGAUCUUCAGAUUUCAAUCAUGCGACAACAAAUUACAAGGAUAGCUUCAGUAACCGGAAAGGGAAAACACACACACACACACAUGAAAUGCUGAAUAACUUACACUUCUGAAGAAACUUACAAGGAGAUUUGAGCUUACACCUGAAGUAUAGAGCAUGCUGUCUGAAUAACAGUAAGAACUAGCAGUAUACAGGCAGCAAUAAAAGAGAUGAUAGCCCAUGGACUCUGAAAAUAAUCACGGCGUAGGCUUGCAAUCCACUCGGUUAACUUUGUCACCAACUUGUGCAGCCAGUCUCUGCUGUAUUCAUUCAGUUGAUUGCAGAGGUUAGCAAAAUAAAACUCCUUUGGAUCCGUUACAAUCUCUUUGUAGAGAUUGUUGAAAACAUCUGCCACCUGUUCACUGCUUCCAAGUUCAUUCACAAUGAUUUUAUGUUCAAUGAGUAGAUCAACAUCCUUGGGGGUGUCUAUCAAGUUAUCCAUCAGAAUAACAUAGCUUGUUAUGUCCUUGGAAUUAUAGCCACACUGUUCAAAGGCUAUCAGAUUCCGGUAAAAAGUCUCUGUGAAAUCAUUUACGGUGAGCUGUGGAAUUACUAACUCCCCUUUCUCAAAGCGUACAUCAAAUAAACAUUUUUCUGCUCCAUGACUGAACUUUACUCCCGCUGCCCGCAACUUAGUUGCAGUAGCACAUUUGCCAAAUUCCACUUUCUUUCCUUCUUCUGGUUCAGCUCUUGGAUGUGAUGGCCUAUGAAGCACUGCUAGGAACUCAACCAGAUGCCUUGCACGAGGAAAUGAAUGGGUCGUACUCGGCUCUAGUUUCCUGGUGUUCCCUACAUUCUUUAAGUACUCAAAAGCUAGUUUAUCGAAAGAUGGCGGCUCGUCAGUCUCAUUAUCCAAAAACUUGCUCAGUUUUCGGGAAACAAAACCAUUAUACAUUGUAGCAAUGAACCUCAUAGGAAGUUGGUUUUCUAAAAGCAGCAAAUCGUGCACUAUAUCACUUGACACCCAACGAUUUUCAAAUAUCGUAUCACCCAUCUCUCUCAUUUCAGGAAAGUAGUUCUUUAAGAAGAGCUCAAUGAUAAAAAUACCAUCAAACAAAAUCACUUCUGAUAAUUUCGAGAGAUCUCGGAUGUAGGUAUCUUCAUAACAACCACAUACAUUCUUCUCCUGACUAUGGGCAUAUUCUGCCAAAAGUUCUAGUGGAAUUUUAAAAGUGUGCAGGAAAUUGUUUAGAUACUUUAAUUUGUAUUCUUCCAUGGCUUUCAACUGGGCAUCACCAUGGUGAAGGGGACCAAUCGAGACUAACCGAGGCGUAUAGGCUUCUUCAUUUUUCCUCCUGUGUUUCUCAGGAACUCUAUAGAUACAAACUGUACCAUAAUUAAGAGGAUCUGAAGCUAGCAUGGAUAACUUAUCGUUGAUCAAGGAUGCUAAAUGUAUUGCGCUUGCAGAGUAGUGUGUGUACCUUGGUAAUUCUACUUGCCCAGGGGGGAUAGGCUUGGAAGUAUUGACACUGAUUUUGACCUCACUUCCAGGAUCAACAACAAUUACAACUUUUUCUUCAGCUUCCAUUCCAGUCAGUUGAUGAAACCUGACUUUGUUCUUGACCAGUCCUUUCUCUGUUGACAAGUAGAAGAAAACUCAUGUUUGUUGGUUUUGAACUUGGAACCGGCAAGAAGAAAUCAAAAGAAAAAGUAAGACAAGUACAUAAAUAUGUUUGUUGAAUGCUCAAAGUAAGGCAAUAAGGCAAGAAGAAAGUAAUGGGGAGCCAAUUGUUCUUUUUCAACCAAUAAGAUUUUCUUUAAACUGGGAGGGAAAAUUAAAAAAAAAAAAUGAUAAACAGCGAAGCUGUCUUUUGUUUUCCGUUUUGACUGCAACAAGAGGUGCGAGCAAAAUAUUCAUCUUGUGCUUUAUGUUCUAUUAUACAGGAUAGUGAAAUUUUCAUUAUAUAGUACAUUAGGAAGAAAAUUGGAAGGGUGUAGAACAAGGAUCAGAAGGGAAUUUUGUGUAUUAAUGACUGGAGAGACUUCCAUUAAUGGCAGCAGGCUUAAUAUAAAGUUCUAAGAUAAAACUUUCCUCUAUACGAGGCUUUCAGGGAUGGUGAUGGAAGGAGGUACAUGUGUGAUUGUCCAUGGUAGCAUAAUUUCCUUAGUAGAAACAAGCAAUAACACAUUAAAGCCAGAAUCAAAGCAGAGUUAUGCAAUUAAUAGAAGUAUUUUCUAAAUGAACAGAACCAGACGAAACUUAAUGGAUAUAUAUUUGCAUAUUACCCUAACUGAAGAUAGGAACUGAAAGUCAUGUACCCCUGAAGAAAACGGAUCCACAAAUUAUCCAUUACUCCCAUUGAAAUCCAUUUCAGCAACUACAUAAUUACCCCUUUAUUUCAUCAGUAACAAGUACUAAGACAUAAGAGUGAAGGACGAAGAAUACCUCAAAAGAGAAAACGGAGCAGAUGGUUAAAUCUCAAGAAUAGGCAAAUAGAGCUGAUGUGAGAAAGCUGCCACACUUUGACUUUGCACUCUUUAAGUGUGGAAUUGGAGUUGGAACUUCUGUCCUGCGACAUCCUUGUCGACAAUCUACAUAUCUACACUAUUGAAAAACAAGGGAGAGUUGACAAAUGAACAGUGCAAUCUGGUCUCCUCUGGUUACUCUGCCUUUGUGUCAAUUGAUUGGUGCUUUUUUGACAUUUGAAAUGCUUCUUAUAUGCGUCGUUACUGUGUUUUCCUUCACAUUUUCUGUUUUUUCGUUUUUGCCAAGCCUUUAUAACCCCCUUUUUUGUUGUGAUCUGGUACAUGCCCGACUCGAUUCACUUUGGACCCGAGCCGACACACCAAAUCGGGGGAUACGCCAUAACCCCUCACGACGCACCCAAGUUAGAUAGCGGGGUUUAAGUUUUAGGAAAAUAUUCGAAUCCAGAAUCUUAUUCAGUUCAAAAAUCCACUUUACCACUAGACUAUUCCUUGGGGGCAAAACCUUUAUAAUCUCUCUAUCUCUGUCUGGUUGGUCUGGUUCACUCUCUUCCUUUCUUCCUUCCCCUUUUUCACUAAAAAUUAUAGGGAAAUUCCUCUCUCUUGAGCCCAUUUGGAUUGCAUUUUUUGGAGAGUUUUUAGGGAAAAAAUCAUUGUAGCAUUUUUUUUUGAUAUGAUGUAUAUGAGAUAAAAAUAAUUUAAAAUUAUAGAAAUAAAUAUUUAUGAAAAACACGUAAAAAUUUGUUUAAAAAAAUUUACAAUUCAAUCCUGAAAAGAAAAAAAGAAACUCUAAGCAAAGGUUCUGACUAUUGAGUAUUCAAGAAAGCAAGAAGAACGGGGCCACAAAAAAAAAAAACUAUAGCAGCAGAAUAGGAGUUAUACAAUAGAACAUAUAUGAGGUUUUAGCUUAAUCUUUCAGUCACAACUAGGUAAAGGAUACUAUUUUCUCCAUCCGUCAUCCAUGAAUCUCUUGCCUUUAUUUCUCACUCAAAAUUACAGAGAGAUCCCUCUUUAAAAGUCAUCUAUUUCUUCUCUUUUGCUGCAAGAUGGGAGAUCCGGUAAAAAGAAGCAUGGAAAUAAAAAAAUCUAGCUUAGGGGAAAUAAAAAAGAAGCAUGUGAGAUAAAAAGAUGAUUAAAAAAUAUAUUCAUGAAAAACCAAAAAAAAAAUUUGGAGGAAAAUGCUUUGCAAACAAGACUGCAAGAUAUGCAACAAGUAUGAAUGAUUUGUUACAUUCUCUUUUUCAAGAUGAGCAUAUUUAGAAGAGAUUCUUUGGAGUUGUUUUUAUUAGUUAAACAUUUUUUAUGGUUUUCAGUAUGUUUAGGUUCUUUAUUGUGUUAAGUUAAGAAUAAUAAAAUUAUUUUAAAAAAUAAUGCACUACAUGUAUGUAGACAACUUGUAUGCAAAUUGUUGAGAUAUGUCAAUUUUUACAGAUUUUUCUAGAUUCAUUUGGCACUAGAAUAAUUUAGUUAAUUAUUAAAUAAAUUAAGUUGUUAGGAUAUAUUGUUAACAAAAAAGCAUGUUGAGUUGUUAACAAAUAUUUUUGCUAAGAUUUAGUUUAUAUUUUGUUGAGAUUUUUUAGGAUAAUUGUUAGUUAGAAAUUAAUAUUAAUUUGUUUAAUGUAAACACCACAAAUAGUGAGUUGAUAAAUGAAAAAUAUAAAGUUACUUUCAACCUUCAAUACAAGCCUUUUGUAAGCAGUUUUUUUUUACAACACUAAUUAAGAUAUUGUUUCUUAGUUUAUACCUUAAAAAAACCAAUAAAAUGAUAUCAAAGCUUCUUAUAAAAGCCUUGUCCAGAACAAGAUCUAAAGAUUUGAGAAGGCAACUCAAAAUCUGCAGCAAAAAUGGCAAGGAUUCUCAUUGAAUCCACUCACUCUCAAAAAACAAUACAAAUGCUCUAUUACGAGCUUAUUAAAACAAAACAUCUGCAAAAGCAACAACUAGUGUGUCACUUAUUGCCUAUAUAAACAUGACUUGUCAUCGUCAUAUAGAUGAAAAUCAUCUGAACUUUGUUAUUACGUACAUUUUGCUUCGGUUGCGAUUUUUUCUUCUUUUUUUUUUUUUACCCUUUAGUGAUUUUUCCAGUUGAAGAGUCCAAUAUGUGCUUGUGAUAUUGGUACUAAGCCUUGUACAUGAUUUGAUUUUUGCUUUCCCUUUUUUUUUUUUUGUAAAACUGAGAAAAUUAGCCGUUUGUUUAGGUAUAGAUCAUGCCUUGAUGGUAAACAAUGAGUUAUAACUGUUCCUUACUUCCCCCCCCCCCUCCCCCACCCCACCGUCCUCUUUUCCUCCCAAAGUAAGCAACGAGUUAUGGUUUAUGGGGACUGAUAUUGAACGUUGGUUAGCCCUGUUGAUGGGAUGCAAAGGUCUGAUCUUCUUGUUUAAAUUUUCAUUUCAUUUGGCCAAAUGUUUCAUUUUUAUUGGGCUUUUACCUUUGAGAUUGAUGAUCUAUUAUAUUCCAUUUGAUUGGAUUCCAGAGCUGAUUCUGGAUUCAUAAUAAAAGCUGUGUGCUUUUUCACGUAUCUUCUCAGUAUGACUAUUUUCCUUGAAAAGAAAAAAACAGAUGCGUUGUUCAUAUCCAGCUUUUGGCGCCUGAAUUUUACUUUCUUAUUAGCAUGUUUCAGAUCAGAAUUUGGGGUUUUGGAGAGUCCUUCGACCCAUUAGUUGUUGACUUGGUGGAUUCUUGGUGCUUUAUUCAUGUUAUUUGAUGAACAAAGAUCGACCUUAAUCUUCUGAGUAAACCGGAAGUUUUGUGUCUCGGUAUAAAUAGUGAUAGUUCAAAAAUGUGGUCUAUUUUUAAAAGCACUUUACCCAGUUUCCUCUUGCAGGCUAAUGGAAUAUAUAACUAUCCAAAUAAGAAACAAAUCCGUAAUGUUUUCACUAGAUUAACUUGAAUAUACUUUUGAUUAUCAAUUUUUUUUUAUUUGCUACGUGAAUACAUGCACCUAUAGGAAAGAUAUCCUUCUGAGCUUGAAAAUGGAGAGAUAUUUUGAAAAGAUUCUAAGCAUGUUAAUGGCAGAUACUUCCUUGCAAAAGCUAUCGGAACUAGGCCUUGCAAGGUUCUUUGUGAAUAUGAUCUGUAUAUGCCUCUGUAAGGAACAAUAGCUAAUUUGGCCAAUCCUAGAGUUGGAUGAAAUCAUGGAGUUCAUUUUAUAUAGUGCUUUAUAUAAAUUUAUAAAGUGCUUUAUAUAGUACUUAAUAGUGCUUUAUACAACUUUAUAAAGUGCUUUAAAAGAACUUUAUAAAGUGCUUAAUAGUGCUUUAUGCAGCCUUAUAUUUAUAUAGUCCUUGAUAGUGCUUUUUUUUAAUCGUCAUCCCUACUCCUACUCCUACUCUAUUUACGGGGAGGCUCAACUGAGCUUAUGGGGACCGAUAGGGACAGAACUACCACCGGUUGUGCACCCGUCUGGAUUUGAAGUAGAACCACAAGAGUGGCAUUUUGGUGGUGGCCACCAGCCCAAGAGCUGGUGGUUUUUUAUAUAGUCCUUGAUAGUGCCUUUUUUUUUUUUGGCUGACGUUUCUAUAACAAAAUGUCGAAAAACAAAAACAAACAUUUGUGUAAGUCAUCGCUCCCUGAACACGGGUCACUAAGCGCAGGGCACUAAAUAAAAAGGAGUAUUGGGCGGAGCAGCCUUUUUUUUUUUUUUUUUUUUUUUCUUCGCACAUGAAUUCCGCAAAACAAACAUCAUUGCAUUCAGUUAAAUAAAUUUUUGGUUGGUUGCUAACUGACACAAGCUUAUCACGGGUCAUGCGCAAUAGUAAUUUCACUUUACACCUCUGGACUUGUAUUGCCUUUUCACUUUAUAUUUUAAACUUCAAUUUUGAACCUGUUACGCUCUAAAUUCUUAAUUUUGGACAUUUGGCACCCUAGUCUCUCAAAUUUGUCCAAUUUAAAUUCAAUCAAUGACUAUAUUCGCACAAUUAAUGAGGUAGAGCUGUGAACAUUAAUGACAAUAUACUGUUUUAUUCUAACUGCUAUCUCUUAACCUUUUUUUUUGACCAAUUUUAUUACAUUAUCAUUGAUUUAUAAGAUCUCAAUUGCUAAUAUAGUUAGCAAAAUUAACUAGAUAAUAGAUGUUACAAAUUAUUGAAAAUGUAUUUUUUUUUUUACUUUUGCUAUGAUACCUUGGCAUAUUUGGACUACUUUCAAUACAUUAUCAUUGAUUUGUUGAGUCCUCUACUAUGUUAUUAAAGUUCCCAGAAAAUGGCUCCAUGACAAAUACUAAAGAUAAAUUCAACAACAAAAGCACCAUUACAUUCAAUUGCUUUAAAACAAGCUAAUAAAGAUGGUGUCAGCCAACUCCUUGACAUUGCUAAAGGGCUACAAAAUGGGUUUUUGGAUCUUAAUAAAUUUUAAUUGGUUGCUCAAUACCUAACAGAAGACAAUUCGGUAAAAAUUGGUCAUUGUAAUCGUUGGCCAUGUGCGGUAAAAUAAAACUGAUCACUUCGUUUCAGAACAGGGUGGAGGCCUAGUUGGGCUACCUGAAGAAAUCUUUAAAUAGAAGAUUGUUGAAAAAAAAAUAUUUUUUUGAAAUAAUACAGUAGCACUUUAGCAUUUUCUGUAAUAUGCUGCUUCUAAGAUUAAAAAGUGAUUGAAAAAAUGUAUUUAUGAUAUAAUUAUUUCUAAACAGUGGCCAAUCCAAACAAGCUGCUUGUUGCUUGAUAAAUAUAGAAGCUCACUCAAGUAUGUGCGUUGCUGAUGAAAAAACAGUAUCUUUUGCUAAAAAGUGGAGCGUGAACAAAUUAUGAAACACUGCAGGCCUUCUCUUUUUUUCGAUCUUUCUUGUUGACAGGGUGUCAGACCUGUGCAAUAAUAAAUACCUGCUUAAAUAAAAUAUAAUUUCUGUAGAUAAUGAUAAGCAGGAUCGAAUUCACAGGGACUGGGGAUAAUUUAUUUCUUUUAGAGUCCGAAGUAUGGGGGGUUUUUGAAAAUGAGAGUAACUAAAUUACUUGGAAUAAAUUAAAAUAAAAUAAAAUAACUACAACUCAAAUAACUAAUUAUCACAAUAAAAAUAAUAAUGGACGAACCCUAGCCAAGAGACAACUUCGGAGAUGGUUCACUUAAUUCGAUUACAGAUGCAAGGAUUAUUCCAGUUACUAUCUGAUAAAUUAGUUAUAGUUAUCAUACAUGCGAUGAACAACCAACUCUUCCUCAAUUUGUCGAUAGCCAAGGUACGACCGUUGACUAUUUCUCUAAUCAGGAAACAACCCUAGGUACGACCAUAGAAGUUCAAUUCCCUAAUUGCAUGAAUAAUUAGAAGAGCCUAAUUCUAACCAAUCAACACGCUACGAGGGUCUCUUUAAGUUAGCAUGUCUAUCUCCCUGACACAAACCCAAUCAUGCCAGUUGCCACCAGUUUAGAAUAAUUAAACAAUUACGGAUUUAACUACCCUAAUUGGCUUCAGGUCAUUGAAUUAAUCUAGAAUCCGGGCCCUGGAUAAUCGAAUAAUAAAACAACCAUAUGAACAUAAAGCAGAAGAUAGACGAAUACCAGUGAAUAAUAGAAAUAAAUAAAAACUAAUUCGAUCUCACAAAUUUAGUAGAACCAAGUCCUCCGUUGUUCCUCUACUAGAUGAGAAACUUAGUCACGCCUCAUGAGAAAAUCUCCACGUAAUUUAAUUGAGGUCCAAGCCAUCAAAGGAACCCAGAAAGAAUAAAACUAACCUAUGCUAAAAGCUCUCUGUAGCCUUUCUUACGAUUGUCCUUAUAUAGCCAAAAGGAAAUGACUAAAGCUAUCUAUCCAGUGGUCCCCACGAAUAAGGAACAAAAACAACUCUUUGCACGUUUGUUUCCUUUCAAUUCAAAUGACUAAUGCCUUUCUUCUCUCCAUGGUCCCCGAACAAAUUGAGAAAGGAGUGUACAUAAAGUGAAGUUCUCUGAAGUCCUUCUUUCUUUAGUUUCCUCUUGAUAGUCAAACACUUCAACACUCCAAGAUACUCCUAAUCCGCAAAAAAGAAAUGCAGUCCGCGUAUAUCACCAUGUGGGCCAGGUCUGUGGCUUAUUUGAAGUCUCAAUUAUCUUCAAAAAGUCCCUCCUUUUUUGUAGUUUUCUGCUUCACUCCCUAAAAUUGGGUCCAAUACCAAAUAUAAGUAAAUAUUAAUAAUUAAAACAAUAUUUGGCAAGGAUAAAAGGGAAAAUGAACAAUAAAAUUACUAACAAUUAACACCCUAUCAAUUCCCCUCACACCUAAAUCAUGCUUGCCCUCAAGCAUAGGAACAGUAAUUGAACACUGGAAUUUGACAAUGGUUGUUGCUCCAACUACUGUGUUGCCACGAUACCCAAGAAAAACAAAUAUCAAGCAUCACAGGUCAAGAUCCAAGAAAAACCACCCUGUUAGCAUCUAAACUACCAACUCCUCCAAUUUAAAGCAAACUAAUCUAAGCAAAAGGAAUGGUUGCUCACAUUUAUCAGCAAAUGGUCCAACUAUUAAUCCAAAUCUCAACAUUAACCCAUAGAUCGGUAAGCUGACUUUAGACACACACUUACACAAUCUUCACCUUUUUUAUCACGCUUUUCUAUUUUUCUUGUUUUUUUUUUCGCUAUAUUUUUCUUCUUUUUCAAUAAUAACAAAAGACUUAGUUUCUAGCCAUUAGAGCCUUUUGACGCGAACUCCAACAUUUGAUAGAUGGAGGAGCCCGGUUACUCAGCUCCAAUCGCUACAGGACCACGCACUUAUAGCAAUCACUACCUUUUGACGCGAGAAUCGACACUUUAGGUGAAGAUCCCCGGUUACUCAGUAGUGAUAACUAGCGGAGUACAGUCACCUCUUAUUUACAACCAUAUAGCACAAUAACUAAAAAUAACAUAAAAAUAAUAGCAGCCAGCCUCAAAUUUCAAACAUGGAGAACUAAAAUUAAUAAUUGGACCAAUUCACAUGAAGAAUGCCAACAAUCAUUCCCUAUGCCUAGAAAAGUUAACCAAAAAUUGAAAAAGUUAAGCAAUUGUUGAUAUUCACCAAAGAGAUGUUCCUGAACUCAACCACAUCAACUUGAUACAUUUUUAUUACUAAAAACUUGGCAAUAGCAUAAUUAGAGACAACAAUCCAGCAUCAAAACUUGGUAUUCAUUUAAGGACUGACCACUAGAAAGAAAAAGAAAAGAAAAUAAAUGAAAGAUAGGCAAAAACUAACUAAAAAUAAAGGAAAAGCCCCUAGAAACUAAAAACAAAAAUACUAGCACCCCAACUGAUCUCCCCCCCACACCUAAAUCACACAUUGCCCUCAAUGUGAUAAACUAACAGCAAAAGGAAGGAGAAGGGCAACGGUACUUCCCUGAAGUUGUCAAAACAAGGGUGGGCCGGGCGGAGUGCUGCCAAAUUCUACGCCAUGUUAUGCAAGUCGACGUCCAUGUGGGUCACUCGAGUCUCCAGUCUCUCAACUUGCAUCUGGAGCUGGUGCCAUUCGUCAGCCCCUGGGGUAGGAGGAGGCUGCGAGUGUCUAGGUGUCCUAAACCUAGAAGCGGAUCUUGGCCUUACCAUGAUCUCUAGAUGUCACUCUAAUCACAAGGGACUACAAUUGCCAACAGAUAAUGGAAACAGGAAUUUCAAAGUAAUAACAAUUUUUUUGUUUAAAACCAACCCAAUGAACAAUAGGCACAAUUCAAUCACCCACAGGUUAUACGAAUACCUCAACACUAAUAACAAAUGCAAUCAAUGAGCCCCUGUGGUCCAAAUGUAGUCAAAUUCAGAAUCAAGGCAGUCCAAUCAUGCAACAAGUGCUCCAAAUAGCUUAGUAAAGGAAACCAAAAGGAUAAAAUGCUCCUAAACAAGGCAAUCAGAGGCAACUAACUUCAAUAAGCAAAUUUAAGCGUUAUAGGCACCUCCCAAUUUAACAAGCAAAUUACCCACAAUUAGACACAAAUCACAGGAAAAUAGACACAAUUGGUCCCAAAAUGGUAACAGCUGCCUCCAAUUGGACAGUCCAUUCCCCAAUUCAACCUGCCAAAAUCAGCAAUUGACCCAAGAAAAUGGUAACUCCAGCAACAGUUCAGGAACCAACACUCAAGAAUCAAAUAGGUAGUCCGGCACAGAGGAUUAAGAAAUGGAAAGCAACACUGCAACCAGUACCACUGGUGCACAGACAGGAAAGAAUUAAAUUCAACGGUAGCAACUCAAUCACAAGCACUUAAACUUUAAAAUAAGCAAGUAUCUUCAAAUAUAAGCCACAACGAUAGGGAAAAGAUCUCAACCAGUACCACUAGUGAGUCACAGGGAAAAAAUUAAUCAAGCGGCCAACAAAUGAAUAAAUAGCAGAAAAUCUCCCCACUAUGGCAGCAAUUAAACCCAAUUCUGUCCAAAAAGUACCCCCAGAAAAUGCCUAAAUCACCCUUGCUAUUAGCUAUCAAGAAACUCAAACACAAAUUCCAGUAAUUUAUGCUAAUCGGAGAAGAGAUCACAAUACCUCCACCUGUCAAUUUUGACAGGUGGUGAUGCGCAGCAAUGGAGAAGCGUCGGGCAGCGGCCGCGAGGUGAAACUGGAGCUGGAAGUGCGGCUGCCGGCGUCGGGCUCGUGGCCGCUCCUGGUGGCACGCGAGCUGUGGAAAGCUGGCGGAGGAGGUUCGCGAGCUGGUGGAGCUGUUGGCGGUGGAAGCUGAGCUCACGGCGAGAGGAAAGUGAGAUCUGGUGACGGACGCGCGCGGAGAGACGGUGGGUGGAGCUUCGUGCGGCGCACGGCUGUGGUGUGGCUGUGGACAGUCGCGCGGCUGGGGGCGGCAGACAGCAGCGGCGGAGUGGCGAGCUGAGGCGGCGGCGCUCACGCAGGUGCUGGGCUGGUGGUGGCCGCGAGCGCAGGAGGAGCUGCGCGCGAGGGAGAAGGUGAGAGUGGAGGAGAGGCGCGGCUUGGCUGCGAGCUGGCGGUGGAUCGUGAGGUGAGGCCGCGUGCGUGGAAGCUCCUGGCUGCGAGGGAGCUUGGGCGACGCGCGGCAGUGCGCGAUAGUCGCGAAGAUGAGGAGGAGCUGCGUGGGUGAGGUGGUAGCGGCAGGCGGCACUACCACGCGCAGGGGAAGGUCGCGGGGUGAGCGAGGGAGGCGGUGCGACCUGAUGGCGUGGAGGUGCGGUGUGGGCUGCAGGAGGCGCGCGAUGGUUGCUUGGAGGCAGCGGCGUGCGAGUGAAAGGAAGAAUUGGGAAAACAGAGGCAGCGGGGAAGAAGAAAGAAAGAAAGAAAGAAAGAAAGAAGAAAAGAAGGAAGAAAAAGAAAAGAAAAAAAAUAGUUUUUGUGGAUUUUUUUUUUCUUCUUUGUUUUCAGUUUUUUUUUUUUUUUUUGAAUUCAAAUUUCGAAAAUUGUAAUUGCUAAAAUACUUUGUUUCCUUUUUGUUUUUUUUUAGAAAUAAUAAUAAUAAAUAAAUAAUAAAAAAAAAAUUUCUUAGCUUUUGGAUCGUCAAACAUGGCGUGGGCACGCCAAGAUUGGUAAAUGUCCACUGACCUCAGGAGUUAUAAACACCGCGUGGGCACGCCAAGAUUGUUGUCCUGACCACAGUGGAGGAAAACAUUAAAACCGACCACAACCUAAAUAAGAAACGACAUAAUUAAAGAAUUUAACAACGAAAAACAAUAAAAUCAAUAUUUGGGUUGCCUCCCAAAAAGCGCCUUUCUUUAACGUGUUUGGCUAGACAUUAUCAUGUUUGCUUAGGGAGGAUAAAAUCUUGUGGCUCAUUUCAGUGCUUCAUUCUCUAUAUAAUCCUGAUAGCCCUCGUAAAUAGAGUAAUCCUUGAGCACACGAGCUACGGUCUUCCAUGGACUAGUUGAUGGCGCCAAAUAAUCAAGCAGUGAUCUCAAUUCUUCAUCCACUCCUUCAUCAAGAGCACUCAACGGUUCAAGAUAUUUGACCAUAGCUACUCUUAACUUAUUUCUGCCAUGAAACUCAAAAACUUCCGGUAUAACAAAAUCAAUCUCAUUAACAGAAAUUAUAGACUAAGAGUCAAGAGAAUAUAGAUUAAGGGAUGGAGGGGGUGUCACCACAUUUGAUGAUUCUUCACUGGAUUCUUUCACUUGAAUGGGUUGCGGUUGGGGUUCCAUUUCUUCCUUUUCGGCUUCUUUUUCAACUGCAUCUGUAGAUCUCUCAUUUUGACACUCUUGCAUCUCCUCAUCACUAGUCAAGCAAAUUGCACUCUCAUUUUCUUCAAAACCAACAAUGGUUUUCGAGGGCAAUUCUUCAAAUUGAGAAGCCAAUCGAUUUAUUCUGGAUGUCAAUAGACAUAUUUGAUCUUCCAGAUUACUCAUUGCAUCCUUCAUCAUCCUAUUUCUCAUUUGUGUCUCAUGUUGGAAUUGAUAUGUAUUAGUAGCUAUUGAUUCAACUAUUUCUUCAAGAGACAUACCUGACAUAGAUGAUGAUUCUUGAGACUCAUACUGUUGAAAAUUCAUUGGCCCUGUUGUAUAAUUAUAACUGGAGUUAUCCCACCAUCCUUGAUCAUACCCGUUUGGAUUAGGGUUAUACCACGUUUGAGACCAGGGUGAAAAAUCUCCAUAAUUAUUGAGUGGGACACUCAGAUUAUCUUGAUAUUCGGGGCACAUACCGGUUGAAUGAUCCCUGGCAUAACAAAUUUUACAGGUUGCAGCAGCCAUUCUUUCUCUAAUAGAGUUUAGUGCCUCUGCAUAUGCAAACUUAGCAAAAAAACAAGUCUCAUUGCCUUCCCUGGAAACAAAAUCCAGUCUAUCACCAAAAUACGGAGUGUUAGAAGCCAUAAACUAUAUAAAAAAAAAAAUAAGAGAAAAAUAAAUAAAAAAUAAAAUAAAAUAAAAACAAGAUGAAUUCAAAAAGAAACAAAUUAAUCUGGCACCAGUCCCCGGCAACGGCGCCAAAAAUUGACAGGGUGUCAGACCUGUGCAAUAAUAAAUACCUGCUUAAAAAAAAUAUAAUUUCUGUAGAUAGUGAUAAGCAGGGUCGAAUCCACAGGGACUGGGGAUAAUUUAUUUCUUUUAGAGUCCGAAGUAUGGGGGGUUUUUGAAAAUGAGAGUAACUAAAUUACUUGGAAUAAAUUAAAAUAAAAUAAAAUAACUACAACUCAAAUAACUAAUUAUCACAAUAAAAAUAAUAAUGGACGAACUCUAGCCAAGAGACAACUUCGGAGAUGGUUCACUUAAUUCGAUCACAGAUGCAAGGAUUAUUCCAGUUACUAUCUGAUAAAUUAGUUAUAGUUGUCAUACACGCGAUGAACAACCAACUCUUCCUCAAUUUGUCGAUAGCCAAGGUACGACCGUUGACUAUUUCUCUAAUCAGGAAACAACCCUAGGUACGACCAUAGAAGUUCAAUUCCCUAAUUGCAUGAAUAAUUAGAAGAGCCUAAUUCUAACCAAUCAACACGCUACGAGGGUCUCUUUAAGUUAGCCUGUCUAUCUCCCUGACACAAACCCAAUCAUGCCAGUUGCUACCAGUUUAGAAUAAUUAAACAAUUACGGAUUUAACUACCCUAAUUGGCUUCAGGUCAUUGAAUUAAUCUAGAAUCCGGGCCCUGGAUAAUCGAAUAAUAAAACAACCAUAUGAACAUAAAGCAGAAGAUAGACGAAUACCAGUGAAUAAUAGAAAUAAAUAAAAACUAAUUCGAUCUCACAAAUUUAGUAGAACCAAGUCCUCCGUUGUUCCUCUACUAGAUGAGAAACUUAGUCACGCCUCAUGAGAAAAUCUCCACGUAAUUUAAUUGAGGUCCAGGCCAUCAAAGGAACCCAGAAAGAAUAAAACUAAACUAUGCUAAAAGCUCUCUGUAGCCUUUCUUACGAUUGUCCUUAUAUAGCCAAAAGGAAAUGACUAAAGCUAUCUAUCCAGUGGUCCCCACGAAUAAGGAACAAAAACAACUCUUUGCACGUUUGUUUCCUUUCAAUUCAAAUGACUAAUGCCUUUCUAGUUUCUUCUCUCCGUGUUCCCCGCACAAAUUGAGAAAGGAGUGUACAUAAAGUGAAGUUCUCUGAAGUCCUUCUUUCUUUAGUUUCCUCGGUCCGCGUAUAUCACCAUGUGGGCCAGGUCUGUGGCUUAUUUGAAGUCUCAAUUAUCUUCAGAAAGUCCCUCCUUUUUUGUAGUUUUCUGCUUCACUCCCUAAAAUUGGGUCCAAUACCAAAUAUAAGUAAAUAUUAAUAAUUAAAACAAUAUUUGGCAAGGAUAAAAGGGAAAAUGAACAAUAAAAUUACUAACAAUUAACACCCUAUCACUUGUAAAUUGCUAAUCAACAAGGGACGGCUGACUUUUUUUUUUUUUUCCUUUUUUUAUGGAGGGAUUGAAAGAUUUGAAUUUAGUAUUCUCUUUGGUAUAAUGUCCAAACUUCAUCAGUUGUCAAAACCCUUGUUGGCGAGGACCAAAUUAGUCAAGGCUUGCAAAGCAACACACUCUCAACUUUAGCUUGAUCUUUUUAAAUGUGAAAAUCAUAUACAAAAUUUGUAGUGCAAAUUUAUACAAGUUACUAAGCCAAAAUUUUUCACUUACCCCCUAACUCAUUUUUUUUUGUCUCACUCUAUCCCUUGGUGGACAAAAUUACCCCUCCAUUAUUUUAAUUUCCUUUUUUUGUUUUUUCCCUUUUGUAAUUUUUUCUUUCCCCUUAUUCCCUCUAUUUUCUUUAUCUCUUUCUUCUUUCUUUACUUCUCUCCUUUUCCCAUAAGAAACUUCAUUUUAGUAAUUGAAUCUAAAAAAGAGCAAUUGCGGACAUCUAUCUUCUUGUCAAAUGAUCACAAAAUAUUCAAACCCUUUUUCCAAAAUACCAUUCUUUGACCUUUCAAUUCUUUUUCUUUUUCCCCUUCCCAUCCCAGUUUCAUAUUUUAUUCUCAGGAAAACAUCACAAGAUAAAUUUGUGACAUAAUUAAUGAUCAUUAAUUGGAAUUUGCAAACAUGACAUCGUAUAAAAGAUCGAAACUAGAUUUUGAUACCUUUCAAAAUUUCGCCCAUAAACUCAAUUACAAUCUUGAUAUAAAGUUUUCUAUUGAGAUGAAUUUUUUUGUUAAGAAGGAUGGACGAGAGAAGAAAGAAGAAAGAGAAAAAGAGAUAAAGGAGGGGAAGAAGAGGAAAGAAAAAGAUAAAUGAAAAGUCAAAAUAAUGGAAGGGUAAUUUUUUCCUAUAGGGGCUUAAGUGAUAAAAAUUAAAGGUUAGAAGAUAAAAUGGUAAAUGUGAUAUACUUCAAGGGGAUUAAUUGUAAUUAACCCGUUUCUUGAUGUAGGGUAGUUAAAUCUGUAGAAUCAAUGUCCUCUAUUAUUUACGUGGGGUGACCUUUCGUCUUAUUUUAUAUGUGGAGAGCCAAGGGCGUGCUUGGAUAUCAAGAAUUUAAAAAAAAAAUUCAGAUUUUGUUUUACUUAUAUCAUACACACAAUUUUCAAUCACCUUUUUAUUUCACAUACAUUACAUUACAAAAAGUGCUACAGUAAUUAUUUCAAAUAAAUAUUUCAAAUAACCUCCUAUCCAAACAACCUCAAUGUUUGUCACAGUUUAACAAAUUUAAAUUUGUCUUUAACACAAAUUACAAUUGUCACCAAUUUGCGGCAAAUUUCAAAAAAAAAAACUAUUAUGCCACAGCAUAUAUUGUUAUCGGUUUUGUUUACCCUUGCUAGAAAAGUUUUCCAAGUGAUCUUGAAUACAUGUAACCAAUAAGAACAAUAGGACUCUUGGCAAUUCAACAAAGACAACAACAAAUCAAAUAAAGCAAAUAAAAAGACACAGAAUUUAUGUGGUUCGAUCGAAUUGACCUACAUCCACGCGAAAACGAAAAAAAGAAUACAAAAGAAAGAGUACAAAACUUAGAAAAUAAUUCCAUUGUCCAAAGACACCUAAAAUUGAAAACACAAAAGAGUUUAAAUAGUACAAAAUACUUAAUGGCCCAAAAGUCCACUAACUUGUUAUUUUGGUUUGAUACAUGACCAAAAUCUCUCUUAAACCACAGCAUAGGCCCCCCAAAACUUUCUUGACCUGGUGCCUUUAAUACAUUUAAACUCACUUAAAUUUACUAUAUUUAUAACCACUAAGAUGAGAGAUUUCUUUGUAAAACUCUCGAUGUGGUAUACGAAAACAAACUCAACACCUACUAAUUCUUUUGCUAUUUUAAGUUGGAAAAUUUUUGUACAUUUUCUAGAUUGCUAUGUGCAUUUCCAAAAAAUUAAAAGAGUGGUAAUCUAACUAGGAAGUUCAUAAAUACCUUAUCACUUAUACUCCUUUCACCCCACUUUGAUAGUUUUAGUUUUUCUUCACACAAUUUAAGAAAAAUCAGUCAAUAUUUUUGGAAGAGGAAAUCUAGCUAAUUAUUUUUCCAAAAUACGCAUACGGUUAAUAUUAGAAGUAUGACUAAUCAUUAUAUAUUUACAUUAAUUAUACCAACAAUAUUGAUGGAAAGUUACACUAUUCAAGGCACAAAUCAAAGCAAUUAUUGAUAAAAAAAAUUAACUAUAUUUAAUAAGGUAGGUUAUACUCACUAAUGACAACAUACUCCCUCCGUCCACUUUAAUAAUCUUGAUUUUUUUCACACAAUUUAAGAAAAAAUAGUUAAUUUUGUUGGAAGAAUAAAUUUAGCAUGCUAUUUUUCUAAAAUAUCCUUAUAUUAGCAUUAGAAGUGUGACCAAUUAUUAUACCUUUACAUUAAUUAGAAUAGCAAUAUUGAUAGAAGUUAUACCAUUCAAGGCAUGAAUCAAAACAAUUAUUGAAUAAGGUAGGUUAUACUCAGUUACUCACUAAUAACAAAGAACAUUAAUUAAGGGUAUUUUGGAGAAUUUAAAGAAUUCUCGAAACCCAAAAUAGCUCUUAAAUUACCACAAUAUUACUUGUACAAUUAAGACAAGUAAUUUUACUUACAAUAUUACCUACAUUUCAAGUGAAAAUUUAUGCACGUCAAUAUCACUAGUGUUUUCAAUAAUCUAAUGUUGAUCUAUGGGCCUUAAGAAAUCAAGCUAUCUUACUAAUAUCUUGGCUGCAGAUGGAACAAGACCUUGUAAUUAGUUACUCGAAUGCACUAGAUUAGAUAUUUACAAUACUUAACUCUCAUGGUGAUGCAUAAAGGAACGGAGAAGGCUAAUUAGUCAAUUAGCUCGAUAUUCAGCGUAACUGGCCUUAACGGAAGAUCAAGAACACAUGUAGGAAUUGUAACCAACUUGUUCAUAAUCUUUCUAAUGCGUUUUCAACUUGGAACAAAUUCCAGAACUAACGUAGAAAAGAGGGGAAAAAAAUUCCAGAAACUAAUAUUUUAUGAUACCAUGUGCAGUGGUGGUCAUGUAAACUCAAAAUUCGCCAAAUUCUUCAAUCACCAGAAUAAAAGGAAAAACAGCAUCUCCCCUUUGAGCAAAGCAAGGAGGAUUUUUGGCAGAAUGUCCUCCAUAACUGUGCAUCAUCGACAUCUAAAUUUGACAACCAAUUGUUCAUCUUGAUUUAGUGAUUACAUAUGGAUUUUUAGUCCUCAUACUUAGGUUUUGUAAUGUUUGCUAAAUUUUGAAAAUAUGUGUAAAAAUGUUUUGAUUGUGAUUUUCUAUAAAAAUAUUUUACAUUUUCUAUAAACAUAUUUUCCAAUAACCUUUUUUUUAUCUCAUAUAAAUCAAAUCAAUAUAGUACAUUUUCUUACAAAAAGUUCUAAAAAUAGCAAUCCAAAUAGGGAAAGUUUCUCUAUCAUCCAUGAUAGGCAUUCAUAUCCCAUAGAAGUACUUAAAAUCUUUUUUUUUUUUCUUAUGUUUAAAACAGCCGUAACCUUAAGCUGAAUUGUGAUAAAUGAGACUGAGAGUUGCUUAAAAUGUAUUAGGACUAAAGAAAAAUACACGCACAACUGCUUCCAUUAUGUGGCACGCCAUUUUCUUUGUCACCUGUUGGUAAAAUAUAAUGUCAAUCAUGGAGUAGUAAGCAAAAAAAAAAAAAACUAACUAACUUAGACCUAUAUGAAUGAAGCCAAGCUCCAGAAAUGAAUUAUUUUUUUCAAAAAAGUAAAAAAGAAAAAAAAAACUUGACUAAAGGAAGUUCUCUUUUCUUUUUAGAUGCAGUUAAGCCUAUUUGAAGCCAAGUUCUAGAGGUAAUUUUUUUUUAUAAAAAUCAAAAUGACAUAAAAGGAAACUCGAUUAAAGAGUUUUCACUUCUUUCUCUUUUUUUUUUUUCAAUGUUUUGGUUUUUUUUUUUUUUUUUUUCGAAACGAUAGAUGUCCUAUAAUCUAAUCUAGCCUAGUAUAAGGGGAAGGAGAUGGGGUUCGAUGUGAGUACAAACUCCAUCGAUGAAGGUCACUUAAGACCGCCACAAAUUAUGACAAAUUUGUGGGAGGCAGGGAUUGAACCGUUGACCUCCAGCAUCACCUGACCUCCAUCAAUGUUUUGGUAUUUGAAACGGAAGUUCAUCAUGCAGCAAUAGCAGCGCUCUCUUUCGGAGAGAGAGAACUCCUGUAGAGAGAGAAAUAUGCAGUCCAGCGGUUUGUGUACGGUUAAAAUUUGUUAACGAAAAGGCCGGAAGUUUUCAUUAUUAAACCGCAACGGCCCAAAAGUUUCCAUUGUCGAAGAAUUGGGCAGCUGCUGCCGUGGCAUUGGAGUAAGUUCCCAAGAAAGAGGGAAAAAUGCACUUGCUAGAUGCGUUGUUUAAAAGGCGCAUUCACUUGCUAGACGUUUUUGCUUAAAAAAUACAUUUACUAAAUAUGACACUUUCAAAAUGAAUGCAUUGUUUCAAAAUUCUCACUAUUUGAGAACUCUUUUUGAAAAAGAGAAAUAUUAUUUACGCUGCAUCUUUUAUUAUUUGCAUUUUCAGCAUUUAUUUUAUUAUAUAAUCCAAUAAAUAAAAAUUAUAUGAUUAAAAUGAUAGCGAAAGUGUGAUUAAAAUUAUAGAAGUGCAAAUAACAUUUCUCUUUGAGAAUUUACUCGAGCUUUUCUCCUUAUGAUGAGAGUUUUAUCCUUUUGAAAAACUUUCAAUCUUUCAAACAUUACAAAUCCAAAAAGCCAAAUGCAAAGUUCAAAAUCAAAAUCCCUAUUGAUCCAAGACAACUUCAUCAAACUACUACCUUUUCUGCAUCCUUGUCGUAAUUUCAAAGACUUCUAAUCCCUGUUCCAAUUAUUAGCGACUUGUUUUUGUGUCUGUUUUCCUCUAUUGUGUGUUGGUUAGGUGGAGGUCAACUAUUUGUUGUUUUGCCUACCAGGUGCUUAGCAUUAAGUAUUGACUGAGAAAUCUAUUCCUAUUUCCCUUUCACUACAAGUUUAUUUAAUUUGGGCUGUCUCGCCUGGGUGCCAGAUUAAGGGAUCCUCUACUGUCUCUCUGAAUCCAGAAGAACUGGCAGAUAUAAUGCAAAAAUACAGUGAACAAACAACAAAGGUGAGCUACACACAAUCAACGAAACAAGAAAUCAGCAGCAUCAAGAAGCAAACGGUAGAAAAAUAUUUUAUUAGAUGGCCUCUGCAGGCUUCUCAGGUUCAGCCUCGCGCAUAGCAAGAAAAUGCUCUUAAAGCCUGUUGGUUUCAGUAGUAAACGGAGAUGCAGGAAGCGGUUCCUGAAUAUCCAUUCAAGUUACAAAUAGUUUACAUUGAUUCCCUGAUUCAAAUGACUAGGCCAUGAUUCAAUGAGAAGACUGGGUUACUACAAUUCUUUUAGCCUGAGGAUAAUGCACAAGAAUUCGACCCCUCCACCACCACUUUCCCACCCUUUCUGCAUCACAGAGUUUAAUGUGUAUAAAAGUUUCUAACAGCUAGAAAAAUGUAGAAACGGUUACAAUAACCAUCGAUCCUUGUUCGCUGGUUUCGUCUAAAUGCUGGAUAACUAGAUCAUGUCAUGCAGAUGUUCUUAUCGUCUAAAUGCUGGAUAACUAGAUCAUGUCAUGCAGAUGUUCUUAUCAAAACCCCAUAUACUCACCGUGGACAUUUAUUAAGCCAAUAAACCCCACGCUUCCAAUUGCCUCUGAAAAGAAACCAGAAAAUGAAUGGGGACAGCAAAAUCUGCCCUCAACACUUGGGCUAUUGGCUACGACUAAUGUUGCCGGUGGAGGAAAUUUUGAGGUUCGCUUUGGUGCAGAAUUUGUGCCCAUGGAGACAGUAAAUUCCGCCUUCAAGAUUGAGGGUAGGAGGGUGCAGAGACAGCUUCAUCAUCGAUAACAAAGAGCUUGUUGUGAGGAAAACAAUCCUCCACAACCAAUUAGCUUCCGAAAAUCAAAAUAUGACCAAACUAUGGCGUGCUUUGCAUGAUGCUAAUGUAAAUGUAUGAGAUGGUACGCUUUUUCUUUGGCUAUUUUUAAAUUUUAUUGAAAGAUAAAAAACAAUUCUUUAAAAACCAUCAUCCAAACACAAAUAAAAAAAUUUGUUUGUAUUAUGAAAGAUUAUCAGAUGGGUUGACAGAGAUUUAAAUUUUAUUGUUGGAGGGAAGAAAAAUAAUGUAUGAGGACCAUGAAAAAGAUUGCGAAAUUUCCUUUCCAUCCUAGGUGUAUUAGUAUCAAAACCUGUAAAUGGCGCUAAUCAAUAAGUUAUGUAACCUCUACAAAGGACAUAACGACUAUAUCCAUACUAAUUUCACCGUUAUAUGUAUUGUAUCUGGACAAAUAUUUUGUAAUUGAUAUUUUAUAUUUAUUAGACUUAAUGCUCUAAUUUAUAACUCCUAUAUUCUUACAACCUAUAAAUAGAGGUUCUAAUAUAGAUGUGUUGCGUCCACAAUUUCUAUAUUCAUCCAUCUUAGUCUGAGAAGGGAUACUUGUGUAGUAUAUUCUUGACAACUAACUCUAGUGUUGGAGAAAACACUGAUUGUAUAUGGGACCAAAUAUAUGUUGUAGAUUGGAGUGGCUAUAGUGUGAAACAAUGCUAAGCCAGUUUGAUAUCUCAGAAUGGAGUAUUAAAGGUAGCCUCUAGGACUCUCCAUUUUUUAUCCCUCCUAAACCUUGAAUAUCCUAAUCUUGGUGUGAACCAGUUCUUUGGCAGCAUACCUCGUCAAAUAGGCAUCCUGUCGAAGCUCAUUUAUAUUGAUUUCUCAGUUAAUGAGUUGUCACAAGAAAUCCCACCUGAAAUUUGCAACUUGAGAAACUUUGGUUCAUUUAGCUCUUGUGCAUAAUCAACUUUCAAGUCCAAUUCCUCCAGAAAUAGGAACUGUGUAUAAUAUUAUUGUUAACGUUUAUCUAAAGAAUAACAAUUUAACAAGCCCAAUUCCAGCCACUUUUGAUAACCUCGAUGGGCUAGUCAACUUAUAUCUAUUCCAAAAUCACCUAUUUGGCCCCAUUCCUCAUGCGAUCGAAAACUCAAUCUCAUUUCAGUUUCUUGUCUUGUCUCAAAAUUAUCUUAUUGGUUCAAUCCCUAAGUUGCUAGGCCAUUUUAACCAAUUUGAUGCAUUUAUGUCUCUUUGACAACAACACUCUGGUUCAAUUCCAAAGAAUUUGGGUGAUCUAAAAUUCCUUAUAGAUAUGGAAUUGGGUAAGAACCAACUUAAUAUGGUUCCAAUCCUAUUUUAAUUGAUAACUCGAGUAACUUGGAAAAACAGUAUCUCCUUCUAGUACCAUCCCACAAGAGCUUGGAAACCUGAAAUAGAGUAGUUUUGGAAUUGGAUUAAAAUCAAUUAUCUAGUCCAUUGCCAGAACUACUUCAGUACUUUGUCAAAAUGGUCUAUGAGUACCUUGAAAUCAGUACUUCAGCACUCAAUUUUGGUCUAUUUGUACCUUGAAAAAGGAAGCUUGUCCAAAAUUUUGAGCAUCAAGGAAGAAGCUAAGGAACUAGACUGGCAAAAGAGGUUGAAAACCAUCAGAGGCAUCGCUCAUGCUUAUCUUACAUGCAUCAUGAUUGUUCACCAGCAAUUGUACGUCGGGACAGAUCAAGCGAGGGUUACGUUUAAGAUUUUGGCACUCCUUAGUUUUAGUCUUUGAUCUUCUGUCAUUAUCCCCUUAAAGCCUUUUCCUCCAACCAAUGUCUUUUUAGCGUCCGCUAAUUGAUUAUUACUUUUUAAAAGACUUAAAAAGUCUAAGUAAACUCCUCGACUAGAUGAUAUGUAUCGACGCUGUUAAAUGAAAAAAGACUUUUUUAUUGCAUUCCAAAAGGCUUUUAAAUAAAUAUAUUCAAGCUCUUAAAUAAAUUAUUUUCGUUAACAACUGCUUUCAAAAUGUAGUAAAUUAAUUAGUAGAGAAUUACUUGGAGGAAAAGACUUGGACAGCCAACCCCAUCUUGACUGAAAAGCCUUUUGGACCUUUGCCAUUAAGGCCCAACAUUGUAUAUGUUUAAAACCAACCACGCCUGUGGGACUUUUACUAACAACUGCCCACCACUACAUUUGUUUGAAAACAUCAGCCUUCCAUCCAAAAUUUCUUCAAGUUGAUCCUCUAUGUUGGACCUUCGCACACAGGGAGCCAAUGUCGUAAUUGAAUGAAGCCACCGCUAGUGGAUUGAUCUUGACGGUUGGCCGGACCUUUACGGACAAGGGCCCAACACCAAAUUUGUUUGAAAAGGCCUUUGACAGUAAACGUUUGCAUCUAAUUAAAUUUGUAGAAAAACCGGACUACCAUCUUCUAAAAAAUUAUAUUUAAUCAUAUUUAUUAAACUCGCCCGACAAGGAAGUCGACAGAUAGAUGACAUGAAUGGUUCACUGUUUUGACCAAUGGCCCAAUAAAAGAAUAUUUAUAAAUACUUGGUAAUAUAUAAAAUUUAUAAAUAAAGUUUAUUUAAAAUAUCUUAAAACAUUUGUUUCCUUGUAUAUAAGAAAAAAUUAUUUUAAAUACAAAAGACAUUUAAUUAUUAUGGAAAAUUACAUUUAAAUAUUAAUUGAACUUACAAAUAGUCUAAGAUAUCAUGAUGCAGUAUAAAGAUUUGACAUCCUACUAUAUAGGCAUCUAGACUGAAUGUGGAAAGAACUUUUCCUAUGUUUUUAUGAGGAAUGAGAUUUCAGGAAAAAGUUUGAAUGAGUAUUCUAAGGGCAAACGAGAACUUACUGUCUACUAAUUGAUUAUUAUUUUUUGAAAGGAUUCUAAGUUUAAGUAAACUUCUCUCUUAAAAUAUCAAGAUAAUAUAUAUCAGUUAUUUAAAAUGAAAAAAAACUUUGUUACUGUAUUCCAAAAGACUUUUUUAGUCAAUAUGAUACAUCAACGCUCUCAAAAAUAAACUCAUUUCAUCAACCUCAACAAUUGCUUUCAAAAAGUCGUAAUCAAUUAGUGGAAUUACUUCAAGGAAAAAACUCGGGUAGCCAUCAUCACUCUUAAACGAAUUUCUUUUUGUCAACAAUAGCUUUCAAAAUGUAGUAAUCAAUUAGUGGAAUUUCAAUAAGUUGGAAUGAGUAUUCUAGGGGGAAAGAGUUUUUCUACUUAAAUGAGCCAUAUCAAACAUUAGAAUGGAAUGAACAAAUUGAAAAGAUCUUUUCUAUUCAAGCCAUUCUUGCAUGCCAAAUCAGGAGUUAGUGGCUAUUGAUUGAUUAUUACUUUUUGAAAGACUUAUAAGUUUAAAUAAACUCCUCGAUUAAAAUGUCAAGAUGAUAUAUAUCAGUUCUCUAAAAUGAAAAAGACUUUUUUACUCUAUUCCGAAAGACAUUUUUAGUCAAGAUGAUACAUCAACGCUAUCAAAAAUAAACUCAUUUCAUCAACCUCAACAAUUGCUUUCAAAAAGUAGUAAUCAAUUACUGGAAUUUCAAAUAGUUGGAAUGAGUAUUUUAGGGGAAAAGGGUUUUUCUACUUAAAUGAGCCAUAUCAAACAUUAGAACGGAAUGAACAAAUUGAAAAGAUCUUCUCUAUUCAAGCCAUUCUUGCAUGCUAAAUCAGGAGUUAGUGUCUACUGAUUGAUUAUUACUUUUUGUAAGACUUAUAAGUUUAAAUAAACUUCUCGAUUAAAAUGUCAAGAUGAUAUAUAUCAGUUCUCUAAAAUGAAAAAGACUUUUUUACUCUAUUCCAAAAGACUUUUUUUGUCAAGAUGAUACAUCAACGCUCUCAAAAAUAAACUCAUUUCAUCAACCUCAACAAUUGCUUUCAAAAAGUAGUAAUCAAUUAGUGGAAUUUCAGAAAGUUGGAAUGAGUAUUCUUGGGGGAAAAGGGUUUUUCUACUUAAAUGAGCCAUAUCAAACAUUAGAAUGGAAUGAAAAAAUUGAAAAGAUCUUUUAUAUUCAAGCCAUUCUUGCAUGCCAAAUCAGGAUUUAGUGUCUACUGAUUGAUUAUUACUUUUUGAAAGACUUAUAAGUUUAACUAAACUUCUCGAUUAAAAUGUCAAGAUGAUAUAUAUCAGUUCUCUAAAAUGAAAAAGACUUUUUUACUCUAUUCCGAAACACUUUUAUAGUCAAGAUGAUACAUCAACGCUUUCAAAAAUAAACUCAUUUCAUCAACCUCGACAAUUGCUUUCAAAAAGUAGUAAUCAAUUAGUGGAAUUACUUCAAGGAAAAGACUCGGGUAGCCAUCAUCGCUCUUAAAUGAAUUUCAUUUUGUCAACAAUAGCUUUCAAAAUGUAGUAAUCAAUUAGUGGAAUUUCAAAAAGUUUGAAUGAGUAUUCUAGGGGGAAAGGGUUUUUCUACUUAAAUGAGCCAUAUCAAACAUUAGAAUGGAAUGAAUAAAUUGAAAAGAUCUUUUCUAUUCAAGCCAUUCUUGCAUGCCAAAUCAGGAGUUAGUGUCUAUUGAUUGAUUAUUACUUUUUGAAAGACUUAUAAGUUUAAAUAAACUCCUCAAUUAAAUGUCAAGAUGAUAUAUAUCUGUUCUCUAAAAUAAAAAGACUUUUUUACUCUAGACUUUUUUUAGUCAAGAUGAUACAUCAACGCUCUCAAAAAUAAACUCAUUUCAUCAAACUCAACAAUUGCUUUCAAAAAGUAGUAAUCAAUUAGUGGAAUUUCAAAAAGUUGGAAUGAGUAUUCUAGGGGAAAAGGGUUUUUCUACUUAAAUGAGCCAUAUCAAACAUUAGAAUGGAAUGAACAAAUUGAAAAGAUCUUUUCUAUUCAAGCCAUUCUUGCAUGCCAAAUCCGGAGUUAGUGUCUACUGAUUGAUUAUUACUUUUUGAAAGACUUAUAAGUUUAAAUAAACUCCUCGAUUAAAAUGUUAAGAUGAUAUAUAUCAGUUCUCUAAAAUGAAAAAGACUUUUUUACUCUAUUUCGAAAGACUUUUUUAGUCAAGAUGAUACAUCAACGCUCUCAAAAAUAAACUCAUUUCAUCAACCUCAACAAUUGCUUUCAAAAAGUAGUAAUCAAUUGGUGGAAUUACUUCAAGGAAAAGACUCGAGUAGCCAUCAUCGCUCUUAAACGAAUUUCUUUUUGUCAACAAUAGCUUUCAAAAUGUAGUAAUCAAUUAGUGGAAUUUCAAAAAGUUGGAAUGAGUAUUCUAGGGGGAAAGGGUUUUUCUACUUAAAUGAGCCAUAUCAAACAUUAGAAUAGAAUGAACAAAUUGAAAAGAUCUUUUCUAUUCAAGCCAGUCUUGCAUGCCAAAUCCGGAGUUAGUGUCUACUGAUUGAUUAUUACUUUUUGAAAGACUUAUAAGUUUAAAUAAACUCCUCGAUUAAAAUGUCAAGAUGAUAUAUAUCAGUUCUCUAAAAUGAAAAAGACUUUUUUACUCUAUUUCGAAAAACUUUUUUAGUCAAGAUGAUACAUCAACACUCUCAAAAAUACACUCAUUUCAUCAACCUCAACAAUUGCUUUCAAAAAGUAGUAAUCAAUUAGUGGAAUUACUUCAAGGAAAAGACUCGGGUAGCCAUCAUCGCUCUUAAACGAAUUUCUUUUUGUCAACAAUAGCUUUCAAAAUGUAGUAAUCAAUUAGUGGAAUUUCAAAAAGUUGGAAUGAGUAUUCUAGGGGCAAAGGGCUUUCUCGCUUAAAUGAGCCACAUUAAACACUAAAAUGAAAAAGACAAAUUGGAAAGGGCUUUCCUAUUCAAGCCAUUCAGUAGGGAGAACUAGUCAUAGAAGACAAAAAAUGGUCAAUUUCAUUGAACAUUUCAAUAUUGCAUUAAAGUUCUUGGCCCAUUGGAAUAGACAUCUUAUAUGUUUCACUCUCAAAAAAAAAAAAAAAAAGAAGAAAGGAAUGGAGAGUGGGACCGAAGCAGAAUACUUCCCUGUAUUGUAAAGUUGGGAUAAGCACUAGUUUCGUUUGUGGUACAAAGUAACGAUCUUUGGCAACUCGAUUUGAACUUAAAUGUAAUUGGGGUUCUUUCCAAAUAAUUUCCAUAUUCAUUUUGGUCCUACUUUUUCCAUCAUUAUGGAAGACUUAUAAAAGCUAUAACCAUUUGAUUAAAGUCAUGAUCCCGAGUCAACCAACCACAACGUAUUGAUGGGAGUUCAGGAAGGGAAAAGGAGAGAAGAAGGGGAAGUGUUGGGCAAAACUUAGAUAUCCACAAGACUAGGGAGGCCAAGUUUAAUUUAAACAUUUGCAGCCCUUUAUCUAACAGGAAAAGAGAAGGGUAUAUUAACCUGAAGCAGAAAAUACUGGAAUUCAAACGGACAGAAAUAGAAGUUUAGAUUCCGAUAUCAAUUAAAUUCUGUUUUGAGCCAGUACUACGGCCAACUAAUUCUGCCCAUAGAAUUGGUAGAAAAUUACUCCUUUGCAUUUCUACUUUCCUUUUUUAACAUAUUGAGUUCAUCCGACUGUGUUUUAAGUGUACAAAAUAUUUGGGAGUAAUUUUUUUUUUUUUUUGCUGGUGUAGGGCUGCAAACAAGUUGAUUCGAGUGAAGUUUUGAUUUAAUUGAAUUGAGUUUGGACUCAAUUUUACCAAAUUCGAACUCGACGAACUCUCAAUAUAAAGUUUGAAUUUGAGCUCGACCUCAAAUUAGGCUGAGUCAAACUCGAGGUCGAGCCUACUCGAGUUUAAAAAAUAAAAAUAAUUAUUUUAUUUUUUUGUCUGUCUACUCAAAAGAAGUGAUUACACACACAUAUAUAUAUGAUAGGUGGAGUAUUCUUCCUGCCUCUAGCUCCAUUUAAAUUCAGCGGUAAAAAUUUCUGCAGAGUCGGGCGGUGCCAGCAUAACCUUUCUUCACUUGCCAUCAAUCGUUAAUAGUGCAGCCAAGCUCAAAUUUAUUCUAAACCAUGUACUACAUAAAAAAAAAAGUAACUAAAUCAUUUUCAAACUCAAAUUUGAAAUUGAACCCAAGCUCAAAUUCACCUGGUUUAAUUUAAUGAGCCGAACUCAAAUUUGAAAUUGAAUAUCUAUACCAAUUAAUGAAUCAAAUUGAGUAGGAUUUAUAACUCGUUUAAUAUUCAAUUGAAUUCCAAUUCUAUUCAUAUAAUAUGUGAAUAGAGUUUAAACAUUAAGUACUUGAUUUGAUUCUACUCGUUAAAAGCUCUAAUGUCAAGUGGCUGAUUGACAUAGCUCAUCAGGCGGGUAAAAGCAUUAGAAAAAAGAUUGUGCUAAAAAUUUUUUAUCGCCCAAUAUUUCAGGUAGAAGAUGCUUGUAAUUGCUUGAAACAAAACUGGUGCCUUUCAUUGUAUGUGUUCCCAAAUUUUGUGUUUGAGUUUUUAUCUGCUUAAGGUAUCUUGAACAUUCUUGAACUUUUUGGUCUAAAAAAAGAACCUUUUGAAGUCAAUAUAAUUAGUCCCAAACUAUUUUGAAUGUAAUCAAAAGCUUCUCCUAGUUCUGCCCAAAUUAAUCUCAUUUCAUGUCACUUGUGUCUAUGCCGUAGCUAACAGGAGAUCAUAAAUAAAGUGCGAAUGCAAACUUUGAAGUUUUGAUAUCAAUGCUCACUAAAUUCCGUUUGGACAAGGACAAAUGUACUAUGACCAAUUAAAUCUGCCUAUGAAAAUUUGGGAAAAAAAAAUUUCAUCUUUUGGCAAUUUCUCACUCCUAUUUCAUGAAAUCUACAACCAAAUUAGGCGUAAUCCCUCUCCAGAAAAUACAGAUCUAUACCAUAAAUAGCUAAGCCUGUAGGUUGAUCAUCAUUCUUACGAAUUUGGUAACCGCUACUCCAUCUCUUAUACUAUAGAUGUCACUUCGAGUCGCCUUCUUCUGCAGAUAUAGUAGGAAAGUCAUCCUUAUAUUUUCUAAAUCAGUGACAGAAUAUCAAAAUGCUCAAUCUCAUCAAGACAUUUCAUUGCAUUAAAUUUCUUGGGCCCUUGAAUCAGACAUCUUAAUUGUUUCAAUCUCCAAAAGAAAGAAAACAAAAAUGGAAAAUUAAGAAGAAAAGGACAGAACAAGAAGACCUCGGAAGUCUUCCUUGUGCAGCUGGGAAGACAGGAUAAAUACUGGCUUCAUUUGCGGUACACAUAUCAACCUGCGCAAACUUGAGUUGAACUCGAAAGUAGUCAUGGGUUCUUUUCAAUUUAUCUCUAUAUUCAUUAUGGUCCUACUUUUCCCAUCAUCUCAUCCCAAAGCCAAAGGUGUCGCUUCAGAUUCUGCUAGUGAGGCGGCUGGUCUUUUGAAAUGGAAGGCCAGUUUUCAAAACCAGAACAAUAGCUUGCUAGCCUCGUGGAACCUCCAACCCAUCAGCGGCAAGAAUUCUUCCAACCUUCCAUGCACUUGGGCGGGUAUUUCAUGCAUUAAUGGAAGUGUCAACAGGUUGAAUCUCUCAGAAUACAGCAUAAAAGGUAGCCUUUAUGACUUCCCAUUUUCAUCCCUCCCAAAUCUUGAAUAUCUUGAACUUAGCCUGAAUCAGAUCUUUGGCAGCAUACCUCGUGAAAUAGGUAACCUGUCCAAGCUCAUCUAUCUUGAUUUCUCAGUUAAUGAGUUGUCACAAGAAAUCCCACCUGAAAUUUGCAACUUGAGAAACUUGACUCAUUUAGCUCUCGGAAGUAAUCAACUUUCAGGUCCAAUUCCAUCAGGAAUUGGAACUCUGCAUAAUCUGAUUGAACUUUAUCUGGACAACAACACUUUGAUAGGUUCAAUUCCAGCCACUUUUGGUAACCUCACUAGGCUAGUUAACUUAUACCUUUUCCAUAAUCUCCUAUCUGGUCCCAUUCCUCCAACGAUCAGGGAUAUGAUCUCACUUCAGUUUCUUAUUUUGUCUCAAAAUAAUCUUUCUGGUGGAAUCCCAAAUUCGCUUGGAACUUUAUCCAAUUUGAUUGGUCUAAUUCUCUAUGACAAUCAACUUUCAGGUCCAAUUCCAAAGGAAUUGGGUGAUCUAAAACUCCUUACAAAUUUGGAAUUAGGCGAGAACCAACUUAGUGGUUCCAUUCCUGUUUCAAUUGGUAACUUGAGUAACUUGGCAAAACUGUUUCUCCCAAAAAACCAGUUUUCUGGGUCCAUUCCACAAGAGCUUGGAAACUUGAAAAAGUUGGCAAUUUUGGUAUUGGAUCAAAAUCAGUUCUCUGGUCCAUUGCCAGAAUUGCUAUGUCAAAAUGGUUCACUCCAAAUCAUUUCUGUAUCUGAGAACAUGCUUACAGGUCCAAUCCCUAGAAGCUUGCAGAAUUGCUCAAGCUUAGUUAAGGCCAAUUUCAACGAGAACAAUUUCCAUGGAAACUUGUCAGAAAUGAUCUGCAUCCAUCCAUUCCUGGACUUCAUAGAUCUCAGCAACAAUGAGUUCUACGGUGAACUCUCCAGCAACUGGGUUGAAUGCAAAAUCUUGAAAACCCUGAUAAUUGCAAAGAAUAACAUCACAGGUGGUAUACCUUUAGAAUUUGGAAAUUUAUCUCAACUGCAUGCACUUGAUAUUUCUUCAAAUUUUUUAUCCGGGGAGAUACCAAGGGUAGUGGGGAAGUUGACCUCUAUGCUUAAACUAGAUUUACAUGACAACCAAUUUGUCGGUGGUGUACCUCAGGAAUUGGGAAUGCUAACCGAACUUCUUUACCUAGACCUAUCCACAAAUUCCUUGAAUGGAUCUUUUCCAGAACAUUUGGAAGAUUUGAAGCACUUGUUUUACAUGAACUUGAGCAACAACAUUUUCAGCCAAAAGAUUCCAUUCGAGAUUGGGAAGUUGACCCAACUUUCUGAACUAGAUUUGAGUCGAAAUUUGUUCACAGGAGAGAUACCAUCAGAGUUCCGAAGUUUGCAGAGUCUGGGAACAUUGGACCUCUCCCACAAUAACCUCUCUGGUUUAAUCCCAAAGGCUUUAGCAGAAUUGCCUGGUUCAUUGCAAAUUAAUAUUUCCUUCAAUAAUUUAGAGGGUCCAAUUCCAAGUGGCAGAGCCUUUGUGAAUUUAACGAUAGAAGAAGUAAAGGGAAAUAAAGGCUUGUGUGGCAAUAUUACAGGGUUACGAGCUUGUGAAAGUUCCUCGUUAAUCAAUAGUCAUGUCAAAAAUAAGAGGAAAAAACUUGUUCUCACAGUUGUAUUUCCUCUUCUGGGGUCAUUCAUACUUCUAGGUGCAUUCUUUGGUAUUCCCAAAUUGCGUGAUCAAAGGAAAAAAAUUUCAAGAAUUGAAGAUAUGGAUGUGAAGAAGUGCCAUUUAUUUGCCAUAUAUGGAUAUGAUGGCAAAGCAUUGUAUAAAGAAAUAGUAUUGACUACACAAGAGUUCAGUGAAGUAUUUUGCAUAGGGAAAGGAGGUUAUGGAAGUGUUUAUAGAGCACAGCUUUCAUCAGGGGAUGUAGUAGCUGUAAAGAGACUUCACAACAUGCCUGAGAUGGCAAGUCAUAGAAGUUUCUUGAAUGAGAUAAGAGCCUUGAUAGAAAUCAAGCAUCGAAACAUUGUAAAACUCUUGGGCUUCUGCUCCAACUCUCAGCACUCAUUUUUGGUUUAUGAGUAUCUUGAAAGAGGAAGUUUGGCCAAAAUCUUGAGCAUAGAAGAAGAAGCUAUUGAACUAGACUGGCAGAAGAGGUUGAAAAUCAUCAAAGGCAUCGCUCAAGCUUUAUCUUACAUGCAUCAUGAUUGUUCACCAGCAAUUGUACAUCGGGACAUAUCAAGCAACAACAUUUUGCUCGAUUCAGAAGACGAGGCUCAUGUUUCAGAUUUUGGCACUUCUAAGUUUCUGAAAAAAGACUCAUCUAAUUGGAGUUCUCUUGCAGGAACAUGUGGAUAUGUUGCACCAGGUAAUAAUGUUUUUUGCCCCUCUUUGAUUUAUUAACUACCAGAUUUUAAUACGAUCACAUGUUAUCACGAGUCACGAUGUAAUUUUCCAACUUUUCCUUGCAGAAUUUGCCUACACAAUGAAAGUAACUGAAAAGUGUGAUGUUUAUAGCUUUGGGGUCCUGACAAUGGAAGUAAUCAAAGGAAAACACCCCGGUGACUUGAUUGCUUAUCUAGUGUCUUCAAAGCCUGAGAAAAUUGAACUGAAAGACUUGUUCGAUCAAAGACUUCUGUAUCCCAAUCAAGAAAUUGAAAACAUUCUGGCAUCCGUUCUCAAAUUAGCAAGAGAAUGUCUACAUGUUGAUCCACAAUCUAGGCCAACAAUGCUCUUUAUUUCUAGGUUGUUAUCAACGGGUGCACCAUUUGUGUAACGUAUUGUACACAAUCUGUGUAACAAUUAUUGUAACAAUCUGUGUAACAUAUUGUACAAGACUACGAUGACCAUAUUAAUCUUUUUUCCUAAGUUUUAUGGGUUUAACAAAUAGAUGUAACAAAUAUGUAGAAUUUGACUGAUGCUCUCUUUGAGAUGUGUGGCGAUACUGUUUAGAAAAAAAUAAACAAAAAUCAAUUUUCCUAGUUGCUGCAUUUGAGAUGUGCGGCGAUGCUGGAUUGAGAAAACCCACCCCAAUCACUCCAUUUUUGCAAUCUCUUUUUUUUCAACAUUAUUUCAAGAAAUUUUCCCUCAUCUUUUGCCUCAUAUAUUUUUCAGAUUGCCAUAUUUUGGAAGGCUUAUAAAAGUGGUUACCAUUGAUCAAAGUCAUGAUAAUAAAGCCAAUCCCAGACUGUUUGAAAAUUACUGAUGGAGGACAAGGAGAGAGUAGAGAAGGGGAAGCAUUGGCAAUACGUAGACAUAUACAAGACUAGGGAGAACGGGCGACACUUAGAUAUGAACAAGACAAGGGAGGGCUUGGUUUAAAUUGAAACAUGUUGUCAGGUGGCAAAAACUAAUUUCCAAGGAUCCAUUUGAAAGAAAUAAUGCUCCAAUGUUAAGAAAUAGGAAUUUAAAAAUCUCAGUGGGUUGCUCACCCACCUGCCACCCCUUUCCAGUUUCCCUACGAUGAGGGCACGCUGAUAAAAAGAGACUAGGCAAAUUCCUUAAAGACGGGUAGAAAACACGUCAUUUCUCCUUAUAGACUAGAGUAGGCACUCAUCUUGGCUUAGUUCUGUGGACCUUUGCCAAGAAGAAUUUGGUGCAGGAACCGUACCAUUUCUGGGUCGAGGGCCAGGAUUGAUCUAAGGAAGAAAAGGGUGUGUUUGGAUUGCUUUGAUAAAUUGGUACUUUUCCGUUAACACAUUUUUCAAUAAUUUUUUUAUCUUAUAUAUAUCAAAUUAUUACAAUAAUUUUUUUUACAGAAAGUUCAGAAAAAUGCAAUCCAAGCAAGUUCUAGACUCCGAUCACGUAGUUGUUUUCAACGCGUUUUAACUUUAGACCGUGUUCAAAGUUAUUUAUAUGACUGAAUAAAAGACUCACAAUUGGUUGAAAUGAACAAAACUGUUCUGCAACCAUUCAACCCGCAAUCAUUUGUGCCCUGCCAACAAGAACCCACCAUCAAAUUUGUUAAAAAAUCAUUUUUACUUGAUCCUUAUUUAAAAGGAGUUAAAUCCACAUCCUUCUAUUCAAAAUUCACAAUUUGAUAUUUUGUAGUAAAAUGCAAAUGCAGUUUCGGUGCCUAAAUUUUGGUGCUUUAACGACUCAGGAGCCCAUUGGACAAAAACAGAUUUGGUACUCAAUGUUACAAUAUUUAAACAUAUUUGGUACACUUAAUAGAUUUUUCAAAUUCAUAUUGCAAAAAAUCGCGUGUUAUCACAUUUCUAGCAAUGAAAUUGUAAAGAAAGUCCAUGUUUAUAUCUAAUUGAAGAAUCUUCGAAUUCUUGCUUCCACCUCUUCAUGUGAGAUUAAAUGUCACUAAAUUUUUCUUAUGGUUUCAUGGUUGAAUCCAUAAAAGUUCGAUUAAAACAAAUGUCUCAAUGUUUUGCUCUUUUUUUUAUUUUUUUUUGUUUUAAUGCUUGUUUAUUAGAGGGUAUGAAGAUAAGAAGAGAUGAUAGGAGGGGGGAGUUUGGAGUGUGUAUGGUUAGCUCAAUUGGGUAUCUUCUUAAGUUAACUUAUUUUGUUUUUAAAUGAGUAAUUGAUGUUUUAUUAUUUCUUAAACUAGAUGAUAGGUUUGUGAGUUAUCUUCCAAUUAUUUUGGAAUUUUUUUUUAUAAUUUCAUUGUGGCGCAUUGUGACAGCACAUGAUUUUUUCAUAGAAAUUUGAAAAAAAUCCAUUAAGUGUGCUAAAUAUGCUCAUACAUUGUAACAUUGGGUACCAAAUUUAUUUUCGUCCAAAGUUUGGAUACUAGAAUUGCUCAAGAGUCAAAAUGUGGGUACCAAAACUGCAUUUUACUUUUUGAUGUAUUAACUACUUGUACUAUUAGUAUAAAAAUUUGCAUACGGUGUAGGUUUAGAAUGGAGGUGUGAGACCAUACUUACUUCCACUGAAUUAUAAAGUUGAAUAUAAUGCUACGUGAUAAAAUAUCUUUCAUCCUUUUCUUAGUAAAAAAUUAUUUUAUAAGUUAAAUUGGGAUAAUUUUAGAAACCUGAGAUUUCUGAUAAUUACACAUAAAUACUCUCCAAUAUCAAAAAUUACACUGCCCUCCCCUUUCAUUUUGAUGUGACCAGAUGUCAACUUUAGCAGCAAUAAAGUGACAAAAAUAUCCUCACAAUAUCAGUCUCUAAAAUAUUAGAAAUAUGGGAAAAAUAUAAAUCUUCCAAGUAUAAUAUCUUUUACAUGUAAUUUGACGCCAUUAAACUUGGGAUAUAUAUUGCUUUUGGCGCCUUCCUAACAAUCAUACUACUUCUAAAGUGCAGAAGAAAUAGCUAUAGAGAAAGGAGAGGAUCUAGUAGCGAAACUGAUAAAAAUCCUUCAUCUCACGAAGGAUAAGUCAGAAUAGUAGUAUAUAUGCAACAUAUGAGCUUGAUCGAAAGCUACUGAGGUAAAAGAUCACAAUUUUGUUAGAUUUGUUAUACCUAUUUACAAGUAAUAGACACUAAUAGUGGAUGUGAAUGAUUUGUAUCCUUGUUAUUGUGGCAUAUAAUCUGUUAUUACUAUUAUAAGAUGAAGAUAUGGCUGUGAGAUUGCUUCAAAAGUUAGGCAGAAAAAAGGGAUAGUGGAUUUAGGGUUAGAUCACGUCUAUGUUGAUGUUUUUUAUGCCAAAUCUAUGACUAAUAAUGCAUGCAUGUGGUGUAUUUGAUGGAUUUUUGUGCAACUGAUGUUCACAGAGCUUAAUGAUUUAUAGAGGGAGAGUUGUGUUGUAAUGAGUUUUUCUUGAUGAUCAAUAUGGCGUCACUUGAUUUUUGUCUAAAAUAUAGAUGUUUGGUGACUCAAUAGAAUUUUAGUUAAAAGUAUUUGUUCAUCUCAUUUAGUAGAUAAAUGGCUUGUGACAGGUCGUCAGCCUGUGCAAUAAUAAAACCUGUUGAAACUAAAAGUAAUUUCUGUAGAUAGCAGUAAGCAGGGUCGAAUCCACAGGGACUGGGAGUAAUUGUUCCUUUCCAAAUUCACAGUAACGAAGGGGGUGUUUUAUAUCAGGAGUGACAAUUUAAACAAUUCAACUAAAAAUAAAAUGAUAAAAGUAAAAUAGCCAACUAGAAAUUAAAUAACAAGUUACUAAAAUCUAAUAAGUGAUAAUCAAGGAUCUAGCCAAGAAAUAACUUCAGCAAUGGUUCACCUAAUUGAUCAUCGAUAAGCAAAGGCAAUUCCAAUUAUUCAUCAAUAAAUAGGUUAUAACUACCAAACAAGCGAUGGCAGUCAACCCCUCCUUACUGUGUCGGUGAUCAAGGUACGCCCGUUAAUCACUACUCUAAUUGAGAAAUAAUCCUAGGUACGCCCAUAGAAUUUAAUUCCCCAAUUGCCUUACGUAUUAGAGGAGCCCUAUUCUAACCAAAUAACGCACUACCAGGGUUAUUUUAGAUUAGCCCGCGUAUUCCCAUGACACAAAUCUAAUCAUGCCAGUUGUCACUGUUUGAGGUAAUUAAACAAUUACGGAUUCAAUACCCCAAUUGACAAUAGAUUACCAAAUCAAUUAAUUAUCUGGAUCCAAGACAAUCAACUAAUUAAAUAACCAUAAGCAUAGUAAUCAGGGAAUACAUGAAUACCAAUAAAUAAAAGGGAAAGAUUAAAUUAAAUCGAUCUCACAGUUUUCAGGUGACCCAAAGCAUCCGUCGUUUCUUGACUAGAACGAGGGGAUUAGCUCAUAUUGGAUGAACUAAGCCCGCGGGAAAUUUCAGCAGAAGUCACGGCCAUUGUAUGCAUUUCAAGAGCCGCAAUUCGUCAAACACUUAGUAAGCAAAUGUAAGGCACAGGUAACAAAUUGAAGCCCUUUAUUGUUCCUAGCAUCCGCAGAGCAAAAUCAUUCACAAGGUGUAAGAAGGAAAAGUCAAAGAAAGCUGACAAAAAGCUUCCUCCUCACAUUCGUACAUGUCUUAAGCCAAAAAGUAAAGUACAAGGGAAAAGUCAACAAUUUUCUUUGCUAAGCUAAAGACGAAAAGCUAAGAAUUCAGCCACCCUCCAUCUGAUCCUCUUUUCUUCUUCUUCUUGCGGCGGCUCACAGCAGGAAGAGAAGCCCUCUGUCCGUCAUUCCUUUGCGAAAAUUACCAAAAUGGGCGUGACAUCUUUUUUCCAAAAGUGACCCUGGGACAAGCUUUAUCAUCUGAAUUCUUUUCCAGUCAAUUUGGCACCUGUUAUCAUAUUUUCGUUCUACUCCCUGAAAUAUACGUAAAUUAAGAAAAAUGAGUAGAAUCCAGCAAUUAAUCCACAUCAAGUCAGGUGAUAGGGGAAAAUAAUAGUAAAAUAAAUAGAUAAAUUUCAGCCUAUCAAUUCCCCCCACACCUAAACCAUGCUUGUCCUCAAGCAUAAGACACCAAAAUUUGAUAAUGGUCAUUGCCCAAUCUACCAAACUGCCAAGAUAUUCAAGAAAGAACCACAUAUCGGGCACUAGUAAUUAAAAUCCGAGAAGCAUCCCCUCAGUUAGCCUCUAAACCACAAACUCCUUCAAUUUCCAAAUUAACUAAUCUAAGGAAAAGGAAUGGCACGCAACAUUUAUCAGCUAAUGGUCCAAAUAUUCACACAAGUCCCCAUAUUAAGUCCAUAAACCAGCAAGCUCUCCUAUUAUUUAAUCUCAUUUUUUUUUUGUUUUACUUUCUUUCAAGCAAUCAUAAUAUUUGACACAAGAAGACUUAGUCUCUAGCCGCCGGAGCCUUUUGACGCGAACUCCAACAUUUUUAGAUGAAGGAGCUCGGUUACUCAGCUCCUACCGCUAUACGACCACGUACUCAUAUAAAGCACCAUCUUUUGACGCGAAAAUCGACACUUUUAGGUGCCGAUUCCCGGUUACUCAGUAGUGGUUAAUAGCGGAGUACAGUCAAGUUUAUUCACAGCCAAACAAAGCCAGAAACACGAAAUACCAACACUAGCAACCAAGCAUAGGGGCAGCUCGCCUCAUUAUUGCCAAACAUGGAGAACCGGAGUCAAUAUUGGACCAGUUCACCUCAAAAUGCCAACAGUCAUUCCCAAUGCCUAGAAAAGUUAACAAAGAAAUCAAAAGAGCCAAGCAAUCCGAUAUUCACCAAGGAGAUAUCUUGGAUCCAACCACAUCAACCCGAUACCUUUGUAUUUAAAAACUUGGCAAAAGUAGACUUGGAGUCAAUAAGUCCACAUCUCAAUUUUUAGCAUUCUCAUGAAAGGUAAGCACCAAGACGAAAGAACGAAAACGAGCAACUAGAAAUAAAACUAAGAAAAACUACUAAAAAGUAAAAACUUUUUUCUUUUUUUUUGACUAAAAACGUAAAACACUAGCACCCCCUUAGAUCCCCCCACACCUAUAGGACAUAUUGUCCUCAAUGUGACAAAUAACCAACAAAAGUGGGUGAGAGGACAGUAACACUUCCCUGAAAUCCGGUCAAAGAGGUGGGCGAGGCGGAGCUGGAGGAGCAAAGCCCGUAUGAUGCAGAAAUUGCGCCAAAUUCUCACCAUGUCUCUAAACAGUUAGCUCAAAGCUACAGAAGCUCCAACAGGUAUGGAAACCAGCAAAUGCAACUAGCAAAGGAAACUCAAGCAGAACAAAGCAAGAAUUUCCCAGUAAUCACCCAAUCAAUAACAAAAAGAAGAAUUCCAACAAUUAAAAAUGCCCAGUCAAAGCCUUCCCACUUCAAAAGUUGAAGCUAUCAGUCAGAGGGUCCCCCAACAAUGAAAUUGUGCAAGAUGACCCCACAAAGUAAGUCAAACGGCACAGGAUCUCACUCAAUAUGCAAUAGCAGAAUUAACUCAAGCAAAGCCCCCAUAAAACCUCAAUGAUUCCCCCAGCAAUGCAAGCAAAAUAGACCUCAGCAAGACAAUCCAACAAGCAACGUUGGGUUCAAAGGCUCCUUCAAAUCGAACAAAUAAUCAUAGCAUUGUAACACAUUCAAAAUCUCAAUAAACGGCUCCAGUUGGCCAAUUAACUGCACAAUGUCACCCAACCCAAAAGAAAUAGCAGUUCCAAUCAACAAUAGUCCGACCAGUACCACUGGCGGAAAAUCACACAAUUGGGGAAAAGACUUCCACACGGCCAAAAUACCCACUGCUGACGAACCCAGAUAGCACCAUUCAAUUUGUAGAAAAUUGGGAGUAAGAUUCAAAUACCUCCACUGGUACCACUCCAGGUGGCGGGCAGAGCAGCGGCGGCGCACGAUGGCAACACCAAUGGCGUCGGCUUGGGCUGGUGGAGCGCGCGGCAGGGGAGCAGAGCUCGCGCGAGGGCUUCGGGUACAGCCAAGAGAGAGACAGACGGGCAGCUGUGGAGUGCUGCCGCGGCUGGCGCAGUUGUCGCCGCGCUCCAGAGAGAGAGGUGAGUGAGUGCAGGGGGCUGGAGCUGCUGACUGAAGGCGCGGCUGCCAAAAAUUCAGCAGCAGUGGCGGUCACGCGGGCAGCAGCGGAGAGAGAGGGUGGCUGCCGAGCUGCGGUGAGAUCGAGCUGGAGGUGGCUGCGGUGGCCGGCUGCCGCGCGAGCUGCGCCUGAGAAGCUGGCCCGCGCGCGAGGCUCUAUGGGUCUCGGCCAAAAAGGGGCGGCGGCGCAAGCUGCGCUUGGUGGUUGGAGCCGCUGGUCGAUGGCGAGGAAGAGCAGGAAUGGGAGGCGGCGUGCGCAGAGGUGGGCGGCGCGAAUUGAAAAGAGAAGAAGAAAGAAAGAAAAAGAAAGAAAAGAAAGAAAAGAAAAUAAGAGAAAGAAAAAGAGAGAAAUUGUUUUUUUUUUUUUUUAUGAGGCUAUUUGAGCCACGGGAAUUUUUUUUUUUUAUUUUUUUUGAAAAAUUUUUUUUUUUUUUUUUUGAAAUUUGGAAACUAAAGCUACGGUGAUAAGAAAUGUUUAUUCUAUUUUUUUUGUUUUUGUUUUUGUUUUGGUUUUAAAAAUUUUUUUUAUUUUUUUUUUAAUUUUUUUUGCAAAUGUUAUUUUCGAAAUUUAAAAUUAGAGAUUAACCGAAAAUCAAUAACCGUUCUUGAGUUUUUUUGAAUACUUACCUUUCCCGCGAAUGUGACGUGGGCACGUCAUGAAGGCACGGAAUCUGGAGCUCUCCAUAUGACAUGACGCGGGCACGUCAUGAGGGCAUGAACCUCUUCUGAAGAUUCUGACCGUGAGCUUUUCAGAUGUCAUGACGCGGGCGCGUCAUGACAGAAAGACACCUACAAAUCAUCAAAAACGAAAAUUGAAACCCGAAAUCAGUCAAAUUCAAGGAAAACAUAUUUAAACUAUCACUUGAAAUCAAAACAAACAAUUAAAAGAAAUAAUUGGGUUGCCUCCCAAUGAGCGCCUUUCUUUAAUGUCUUUGGCUAGACAUGUCAUAUUUUCUCAGGGAGGACAAAAUCUUGUGGCUCGUCUUAAUGCUUCAUCCUCUAUAUAGUCCUGAUAACCCUCGCAAAUAGAAUAAUUCUUGAGCAUACGAGCUACGGGCUUCCAUGGACUAGUGAAUGGCGCCAAACGAGUCGAUGAUAAUUUGCAUUCUCCAUUCACUCCUCCCCCACUUGCAUUUAUUGGUUCAAGAUAUCUUGCCAUCUCCACUCUUAACUUAUUCCUGUCAUGAAAUUUUAAAUUUUCUGGUAUAAUAAAAUCAAUUUCAGUAACAGGAGUUGAAGAAUAGGAGUCAGGAAAAUAUUGAUUAAGGAGUGGAGAAGAUGUCACCGCAUUUGGAGAUUGUUCACUGGAUUCAUUCACUUGAACGAGUUGAUAUUGGAGUCUCAUUUCUUGCACUUCAGCUUCCUUUUCAACUGCAUCUUUAAAUCCGUUUUCUUGAAACUCUUGCAGUUCCAUGUCAUUUGGCAGGACAAUUGCACUCUCAUCUUCCUCAAGAUUGAUAUUGGUUUGUGUGGGCAAUUCUUCCAUUUGAGGAGCCAAUCGAUUUAUUCUGGAUGUCAAUAGACAUAGUUGAUCUGCCAGGUCGCGAAGGCUCGCUUGUGUCUCCUGAUGAAAUCGAUUUAGGCUCGCUUGUGCCUCCUGAUGAAAUCGAUUUGUAUUAGCAAUUAGUAAUUCAAUCAUUUCUUCAAGAGACAUACCUGACACGGAGGAUGAUUGCUGAGACUCUUGCUGUUGAAAAUCCAUUGGCCCGGUUGCAUAAUCAAAAUUGGAAUUAUCCCACCAUUCUUGAUCAUACCCGUUUGAAUAAGGGUCAUACUGCGUUUGAUAUUGGGGUGGAAAAUCUCCAAAAGUAUCAAGUGGAGAACUUAGAUUAUCUUGAAAUACGGGGCAUGUGUCAGUUGAAUAACCUGAGUCAAAAUAAGUUCCACAAUUUGCAACAGCCCAUUGAUCAUUAGAAAAAGCACAAGCUUCAUAACCCUUUCUAGAAAUAAAAUCCAGUCUAUCACUAAAAUACGGAAUGUUAGCAGCCAUAAACUAUAUAUAUAAUAAAAAAAAUAAGAGGAAAAUAAUUUAAAAAAAAAUGAACUCAAAAAGAAACUAAUUAAUCAGGCACCAGUCCCCGGCAACGGCGCCAAAAAUUGACAGGUCGUCAGCCUGUGCAAUAAUAAAACCUGUUCAAACUAAAAGUAAUUUCUGUAGAUAGCAGUAAGUAGGGUCGAAUCCACAGGGACUGGGAGUAAUUGUUCCUUUCCAAAUUCACAGUAACGAAGGGGGUGUUUUAUAUCAGGAGUGACAAUUUAAACAAUUCAACUAAAAAUAAAAUGAUAAAAGUAAAAUAGCCAACUAGAAAUUAAAUAACAAGUUACUAAAAUCUAAUAAGUGAUAAUCAAGGAUCUAGCCAAGAAAUAACUUCAGCAAUGGUUCACCUAAUUGAUCAUCGAUAAGCAAAGGCAAUUCCAAUUAUUCAUCAAUAAAUAGGUUAUAACUACCAAACAAGCGAUGGCAGUCAACCCCUCCUUACUGUGUCGGUGAUCAAGGUACGCCCGUUAAUCACUGCUCUAAUUGAGAAAUAAUCCUAGGUACGCCCAUAGAAUUUAAUUCCCCAAUUGCCUUACGUAUUAGAGGAGCCCUAUUCUAACCAAAUAACGCACUACCAGGGUUAUUUUAGAUUAGCCCGCGUAUUCCCAUGACACAAAUCUAAUCAUGCCAGUUGUCACUGUUUGAGGUAAUUAAACAAUUACGGAUUCAAUACCCCAAUUGACAAUAGAUUACCAAAUCAAUUAAUUAUCUGGAUCCAAGACAAUCAACUAAUUAAAUAACCAUAAGCAUAGUAAUCAGGGAAUACACGAAUACCAAUAAAUAAAAGGGAAAGAUUAAAUUAAAUCGAUCUCACAGUUUUCAGGUGACCCAAAGCAUCCGUCGUUUCUUGACUAGAACGAGGGGAUUAGCUCAUAUUGGAUGAACUAAGCCCGCGGGAAAUUUCAGCAGAAGUCACGGCCAUUGUAUGCAUUUCAAGAGCUGCAAUUCGUCAAACACUUAGUAAGCAAAUGUAAGGCACAGGUAACAAAUUGAAGCCCUUUAUUGUUCCUAGCAUCCGCAGAGCAAAAUCAUUCACAAGGUGUAAGAAGGAAAAGUCAAAGAAAGCUGACAAAAAGCUUCCUCCUCACAUUCGUACAUGUCUUAAGCCAAAAAGUAAAGUACAAGGGAAAAGUCAACAAUUUUCUUUGCUAAGCUAAAGACGAAAAGCUAAGAAUUCAGCCACCCUCCAUCUGAUCCUCUUUUCUUCUUCUUCUUGCGGCGGCUCACAGCAGGAAGAGAAGCCCUCUGUCCGUCAUUCCUUUGCGAAAAUUACCAAAAUGGGCGUGACAUCUUUUUUCCAAAAAUGACCCUGGGACAAGCUUUAUCAUCUGAAUUCUUUUCCAGUCAAUUUGGCACCUGUUAUCAUAUUUUCGUUCUACUCCCUGAAAUAUACGUAAAUUAAGAAAAAUGAGUAGAAUCCAGCAAUUAAUCCACAUCAAGUCAGGUGAUAGAGGAAAAUAAUAGUAAAAUAAAUAGAUAAAUUUCAGCCUAUCAGCUUGUACUAGUUAUGUAGAGCUUGUUGAGUAAUAAAGGAUGGUAAUGGAAGAAUGAAAGAUAAGUUGAGGUUGUUCUGGAAUAAUAAAGCUAUCUGAUGUGGGUAAAUGAAAAGAAAAAAUUUAUGAUGGAUUAUGGAGUUUUUUGUAUUUUGAAAGCUGCUCUUAGGCGUUCUUAUAUGACAAGGAAUAUUUUACUUCAUUAUUUAGAUUUUGAUGUUAGUAAGUAACAAUUAUGAUACUAAUAAUUAAUUUGGAUAAAACAAGAUGUCACUUGUGGUUGCACAUGACAUUGUAGUUCACUACAAUGGAAGAAGAACCAGGAUUCCCAAUGUGGAUCUUGAUAAGUAUUCUUAUAUAGAACUGUUGAAUGAUGUUUGUGAGAAAGCACUGCAUAAAUUACCUGGAAAUUUUAAUUAUUUGCUACAUGUGAGAUGUGGGAUUUCAAGAAGUGCUACAACAAUGGAUGUCAAUAAUGAUAAGGCAGUCAUGGAAAUGUUUAAGGUGCAUGAUAAUGAGCUGGUGAUUAAUUUGUUUGUGGACCAUAUGGAUGUAAUUCCAUUUAAUAUGCCUGAGGUGAACCACAAUAACAACUUUGGUGGUGGCCAAGAGAAUCUAGGAAUUGAGGAGACUACUGGAAAUGUUGAACCUAAUUUGCAAAAUAUUGAAAGGGAUGAUGAAGUGUUCAUUUCAAGUGAUGAUGAUUCUUGGUUGUAUGAAGCAAACAAUGACAAAGAGGAUAGCUUAAGCAAUUGCAGUGAGGUACAUGAAUCAUUUGAUAGGAGUGAUAUUGCCUUCUCAGAUUAUGAGGUGAAUGAUGAAGGUGAUAUAAUUCUGAAUUAUGAAUCUGAGGAAGAAAUUGAUCCAAAUAGGGCAGCUUUAAGAGCAAAAAUAUUCACCUAUAAUCCGAGAGUGGAUAUUGAAUUUGAGAAGAAUAUGUUAUUCACCAAUGUUGAUGCUUUUAGGGCUGCUUUGAAGGAUUAGGCAAUCCAGAAAGGUUUACCCAUAGUAAGACUGAAAAAUGAAAAGAAAAGGUGUACUGCUAAGUGUGAUGUUGAAGGCUGUCCAUGGAGAAUCCAUGCUUCUCCUGUUGGUGAAACAACUACUUUUCAAAUUAAGUCUUACACACCUCAACACACUUGUGUUAUGAACAAUAGGAAUGCGGAGGCUACAUCUGAUUAGAUUGCUAAGAAACUAGUUCCACUUCUUCAGAUCCAUCCUCAAAUGAAUACAGAAAGUGUCUAUGCUAAGAUUGUAUCAAAUAUGGUAUGCAUCCUAGCAAGAUGCAGAUUUGGAAAGCAAAGACAAGGGCAUUGGAAGAGAUACAGGAUACACACUAUGAGCCAUAUGCAAGCUUGCCCAAGUAUGUUGAGAAUGCAUCUGCAAGAUUCAGUUUGACAGACCAAAUCUCUUGGUGGAAACCAGAUUUCUGAGAAUUUUUAUUAGUUUCAAAGCACAAAAGGAUGGAUUUCUUAGAUAUUGCAAGCCAUUUGUUGGUUUUGAUGGUUGCCACCUCAAAGGACCAUAUGGAGGAAUGUUGCUUACUGUUGUGGCCUUGGACACUACAAGAAAAUUUCCCUAUUAUGGCAUACUUGUUAGGGCACUAUUUAAUAAAUGCCUCAAAUAAACACUUAUUAAGGCAUUUGGUAGUUUGUGCCAAAUUAGCACUUAUUAAUUAAAUAAAAAAAGACAAUGUAUAAGGGACAAAGCUUAUAAGAAAAACUGAAAACAAAAGAAUAUAAAGAAAAUAUUUAUAGAGGCAUUUUAGAGAUGUGCCUCAACAACUAUUAGAAGGAAAAACAAUUGUUUGAUGAAAAAAUAAAAAAAAAUUCCUCUAAAAUUGGCGCCUAAAAGAAGCGGCAAAAUUGUCCCAAAUCCCAAAUUUUGCAAGAUACAUUUUUUAUUUACCCAUCUUUCUCCCUCAGUCUCCUCUCGCAGUCUCCCUCUCGGUCCUCUACCAAUCUACCCCCAAAUUCUAAUCUAACACUUUAUUUUUCAUUUACCCAUCUCUUUCUCUCACUCUCUCUCUCUCUCGGCCCUCUACCCCCAAAUUGUUCUCCCAAUCUCUUUCCUCAAAAUUUUCCUAAAAAUCAUUGCCGGCUCUCACUAGCUCUCAUCCUCCCAAUCUCGUAACUGGAAGACAGCGGCGUCUCCCUUGCUGUGGCAUUGGCCUUGGCUAGUUCCUGUAAGCGGUUACUUUGUUAAUGAAUUUCAGUGAGCUAUCUUGUAAUUUUAUCUGCUGUUCUAUGGGGUGUUCUCUCUCUCUCUCUCUCUCUCUUUUUGGUUUCUUUUGGUCUUUAUGAAAUCUGAAUUUCUAUUCUAAGAAAAGGUGUGUCUGGUUUGUCUUUUUCCUUCCCAAUGAAUUGUUGAUCAUUCUGCUCGCAUUAGCCAAGGCUUUUCAAGUUUUAUUGGAUUUGAAGACAGGAAAAAGUUGAAAUUAUAGUUAUGCUUUUCAUCUCUAUCCUUAAUAUUGCUUAUUCUAUAUCAGGUUUCCAAAAUGGAAGCCUUGAGAGAAAUUGGCUUUUAUGAAUAGCUGUUGGAGCCUUAAUUAGGAAUAGACUGUAGUGCAUAGGCUUUUCUCUAACAUUUAGAACUAUAGCUCUUCACUUUAGUGCCUGAAGCAUAAUCUGUUUUAUUCUGAUAAUGGAGAGGAAGGAUGCGUAGUAGCUAUCAUGUAGUUACAUCAUUUUCGAUAUUAUACAAAGCUAUGUACAGCAUAUAAACAUAUCCACUUACUGAGGUAGCUACAGGUAAGUUUGGCUUGCCCAAAACUUAUCCAUUUUCACAAGCUCAUUUUCUAGUAAUGUUCUAGAAUGGUACAAUAAUAUAUCUACAUGAUAUAGAAAGAGAUUAUUGUGAAACAAAUAAAACGCUACCGAGGGAAACAUCUGUGAAGGAUUAUUGUGCAUUUUCGACUUUAACUAUCAAAAAUCAACAUAGAGAAUUUUUUUACCCCAAAAAAAGAUCAUAAUCCAUAUAUACUUUGUCACAUAGUACAAUUCUUCUUUUGGUUUGGGGUGUAGGGGUCAAGUAUUUGGUGAAAUUUGCACUACUUGAAUUUAAGAGAGGUAAAGGAUAUGGUUUACUCUCUUACCAGUGGUACCAUUAGAGAUAACAAACUAGAGCCAGAUGAGAGUCUUGGAGAGAAACAGAGCAAAAGUUGAGUUCUAAUCUCCCCAGCCUGCAAUGAAAAAAAUGAAAAACUCAACUACAUCAAAAUAAUACCAUCAAGAUAUUUUAAAAUGCUAUAGUAUCUGAAUUUGGUUUAUUUACUAGGAAUAACAUCCGAAGGGUAUGAACUACCAUGCCUCUUAUCAUCGAUAGGUCUAGUAUCACUAUGAAGUAAUACCUCUCUUGACAUCUCACGUUGUCAAGACAUGCUCUUGCUGUUACAUGUUUCACAAGUAUUCUUCUUCUCAAGCAUCCUAUAUAAUUUCAGGAAGCUCCCUUCAGAGGGAAGGAAGACAAAAAAAUUGCCCGAUUCUUAUAAUAGGCUAUGUAACUCAAUCGGAAAUAAAUCAAAUAUACAGCAAUUCAAAAUGAAAUAUUCAACAUGGAACUCAUAUCUGGUGCACAACAUUAUGGUGCUUGCAUACAAGUAAUGAUUGCAUUUUUUAACUCAAUUUCAUUAGCAUUUCCAACCGAGUUGAAUCUAUUUUAAUACAAUACAAAGUUAUGCAAGAUAAGUAUCUGAAAUGCUAUCAAAAUGGCUAACCUGUAGAGUGCAUUGAGCUAAAAGUACCAUGGAUGGCCCAAUAUUACUUGGUACUGUUGACUGACAGGGCUACAAAUGGAUAACAGACUUGUUUUCAUUUGGCUUACUUCUGCAGAUUAGAAUCUCUUAGAUAACUGUGACGAGGAAAUUUUUUCAAUGAAUUGCAGCAACAGCAAGCUCUGCUAUGCAAUUAAAGUCUCUUGUUUACAUAGAUAAGUGAGGAAAUAUGUGUUUCUUCUAUCCGUUUCCACUAUUUACAUAGAUAUCAUUCAUCAAUAGCCAACAUCAUACAAAUGACAUGAUAUCUUAUUAAGCACUGCAUAUCUGCCUUCAGUUUUAGGGUAUGCUGUAUCACCCUAAAACUAGUAAUGUUCAAUUGGUGCUCCUAUAGCUUGGCCAACAAAACUAGUAUGUUUUUCCUUUUCUAACUUUCAAAUUAUGUUAAUUGUUAAUAUCUCAUAUGUUUGUCUCAUUCGAUAAUUAUGAUGGAUUUUAAUACAUAAUAUACUUAUGCUAUAGGUAAAAAUUUGCGAAGAUUAAUGUGCUGAAAUUCAAAAGUGAAGAAGGUGUUGCAGCAUAUGGAUACUUAUCCAUUUAUAUGGAAGUGCUAUAACUGUAAAAGGACAAAGUGUUGCUGCAUAUAUUACAAGAAGUUGGUCUACUAGCAGUUUAGUUGAUUUUAGUUUAGCUGGUGCUAUUUAGGUGAAAUCGUUGGUUAUGAGUACUUUAAUUGUAAUCAUUGGUUAUGGUGAUAAUUUGAAAGUGGUUUUUCAAUCAAAUAUUGUUGGUUUUGGUCAUUGAAUGUGAGAUGUCCAAUAUUGCCGUUUGUUUCUAUUGAUACAACAGGAAUGUCAUAUUCACAGUAGUACCUGUGGCUAGGCAUAAAAAAGAAAAAAAAAAUCCAGUCUAUUGAGGCACUUGUAAGUGUCAUGAUAAGGGUUUUUUGUAGUAGAAAUUUUCUUGUUACGUAGCAGGUUUUUGAGGCAUUUUAAAACAUCUUUUAAAGGUUAAUAUAGAGGCACUUGCCAAUAUCUACAUUAAGAUAUAUAGUGACACAUUUGCGUGCCUCAAUAACAACUAUUUUCUGACAAAUACUAUUGUCUCAAUAACCUUGUUAUGGCACUUUUAGAUGUCUGAAUUGUUUUCUAUGUCAUGGCACUUAAUUGUGCCUUUAAAAGCUUUUGUGACAUAGGUUUUACAUGGCACACUAGGUAUGUGCCUCAAUAUAUUAAGUGCCUCAACAAGGUGUGACUUGUGACAUUUUGAUGUGCCUCUAUAAGUUGUUUUUCUUGUAGUGGGAUAGGAAUAAGAGCAUAUUCCCUCAUGCGAUUGUUGUGGUUGAAUGUGAAAACAAAGAGACUUGGUCAUAGUUCUUUCAUUUCUCUGAAGAAUACUUUGGUCCAUUUGAUAGCCAAUUGCCUCUAACAUUUAUGAGUGAUAGAAAAAAUGUACUUUUUGUUCUACUCACAAAUGUCCCAUUUCUACUAUCAUAUGACUUAACUGCCAAUCUUCUAUUUGCGCUAAUUAAAUUAUGUUAAAUGUGGGGUCUGAACUUAGCAUAUGAAGGACUGAUACCAUACACUAAUGCAAGAUACUACUGUAGGCAUAUUCAGAGUAACUUUAAACUGUCCUUUCGAGGGUAACUGCUUAGUAAUUACUUCUAAUAGGCAGCUAUUCAGAGUAACUUUAAACUGUCCUUUCGAGGGUAACUGCUUAGUAAUUACUUCUAAUAGGCAGCUAAGAGCUUUGAUGCAACUGGUCAUAAAGAGGUAAUGGAGAGAAUUAAAGAGAUAAAUAUUGAAGUUUGGAAAUACUUGACAAAGAUAUGGCUAACAGCUUGGGCGAUGAUUACGGUGAUGCACAUGUUUAGCUGCAUAGUCUACUUCAUUUAUGGUGGAUUUUUCUUUUCUUUUGCAGAUACAAUUGCCGCUAUUUAGCAACUUCAGAUUUUGUUUUACUGAAAAAUUAACACUUGUCUCACGGUAAUUGAGAAAUCUUCAAUCCUACAACUGUAAUGACCAUGAUAUCCUUUGGUUUUGUUAGUCUUAACAUGAAUAAUAAACGGAACGACCAACAAUAUACACAUUUUACAAGUUUGAUGAGUAAUUUGGCAUCUUUAAUAAUUGAAGGGCCAAAAGCAUACAAACUUAAUAAUUCAAGGGCCAUUUUAAGUUUUUUUGCCCUUUUCGAACUGAUACCUUGAAAUAUAGAUUUUAUUUCAUAAGUAUUCAGUACAUAGCACCUACCUCUCUUUUGCUGGUAAACAUAGCAAAAGGUCUUUUCCACGUAAUAUGUAAUGUUAUGUUACAAUCGUGGCGUAAGUAAUUUAAUUUAUUUAGGUAUCAUAGUCGAUCAACUUUAAAAGGAGAUUUCAAUCAACUUCUACGAAUUGGUUUCGCGGCCUCCAAUCAGGGAAUCCCAUACCCAUACCCAAUUGGG